This 91433-nucleotide long non-coding RNA is filed under the name Vitis vinifera (wine grape). Its description in RNAcentral is "long non-coding RNA (VVIN_LNC006929)". Lineage: Eukaryota; Viridiplantae; Streptophyta; Magnoliopsida; Vitales; Vitaceae. The record is from RNAcentral.
GUGAAGCCAUAAGCAGCUGCGGACAUCCAUCAAUUUGAAGUUCCACCAAUGAAAGAAGCUGUUCUGGUAAUUUCCCAGUGAGUUUGGGACACUUUCGUAUAAAAAGCUUUUGGAGACGAGGGAAUUCUCCACAACAUAACCAUUUCUCCCAGUUCUUCAUAUCCUCAAAUGAUAGUGUUUCUAGGAAUUGAAAGGAAGCAUUCUCAUAUAACUCAUCACCCACACACUCUACUCCAUUCAUCCUUGAGAUUUGCAGAUAUUUAAGCUGGGUUAGCUGUCCAAGUGGUGGCAAUGUUGAGCAAUUGCCACAACCCCGAAGCUCAAGGGACACGAGAUUCAACACUGAAGGAUCUCCAAGCCAAUUUGGAAAUCCUUCACCAGGAUAGUUUGUGAUGGAGAGUUGUUUUAAAUUUGGAUGAGGUUGUAACUUGUUGAGUAUAUCAUGCGUUGUUGCACCACUUUGUGUAACACCACUGGUACCCCAACCAAAGAUUAACUCAUAAAGAUAACUUUUAUCCUUCAUAUUAGCCCUUAAUGCAUCAUUAACACUCACCACAUUCUCCAUGUUUGAAAUACAAAGUUUUCCUCGAAUCUCUGACAGCUCCCCCAAUUCUCCAAUUCUUAAUCCAUCGUUUUGGCCCACAAUAAAUUGAGUCAACCUUUGUAAACUUUUUAAUCGACCAAUUCCAUGACUUGACAUUUCUCUCAAUGAACCACAUCCAUCAAUAUCAAGAUAGCGCAAAUUAAUCAAUUUUCCCAUCUUUGAAGGCAAUUCAUCAAGUUUUGAACAAUUUCUCAGCAUCAUCGUUUGUAAAUUGCAUAAACAACAUGCUGAUUUAGGUAAUUUUUUAAUCCUCGUGGAAGACAAAUCCAAGUAACGCAAAUGUUUUAAAUUACCUAUCGAUUUAGGCAAAUCAGUUAUUGUAUAUGCACAUAAUGAUAACACGCGUAAACACCACAUUUUUGGUAAUAUAUCUUGCAAAACUCUUUUACUCAACUUAUACAAAGGAAGAUCAACCCAUGGCUUCACUCUUAAGAAUGUCCGAAGAGAUUUAGCUUUAGGGACAGCCUCAAAAUUCUUAAAUGCAACAAGCCUGGUAUCAUCACUAUUAAAGUACAAAAAGUGGCGAGCCUUCUCAGAUACUUCUGGUGGUAACUUAUCAUCAUCUUCCACUCGAGCACAAAAAUCUCCAGACACGUAUUGAGCCAAUUCAUGUAUUAGAUCAUGCAUUACAAAGCAUGAUCCUUCUAUUCCAAUAGAUUUUUGAAAGAAAGACUUGGCAAGAAGCUCAUCAAAAUAUGACUCACCGAUCUCUUCCAUUCUCCUUCCUUUGUUUUGUUGUGCAUGUAAAAGACCUUCUGCCAUCCAUAAUAAAAUCAGCUCCUCUUUGUUGAAUUGGUGGUCCUGGGGAAAAAUAGAACAAUAAGCAAAACAAUGCUUCAGAGGUAAAGAAAGAUGAUGGUAGCUUAAUAUCAAAGACGGAAGAAUUUCGGAGCCACGCUGCGGAUGCCAUAUUUCACUUCUCAACACAUCGUCCCAUUCCCUUUUUUCGUCCUUAGAAUACAAGAGACAGCCGAGUGCUUUCACAGCCAAAGGCAAUCCUUGGCACUUGUCCACAAUCUGUCUGCCUAUGCGUUGAAGCUCAAGGUAUGCGUUGGGGUCUCUAUCUUCAAAUGCAUGCUUUUUAAACAGGGACCAACUAUCUUCAGAGCUUAAUUCCCCAAGAUGAUGAGUAGGGACUGCUCGCAUGGUUGUUGCAACAGAUUGAUCACGACUGGUCACGACAAUCUUGCUUCCCUCUGCUGCGAGGAGUGGAGUUCGUAGAAUAUUCCAAACUUCACGAUCACUAAGCUCCAUAUAACCUUCAUCACGAGGCUUCAAAUUCCAGACGUCAUCAAGAACAAGCAGAAAUUUCUUGUUACGAAGUUGCUCUGUGAGUUGAAGCUGAAGCAAAUUUAGGUUGUCAGCGGAAGUAGGUGGAGAACCAAUUUCCUCAAGAAUUGUUUUGGUGAGUUUGAUAAGGAAAAACUCAGUGGAAACACAGACCCAUGCUUGCAAGUCGAAGUGUUUCUUCACUUCCUCAUUUUUAUAGAGACGCCGAGCAAGCGUGGUCUUGCCGCUGCCGCCCAUGCCCACUAUGGACAUCACCCCCAUUUUGUCGCCUGUUGUAUUGUCAGAACGCAACCACUCCACCAUCUCCUUCUGAAUUCCAUCCCUGCCGACAAAAAUGGAGUCAUGCUCCAAAGAAGUGGUUAUUGGUGAUCUUGGUCUUGGUGACCGUUUCUCGCCCCCACCUUCUGCCAGCCCCAACCCAACUUUUUCUAGUGCGAUUUUUUCCAGUUGAACAAUCAUGCCCCUGACCCUGGACUCCAUGCUUUUGAUAGCAAAUGGGGCCUUCACAGAAGCAGAGAACUUCUUCCAUUUCCACGCCUUAAGAGUUCCGUCGGUAACGAUCUCGUCCAGCAGGUCUUCCGCACCAUACACAGCAUCCUUGACAGGGACGAGCCACUCUUUGACAUUUGGGUUCGAAAAUUGCUUCACCUCCGCAUCAUCGAGCACAUUGUGAACAACCACGAGUUUCCUCUUCAACUCGUUGAGGAGUUCAUCGCUAAGGCUCCGUCGCCGAAUGAAGUUUAUGAGCUCUGGAGAAGCCAACCUUUCGAAUAGAACUUGAAGCGAAGUUGAGAGGAGGGCGUCCGCCAUAUCUGUGUCGACUGUUGCUUUGCAAUAGGAAUUCAGAGGAUUGGUUUCUGUUACCGCGAUACCACCAAACUGCAAAAGACUGGGUUUGGAUUACCACACUGCAGAAUGCUUGAAGGAAUCAUUAUUGGUGGUGGACCCAGCUGCCAGAUAUUGGUGGUGGACCCAGCUACACUGCAGAAUGCUUGAAGUUAUUGGUGGUGACCCAGCUGCCAAUAUUUGUCAAACACCAUAGUGGUGAGAAAAAGAACAGGAAAAGCGAGUGGGAGGUAGAUGCGCUUUCCCCAAGGAAAGCAGAAUCAACAACAGCAUUCGGUAUUUUUCUUUUUCAUCUACGCAUUUCUUCUUUCUUUCUUCUAGUAUUAUUAUUAGUAGACAUAUACACACAAAUAUUUGUUUAUAACAUUUUCAUUCUUAAUAUUAUAAAAUUUAUUAUUAAUAAUAUUUAUACUAAUAUUAUUUUUUAAUAAUUAUAUUAGUAUCAGGAUUUUAUAAUUAGUAUCCUUACUUUUAUUGCUUAUAAUAAUAAUUAUUAUUAUUAUAUUAUGUUAUUAUUAAAAUUUAUUAGUAUUUUCACAUAAACAAUGAUAUAUGCAUAAGACAUAUUAAAAUUUUGAAUAUUAUGGUUAUUAUUAUUUAAUAAUAAUAUUAUUAUUUGAUUCAAAAAAAGUUUAUAAUAUAAUAAUAACAAAAAUAAUUUUUUUAAUAAAAUAAAUUAUAAAAAUAUAAUAAUUUUAUUAUUUAUAAAAUACAUUUAUUUUAAUGCAAUUAAAAAAAUUAAAAUAAUUUUAAAAAAUUUAAAAAUUUUCAAAAAAAAGUUAAAUGGGACGGGAUUAGGAUGGGAUCGAUCCAUCCCAAUGUCGUCCCGUUGUCAUCCCUAACUCAUCUUGUGAUAAUUAAGGCCAUUUUUUAUCAUUGUUUUUUUAAAAUGGUCUUUUAUCCUUAAUAUAUAUAUAUAUAAUAAUUAGAAAUAAAACAUAAUUUUUGUUUUUAAAAAUAAAAAAUAAGGCAUUUUUAGAUCAUAUCCUUUUAGUUACUUUUAUUUGUUUUUAAAAAGUAAUUAUAUAAAUAUAAAAAAUAAAAUAAUUUAAAUAAAAUUUAUUUUUAAAAUAUAGAAAAUUAGUUAAUAACACUUUAUCUUCUCAAGCUCUUGUUUUAUAAAAUAUCAUAAAAUAAUUUUCAAAAACUUUUUUUUUUCACAAUUUUGACAAACAAAACGUGUUGCAAUAAUGCACUUAAAUUCAAUGAACCUAAAAGCCAAAUGUGCAGUGUUGACUUUUCAACAGAGAGUUCACACAUGCCCAUUUUUUUAAUUAAAGCACUAUUGAUAUAAAAUAUAUAUUUAAAUAAAAAUUAGACUUUUAAAAAAAUUAAAAUAUAUUUUUAAAAUUAAAAUAUAUUUUUAAAAUGUUAAAAAAAUAUUUACAAUAUUUCCUUAAAAAAAACAUCUUCCAAAAACAUUUCUUUAAAAAAUACUUCCACCGAUAACAAUUUAGACACACUUGUGAUUUAAUAGUUAAAUAUUCUUUCCAACAGGAAUUCAACUAUCAGUUUGUAUUACCACGAUACCACCAAACUGCAAAAGACUAAUUUUGGAUUACCAAAAUGCAGAAGAGCUGAAGGAAUCAUUGAUGGUGGACGACCCAGAUGUCCACAUUAUUUGUCAGACACCAUAAUUGAGUGAUGAGGAAAUGAAAGAAAAGAAAAUAAAAAACAAAAAAGGUGAUGCCAAACAUGGUCUUAUAAGGUGGGUGGAGCGAAAGCAACAAAGGAAACUAGCAGGAUUUUUCAUUGCUAUUCCAUACCUUAAAGGACAAAUUUUGAAUUACCAAAAUACAAAAGACUUGAAGGAAUCAUUGAUGGUGGUGGACCAGAUGUCCACAUUAUUUGCCAAACACCAUAAUUGAGUGAUGACAAAACAAAAGAAAAAGCAAAAAAGGUGAUGCCAACAUGGUCUUGUAAGGUGGGUGGAGCAAAAGCAACAAAACAAACUAGUAGGAUUUUUUUAUUGCUAUUCCAUAUCUCAAAUGACUAAUUUUGAAUUACCAAAAUAUAGAAGACAUGAAGGAAUCAUUGAUGGUGGUGGACCAAGAUGUUCACAUUAUUUGCCAAACACCAUAAUUGAGUGAUGAGAAAAUGAAAAACAAAAAAGGUGAUGACAAACAUGGUCUUGUAAGGUGGGUGGAGCGAAAGCAACAAAGUAAACUAGCAAGACUUUUCGUUGCUAUUCCAUACUUCAAAGGAUUGAUUUUGAAUCAUCAAAAUACAGAAUACUUGAUGGAAUCAUUGAUGGUGGUGGACCCCGAUGUCCAUAUUAUUUGCCAAACACCAUAAUUGAGUGAUGAGAAAAUGAAAAAAAAAAAAAAGUUAAGAAAAAACAAAGAAGUGAUGCCAAACAUGGUGUCGUGAGGUGGGUGGAGCAAAAACAACAAAACAAACUAGUAGGAUUUUUUGUUGUUAUUCCAUACUGAGAAAAUAAAGGGCUAUUCUAAAUAGAUAAAAACACCCAAGAGAGGAGGUGAAUAGAAGUUAAAAAAUUUCUUUUUAAACACAAUAAAAUUAAGCAUAAGAAGUACAAAUAUAAAGAAGUAAGGUUAUAGAAAGUAAACUCAAAUUUAUAGUGGUUCGACACUUCCUUACUUACAUCCACUCUCCUCAAGCUCCUAAUCGAGUGAGGGUUCCACUUAUACUUGAAGUUUCAACCAAACUUCUAAUCACUUUUUACACUUGGAUUCCAUCUCCAAUGGACUCUUACACAAUCUUUUCAAGUCUUUACUCACUUGAAGGUUUUAACACUCAAUUAACAAGUUUGAAUCUCUCAACCUAGCUCAACAAUGACUCAAAUACAACUCAAGGCUAGGAUGAAUCACUAAGGUGCACUAAAGAAUAUGCAAAUGAAAAUUUAAUGCACUAAUAAAAUAAUGAGAGCUUUUAUGGCAAUAAUAAGUAGGUAAACAAAUAAAUGCAAGUGUUCUCUUACUCAUAAAUGAGGUAGAGCUCUCAAUUUAUAGGUUUCUAACCUCAGGAGCUAAAAAGCCAAAAAACAGUCUCAACUGGUUGAACUGGGGGUUGACUGGUUCAUUAGCCGUUGGAACAUUAAAUGCUUGGCAGGUGACCGUUACCCUCGACCAAACCUUAACUGAGAAGGCAAAUCCAUCAACCAGGAAAGAAAGGCUACUAGAAGAGAGAGAAUGUUUUUCACAUCUCUCAACCGGACCUUGACAUAGAAAGAGUAAUCGGUAGACCGAUACCUUAGCUGAUUGAGCCGAUUGGCCAGUGCCUCGACUAGUUCACCAUUUUUAGUCUGAAAACCUAUCUUUUUCUGGUCUUUUUGCUUCUAGCACUUAGGUAAGGACUUUAGAUAAAAUAAUAUGUCAAUUUUGAAAUGUUUUGCCUAAGGUUCAUUUGAUAGAACUCGGAUUUUGAUGGAAAUGUAACUUUAAUGCAUAAACCGAGUUUUAAAGAUGUAUGAAAUGAUAUGAAUACCCUAAGUACACUCAUGCAUUCAUCUUACGUAUGUUUCCUAUGAUUAAAAGGUCGUUCAAAAGUCUUGAUCUUGCAUUCAUUAGGUCCUUUAAUGAAUUUCCAAAUUAACACCUGAAAUUCUUUAUAAUUCAAAUCAAUUAGUAACUUAACCAUGAUUUGUUAUAAUCAAAACAUGAUUAGGAGAAUCAUUGGGCUAACACAUACCUCAAAGGACUAAUUUUGAAUUACCAAAAUAUAGAAGACUUGAAGGAAUCACUAAUCUUUUUAUAAUUUAGAAAAAUAAGUAAAACGAGUUUGAAGAAAUGUAUAAAAAUAAUUUAUUAAAUUUAAAUUUAUUUCUUAUUUUCCUUCAUUUUUUCUUUUUUUCUACUUUUUCUUUCUAUUUUCUUUCCUUCUCGUUUUCCCUCAAAUUUUCCAAGAGCCAAAUAUAGCUUAAAGGUUUAGAAUCUUAUGCACAAGACUUUCAAUUUUUUUUACAAUAUUAUUUUAUUAGUUAAGAAUUAAAAUUUAAUGUACCAUAUCUAACACUAACAAAAAAAUUUAUAACAACCAAUCUUAUCUUUUAAGAAUAUAUUGUUUAAAUGAGAUUAAAAAUUAAAAAUAAAUUUUAAUUCAUUUAACAACUAAAUUAAAAUGAAAUUUAUAUAUAUAUAUCAUAAAUUUAUACAAUUUUGAAUCAUUUUAUAUGGAGGAUUGAGAAUGGAGAGAUUGAAGAAUUGUUUGGUGACGAGGAGAUUGAUCGAAGAUUUUAUAGUCUUAAGGUUCUAUGGGAUGAAAUUUUUUGUAAAGAGUUUAAAUUUUUGUAAAAAAUAAAAUUAGUUUUAUGUUAUUUGAUUUCAUGGAAAUACAAAGUUUUAAUUCAAAGAUUAUGUUUUAAAAAUAUUAUUUUUAAAAUAUAUUUAGUAAAGAUUUAUAAAAAUUUAAAAUUAAAAUUAGUUAAUCUAUCAACUAAAUUAAAAUAAGAUUUAUAUAUUAUUUUUAUAGAUUUACAUGUGUAAAAUCUUUAAAAUGCCUCAACUUAAAAUAUCCUUACAAAAUUUCAUUAAUCUACUAGCAAUCUGCAUAUUGUCUCUACAUAGAGUCAAUUUGCAUUAGGAUGAAUACCAUCAUAAUAAUAAUUACGCUCCACAUAUGAUGUAUCUUAACAUCCACUUGGAGGUUAAAAAAUAAUUAAAGUAAGGGAAACUAAUAUAUUUAAAAUUUAAAAAUCAUUAUGAAGAUUUGGACAAUAAUUCAAGUAGGCAUCUUUGAAAUUUGGCUUCCAAAUCCCUUUGUCAAUAUACACCACCCUAUGACAAUUAAAUAAAUUAAAAGAAGGAAAAAAAAUGUUAAAGGAAUGACAAAACAUAGGGAACAAUUAUAUUUAAGGAGUGGAUGGAGUUGAUAAUGACUAAAGGGUACAAAUCUUGCAUAAUUGAACUAAAAAGGUAGAAAAGGUUUGUAGAUUGUUGUGGAAGAUAUAAACCCACUUUGUGAGUCAAAAAUGCUCAAAAUACCCUUAAGGGUGUUUUUUAAAAAAGGACAAUUAAGUACUCAUGAUAAUUAAUAUAUUAAGAUUUCAAGAAAAAUUAAUAAUAAAUAAAAUCUUUUUCUAAAUCUAUUUAACAAUCAUAUAGUUUUUAUUUUAUUUUAUUUUUUCAAGUGGCAACUAUUAUCUUAAUUUAUUUUUCAUUUUAAGGUUCAAUUAUUAUUAUUCUUUAUUUUGAAAUUUAAUUAAAUGAAACUGUAUAAGACAUGUUUAUAUUAAUUAGCUAAAAAGGAUAGAUUUUUUAGCAAUAUGAUUAAAAUAAAUAAAAACAAGGAAUUUGAUUUUCUUUAUAAAAUAGAUUAGGAAAAGUAUAUUUCGAUACAUUCGUAUGAAAAAAAAAUUCAUAAAAUAGGAACUCAAGUUUAUAAAAUACAAAUUUUAAGCAUUCAUCUAAAAAUAAUUAUCAUUUCAUGCAUUUUUUUUGUCAAAUAUAUUAUAUUUGAUAAUUUAGGUAUUAUAUUUUAAUAAUAUAAGUAGUACCUUUGACCCCCAUAAAACUUGAAUUAUUUUAAAUAGUUUCUAUUAUAUAAUUAUUUAACCAUUUGAUAUAAAUAUUAAAUAAUAAAAAAUAUAUCAUUUUUUAAAGAAUUUUAAUUAUAUUUGACUUUCUUUUGUAUUUUCUAUGGUGUAAUUCACAUAUGAGAAAAUCAUUUUCUUUAACAUUUUUUUUUCUUUCCUUAAUAAUUUUCGAGAACCAAACAAGGCUUGUAGGUUUGAAUUAUAGGGUAUAGAUGCCAAAAAUACCAGAAUGAGUUUGGGUUUUCAUGCUAAAUGUCUUUAUUAUUAUUUGGUAGCACUUUUCCAAAAUUGUUCCAUUCCCAAAACCACUUAAUUUGCUUAAAUAUUUUUACCUCACGAUAUCAUAACAUUAUAAUGGAAUAGAUUUUGUUGGUGUUCAAAUCAUGUCAACUCAAUUUCCAAACCAUUCGGAUUGUCAUUUGGUGAAAAAUAGAAAGAAAUUUUACUUUAUUGAAAAGCAUUUCAUUUUGAUUUGAAUAUGCUGCAAUGAAAUAGUUACUAAACCAUGGGGUAGCAGAAGAAGUAAUCGAGAAAAUGAAGAAGGAUGUUCAAGAAUUCUUUAUGCUGCCAUUGGAGAAGUUUUCAAGAUUUCUCCUGAGUAGAAAACUUAAUGGUAAGAGUACAAUAAGUCAUAUGAAAUUGGAGAACUGAAAGAGCAUAAGAACCAUGUUUUAUUAAAAGACCUGUGAAAGUUUAAUCAGUCAUGGAACUACUAAGAGGGGAUGAAUUAACAGUUUUCUUAAAUUUUGUCCAAAGUUAUGAAUUUUUAUUUUUUAUAAUUUUUUUUUACUUAAAUUGAAACUUAUUAAUCAAGGUAAGAUUUCAGCCACAUCGAGAAACAAUUUACGUGAAAAGGGACUGAUAAAAUCUUGAGUUUACAGAUGUAAAAACCAUAAGGCCAAAGACUGUAGAACUCCAACCCACUGAAUCAAGAAUAGAAACACAAAUUUAUCUACCAACCUACACUAAUCUCAUAUCUACAAUGCAACACCAUCGUACUCUUAAGUGACUUGAAAGGAUGUGAAUAUUUCUCACAAACUUCAUAAUGAAAUUCAAAUUAGCUCUGAGAGUUUUGGGUUAGGCACAAAGAGUAAUAAUGCAUAGCUUUUGUGUGUGAGUUUUUAAGUGAACUUAAGACUCAAUUUAAAGCAUGUAUUUUACUAAAAAUAAAAAAAUAAAUUUAAGAAACUUCAAGAAUUUUGGAAAGAUAAAUUUUAAAAAAAAUUCAAAGAGAGUCAGAAAAUGUUUCCUUUUUAAAUUCUCAAUUUAAUUUAUUUUCAAAUUUAUUAAGAGUUUAAGAAAUAUUUUCUUUUUAAAUUAUCAAUUUAAAACUCUCUUUUAAAUUAAUUUUAUUAUUAAUUUUCAUGCAAGUCUACUCUAUACAUUUUACAUCGUUAUUCUCAAUUAACUCAACAAUAUUAGAGUGUAACAUCCCCAAUUGAUUUUGCACCAACCUUAAGUCUUCAAAGACAAUGAUUGAGGCAUUUCUUCUCCUAUUUUCUCCGAUGUAGAAAAAAAACUUGAAUAAGGUUAAAGCUGGUCUAUAGCAAAAAGUCUUAAUUUGAGUUAGCCUCUUUUUUUUUUUCCAAAUGAUAUGCAGGUCCAUCUAGCCUUCAACUCAAAUUUUUUAUUCAAAAAUCACAUGUGGAUAUGUGAACAAGUAAAAGUUGAGUUUUACCUAACAAAUCAUUUUGAAAAUUAGGAAAUUUAAAAGGUAUUAGUUUGUUAAACUCACCACCCCUGUCUAUUCUACAAAACAAGAAGAUUAGCAAAGAAAAAGUAUUCAUAUUUGUACUACAAAAUAAAAAGAUUAGCAAAGAGAGAAAUUGUACCCAUGAGUGCAGAGUUUUGGGUUAAAACAACCCUUUUGAUGGGAAAAAUAUUAAAUUUAACCACUUUGUCAAACUAAUGUGUAAAAUGAUCCUUUUAUUAUCACAUAGGAGUCAUAUCACUAAUAUAUAUAUAUAUAUAUAUAUAUAUAUUUAAUUUAAGUUGAAGCCUCAAUUGCCAAUUAAGGCUUCAAUUAUCAAUUAUGACUUUAUUUUUAACCCGAAACCUUACUUGCCAAUUGAGGUUUCAACUAAAAAAAGAAACCUCAAUCGUCAACUAAGACUUAAUUUUUUAAUUGAAGCCUCAAUUGACAAUUGCGGUUUUAUUUUAAAACUGAAAUCUCAAUUGUCAAUUGAGGCUUUACUUUUGUGGAAGGAUUAUGUGACACUCACGUUACUAGAAAAAAGCCAUACUGAAUAUAAGUUUCAAAAGUGGCUUAAAAGGUAUAAAUUUUAUGAUCAAAGAUGCCAUUUUGACCCAAAAUCCCAUGGGUGCAUGAGACUCUAGUUAAUCAUAGAUUUCAUAGAUAAAAAUCAGAGUUAGGAUGAUUCAACCCCUAAGCGUCAAGAAUUCUUUAACAUAAUGUUAGAACAUUUUCCAAUUUAAAUUCGAGAGUUGACUUUAUUUGAAUGUGCUUUUGAUUUUUUUUUUUAAAUAAGCUUCAGUGUUUUUUUUAAAAAGAAAUAAAAAUAAAUAAAAAUAGGAGCUUCUAUAUAGAAAGUAAAAAUUUUAUCCAACAAAUAUAAGGCUCACCUUAUAUCCUUAUAAAAUAAAAAAUUUUAAAUUUUUUAAUACCUCAAAAUUUUUAAUCAAUAUUUAAAUAUCAUUAUAUUUUCAAUAUGAUUCCUUUAAAAGUUAAAAUUACUUAUAUUUUUUAUUUUCAAAAAAAAAAUAUAUAUAUAUAAGUAAUUUUAUGUUUUUUAAUUAUUAAGAUGGAUGAAAUAAUCCCAAAUUUGCAAAAAUAACUUCUUCUAUGUUUGAAUUUGAAAAAUAACUCAUUUCCAACAUAAAUACUCUUCAAUAUUUGGAUUAUUUUAAUAUAAAUUUUAGAAGAAAGUGUUAUUUUGACAGGAAAACAUGAAAGACAUUUUUGUUAAAAAUUGAUCUUUUUUUAAGGCUAAAAUAUAUAUAGGUUUAUAUUUACAAAUUUGAGACUAUUUCGUCCUCUUAAUCAAAUAACUUAAAAAAGAAAAGAGUUAAUUCCACAAGUGGGUUUAAAAUACUCACAAAAUUGCAAUAUAUAUAUAUAUAUAUAUAUAUAUAUAUAUAUAUAUAUAUAUAUAUAUAUAUAUAUAUAUGAAAUUACAAAUUUACCCUCGUGUGUUGAGCACAUGACACUUCCAUUCAUUAAAGCUAACAUUGUUAAAUAACAAAUGUACAUUGCAACUAUUUAAGAAGUAUGAAGGGCACAUUGCUUGAUUUUAGUACAUGGUGAGAAACUUGUUGAACAAGUUAUGUGUAAAGUUUUAUGGUUCAUGUAUGAUAGAAAAUACAGAUCUACUACAACACUGGAUUUGCAAUUUGGGUUAAUAUUUAAAGAAAAGACCAUAGGACAAAAAGAAUUAAACUUUUGGUGGAAAACAAUAAAGAAAGGACUACAUGGAAAAAGGGAAGAGAUCAUUAUAAAGGAAGAUUAUUGAAUAGAAAUAAUUCCAAGAACCUAAGGCAAGACAUAGAGUAUCACUACUACUAUCACAAAAAGGGGUAUAUCAUAAAAUUUAUGAAAUUUUGAAAAAGACCUAAAAAAUGAAGAAAAAAAAAAACAAAUCAAAGAAGCCUACAAGUGUAACUAGUGUUCUUAAAGUUGCGAAAUGAAGGUAAUAAAUCAAAAGUAGAUUUGUUAAUAGUUUUUAAAAUGCUUGAAUUAGGAAUUGUCUACUUGUACCAUACAAGCCCUUGUAGAGACUGGUUUGACAUGUAAAUUGUUUGUAAAAUCAUUUUAAUGGGCAAUAAUGCACCAAGUUGCUCCACGAGAAGGGGAGGGGUUUGUGAAACCAUCACUUGUCAUGACAUACAUCGUCGGGUAAUCACGGAUGAGGGCAUCCACGGGAGGCCAAUGUCUACCCUCGCUCCACACCCCUCUAGUACAAGGCUCUAGGAGGGAGAGAGGCAACAAGUGUGUGACACCAAGGUAAAUAUGCUUGACCUUAUGGCUUUGGGAGCAACUUGCAUUGAAAGACUUGAUGAUUCACAAGAUUCUACAAUUCAUACAAAGUAUUGCAUUUUGCGACGUUCUUCAUCAAUAAGAGAGCCUAGAUAUCCAUUGUCAAGAAUUCUUUAUGUAUGAAAACAAAGGCGCCUAACCGACAUGCCCAAGAUCAAGGCAACUGGAGCGUGUUGCUUCGCCCAAGUUACUUAGCGCGUUUUGUGCCAAAGUUUGUUGUUCGCUCAAGAGGGCUUUUGUGAAUCUUUGUAAUAAAGGGAUAAUACAGAGUGGGCCGUAAUUUAGCAUCUUACACGCUUAGUUUCUUCCAUUGGUGGCAUAUAUUAUUUUGUCUGUCAUUGGUGAUUAUUUAAUAAAACUAUGAGAGUAUUUCAUGAAAUAUAAAUAAGAGGUUUUUAGGAUAUUUAAUCGAUGGUAAACAAAAGUUGAAAACUAAGUAGGGAGGAAGAUAAAAUAUUUUAGAUUUGAUAGUGGACUUGAGCAUUAGAACAAGAAGUUCACAAAGUAUUGCGAGAAUUCUUAUAUUACUUAACAUCACAUGUAAAGAAAUUACAAAGCAAAAUGGAGUGGUUGAAAAGAUGAAUAGAACACCAUUGGAAUGACUAGGUGGCUAAGAUUAACCAUUGGGUUACUUAAGAAUUUAAGGGCUAAAGCUAUCAACAUAACUUAUCAUGUAAUUACUUAGUUGUCAAGUUUUACAAUUAUUUUCAAUAUUCCAAAAGAAGUGUCAAGUAAAUCAAUUGACUUUUCAUCUAUUGAAAUAUUUGAUUGUUGCACUUAUAUUCAUAUAUAGGUGAAAAAAAAAUUCAAUCCAAAAUAAAAAAGGUAUAUAUUCCUUGGGUUUGAAAAAAGGAUUGAUUAAAGACUAUAGACUUUGGGAUCCAACAAUUAAAGAAAAAAAAGUGGUGAGCAGAGAUGAAUUCAAUGAAAAACAUAUGUUAAAGAAAGAUCAAGGACAAAUGAAAUUGGUAUUGAAAAAAAAUUCAACUACAUGACCAAUCAUCGAGAUGAAAUUUGAGAAAAAUGUCAUUAAAUAUGAAAUCCCUCCUAAUUGAUGUCCCUAUUAGAACUUUAUAUGGGCAUCUUUCUCUAUUGCUCUAAAGAAUCAUCGAAUUGGGUAAGGACAUCAAUUUUAAGAUUUUAAUUUUUUUUCAUUAUUUAUUGGAAUAGGAGAUCUUUAAAUUUUUUUGGGGCUCAAUUAGGAAGGAUGAUAGUUAUCAAUGUGUUGGUGCUAUGUCAAAUGAGAAUCCAAUGCACAUGUUGACUAAAGUUGUUCUUAAGGAUAAGUUCAAGCAUUGGUUGAAUGUCAUUAAUUUUUCAUUUUGUAGAACAUGGAAGGUCAAUUUUAUCGAAGAGCCAGGUCAAUCAACUUCUAUUAGGACUUCCAUUGAUUCUUGAUUUGACUAGAGGGACUCCUAGCAGUAAAUUUGUAUGAAGGGGCCCUACGGAGAUGCAAGAGCUGCCAAUCGGAUCGACCAAUAAAUGAUAGGCCCAUGCAGAGAUGUCCCUGAAAUAGGGGAUUGGUUGAUUGGAAAGCUUAGGCAGAGUAUAAAGGAGAACAAUUUAGCAUUUUGGGAAAAGCACAUAUGAAGAUGUUUACAAGUUUGGAAAUUUGAGUUAAAGAAGAGAUGGUCUAAAAAUGUUUCAAAUUUCAAUUUUAUGUUUUUCUAAGUUUGAUAUAUCCUAUUUGGAUAUUUGGGAAGUCUUCUCUUGUUACAUAAGGUAGUCCUAUGAUGAGAUUUGUUAUGAAAAUAGGUUCUUCCUCGUGUGAAAUAUUCCUAUGAAAUUAAGAAGGAAUAUAGGAAGAGUUUUUAUUGAAAUUAUGAAUCUUUUUUUUAUGUAAUUAGAACUAAAAUAUGAGAGUUUUAGAAUUGUAAUUACACCUUUGAAUAUAAAUAAUUGAUAAUAGUGAAUUAAUUUACCUUCUCCCUCUAGAUGUAGGUAAAUGCUAAAUUAUGUUAAAUCUUGUAUUCUCAUAUGAUUUUUUUUUUCAUUUAUUUUUCAUUUUCUUGCCCAUUUCUAACUUGCUACUACAUAAUAACAGGUGGUAUCAGGCUUUUUGUGUUUGCACAACAAAUGGUCUCAGUUUUUCCAGCACCACAAAAAUGAUAUUUUACUUAAUUGCUCCUCAGUGGAAAAGUUGGAAAGAAAAAUUAAAUCAUCGACUACACCUUUUUUUUUUUUUCCAAAACUUUUCUUGUCUUUGUGCAAGAAAAUUAGUAUAUUUUCUCUUUAGUAUUUGUUUCUCAUUUAUAUAUAUAUAUAUAUAUAUAUUCAAAUGGAACCUUAAUCAUCUUUUAUAUGAAGUAUAAAAGAAUUAGAAAAUAUUCAAAUUUUAAAUGAUUUUUAUUAUACUUUGUCCACUUCCUAUUUCAUAUAUCAAAUUACAAUAGAAUUUAAAAUUCUUUUAUAAGUUUUUUCUCCCUUUGCUACCACAUAAACGCAAAGACAGUAUGUGAGUUAAAUACCUUAAAAGAAAAAGAAAUUAAAAUGUGAUACAAAACAAAAGUAACCUCUUUAAAUUCAAGGAAACAAAACACUAAACUUUUUCAUGUAUUUUAUUCCAUUUAUAAAUGCAACAUGACAAAAAUAGACAAAAAUAUAAAUGGAAACCCUUUGGGUCCUUUAUUUUAUAUUUUAUCAACUUCAACCAAUUCUAUUUCUAUAGCACAACCGAUAUUAUAAAGUUCAAUGAGUAUAUAAUAUAUAAAGAUACUAAUCAAUACGAAUUAUUCUUUCUUUCAAAUGGCUACUUGUAUUAAAAAUUAAAUGUAAUUCCUCCUAAACAAUAAAAUAUGUUGACACGAUUUCAAUGAAUAUACAGUACAUAAAGAUAUGACCAAUUAGUACGAAUUAUUCUUUCUUUUAAAUAGCUACUUAUACUAAAAUAUAAGUAAACAUAAUUCCUCCUAGAUAAUAAAAUAUGUUGACACAAGGAGGAAUAUAUUUACUAAUUAUAUCAUUUGCAAUAGCCUCAAUCUCGUGACGUUCUUCGAACCAACCAUAGACUUUAUUGAGAUAGGUUAACCAAGGGAGCUUCCACUCUCAUAACUCGUAUAUGAAAAUUUCAUCUUGUACAACUCAAAUAGAAACCCAUAAAUACCAGUUGAAACCAAAAUGUAAUAAAUAAAUAAAAACAUAUUUCAAUGGAUCCAAUUAGUAUUUUUCUGAUCUCGGAUAAACAAACAAAUUUUUCUUCAUUUUGUUUUUUUUUCCAUUAAUCUUUGUAAGUAAAUUAUAUUUUAAUUUAACAAAGCACUAAACUUUACUUUAAUUUUCAUGCAGGAUCAACUAGCUUAUCAUAAUAAAAUUUAUCAAUAUAGCUGAGCAGAGAUUUGAUGUAAUAAUACCAUACAAAAUUCAAGUAAAAUUAAAUUAAUCAAAUAGGACACUACGGUCAUAUUUGGAUACAUAUUCUAUUUUUUAUUUUUAAAAUUAAAAUUUUGAUAUAAAAUAUGACAACCCUUUGUAUAAAAAAUAAAAAUUUAUCCUAUAAUCUUAAAACUACUUUUCAAUAUUAAAAAAAAAUGAGGACGUGUCCUAAAAUUUUAAACAAAUUUAAAAAUAUUUUUAAAUACCAAGAUAUCCACUUUUUUCUUUUUUAAUAAAAAUUCCUAUAUUUGAUAUAAAACUCUAUUUUAAAAAAUGAAAAAUAAAAAAUGUAUCCAAACAUAAGCAAAAUUGUUAGAUUUCAUUGUGAGAUUUCUUAGAUUCUACAAUUCAUAGUGAAAUGAAGACGAGAGAUAACUGACUGAAUUAUGAAAAAAAAAAUUAACAUUGAUGAGAUUCAAAAAUGCUAGUUAAUGAAAGAGUUUCUCCGCCAGGAUGACUAAGAAAAAUGCUGAAAAAUGUGUCAUGCCCAAAGCAAUGUUACAAUGAAGAAUAGAAUGAGAGCUAACCCGAAACAAAAUCCGACAAUCGCCAUGAAAGCCUGGAUGCAGAGGAAAUGUAACUAGAGACAUGUAAGGAAUCAUUAAGCAAGUGAGAACAAUAUCAAAAUCUCAUGUACGACUUACUUACCUUUCCCUGAGAUUCAAACUUGAAUUUUACUGUAAACCAUGACAAUCCUCUAUCUACAAUAGGUGCAAGUGCAAGGGCCCUGCAUGAGAAGCACCUCUACAAAAAUCACAGAAAACCCAAAGGAAAAAAAAAAAAAAAGAGUAAAUAAAUAGAAACUAGUCUAUCAGAAACCAGGAGGCUGCAACAAAUAAUCUCCAAAUGUCAGAUUUAAUAUUUAUUUACAAAUGCCACUAAAAGGCCUUUUCAUCAGAGAAAUCUAGAAUAAAAAAGGAUAAGGAGCCAUUUGGAUUACAGAGGUCAAAGAUUGGGUUGGAUGGGAGCAAGUUUAACCUCCUCAGUGAAAAUGAAAAUGCAAGGCCCAUCAUCAACGCUAGGUUCAAAAAUUGACACCAUUUCUUGAAGACUUUCUUUUUUCAUUCUUCAAUUGUCAUUUUGAUUCAAAGAAGCAGCAGCAUGAUAGACUAAACAAUCAUCAUAAACCCAGUUGCAAGUUAUAAGGAUAAGAAAGAAAAUGAACAGAAAACAUAUAUGAGAGAACUGAUAGGCCAAAAAAAUCAUUGUUGAAGGAAUCGAGCAUAAAUCUCUGAACAAAAUUUAGCUGAAAUUCACUGAUUUUGGGUUAUUUUGUGAUAAGAGCAUUGCAAUAUCCCAAUAAACUGUUACGCUAACUAAAGAUUUAAAACAGAAUUUAGCUGCUUACCCUCCAGCUCUGACAAGUUUAGUGACCUGGCUGCCUGCCCACACCAUAGCCAUGAUUUUGACAAAUCUGCCAAUUGGAUUCCAUGUCAAGAUAUUUUGAAAAACUUGUGCAAAAAGAAACUUUUUGGAAUAAGUUUUUACCUUUCAACUGCCGCCAAAUAACCCAUCCUUCCUGGUGCUGGAGCAAUAUAAAACCUAGAAGCAGCAUAGUGAAUUCAGAGUUAUACUGGUUAUUUGAAAUCUACUCUGAACACCUAUGAUAGAGACUGCAGGAUGUGGUAAAACACUAAGGCAUAUUUCAAACUACAUUAUAAGGUAUUUGAUUAGAAAAUUAAAUAAAUAAAUAAAUAAAUAAAAUAACAUAACAUAAAAUACAAAAAAGAAAAAAAAAAUUAACAAACUGAAUUUGUCCAUAUGCAACAAUAUGCAAUUGUUAGCCAUGAAUCCCAGUUAUGUCGGUUUCCAGUAUUAAUAAUUAAGCAUGAUGUUUAUGAACUAGACCAGCAUUCUAAUAACUCUAGAUUGAAGGGCAUGGAUGUCACAUUUGUAUUCCAUCAUGUGCAACUAACAUCACAUUGAAAUAAUAUCCACUAAAGCAAGUUAAGACCCAGUAUAUCAGAUUAAAUUUUUUCUACCAUGAACAUAAGCUUGAUAAAAAUGAAGAUGGAAAUGCAAUACUUCUUUAUAUGACAUAAUGAAGGGAACCAAAUACAAGGACUCCCCAUUCCAGAUGCAGAAAGCCAAGUUACAACCUUUGCCAAAUAAAGAGAUCCACCAUAAGUUCAUUUUUAGACAUGCUAUAGUUGAAUAUGCCAUCAGUAAGUGAUCAAAAGCCAAUUCAGAUGGGAAUAACAGCCACAAUGUUGGGAAGGUCAAUAACAAAAGCAUUGACUUGAAUGUUGGCAGUGUCAUUUACACUGGCCAUAAGAACCAGAGGUAAUGCAUACAGUUGGUAAGGUGGGGAGGAGGAGAUGAGAAAUUGAAAAGUCUUGAAUUUAUUUGUUUCAUGCAAUUCCGUUUUCCAAUACUCUAUACGAUAAUAUACAUUGUACAGCACAAGAAUAGGGUUGUUUUAAAAUUUUGAACAAAUAAAAAUUUCAUAUCAAUAUCUAAUAUUUAAUAAAAAAGAAUGAAACAAGAGUAAGUACAUUCUCUUCUCCUUAACAUGGUAUUAAAGCAGUCUCCAAACUCUUAACUCCUAGUUGCAUACUUGAUUUGCACUGGAAGUUGCAGUUUGCUCAUUUUGUUAUUCAAGUAAGUUACUUCAAUCUAUCAUAGUUUAAAUGACUUGGGACGGUAGUUGUCAUGGGCACGAAUUUUCCCACAAAUUUUUCGCAUUCACACAGCGCUUAGAAGCCCUCUAAGCCAACAUACUCAAACCCACAUGAGAUUGCAAUCAAGAAAAACCUCACAAAGACACACAAGGCUAUGGAGCUCAAUCCCUAACUUGUAUUUUAUUUCUUCUCUAAAUAACAAUACCAGACAUAGCUUAACAAGACUUCCACAAUCUCUUUGGUGAGUUCAUGCUCUCUCUCAAGCUAUGUAUAUUCUCUAUGAUCUCCAGAUUGCACGAUAAUUCAAAGGGCACUCCAGUCCUCCUUUUAUAGGUGUGACACCAACCACUCCCUAUUUGAUAAGGAGCAACGAAUCCUAGUUCUACUCAAACUACAAUUAAAAUAAGAAUCUAAACUCCUAUUCAAACUCAAAUUACAAUAACAAUUUGAAUUCAACUCUGAACUUUCAAAUGUCUUCGGCCCAUUCCUCUUUCAUUUGAAACUCCUUGUAUCAGGCCACAUAUCAGCCCUUCAAUUCCCUGGUUUGUGGUGCAAUAUAUCUUCCUUAAGCUUGUCCCAAUGCCAAGACAUCUUUGUUGUGUUCUGCCUGAAGUCUACCCACUCUUGUGCCUUGAGUCAGUCCAUUCAUGCAUUUGAAUCAGCUGAUGCAUCCGAUCAGCUUGCUAUAGCGUCUCUAGGCAGCCUACUACAUGUGUCUCUAUGCAACUAGUGUGCAUGCCAAGCCCUCUCUUAGCCUACAGAUCUAGCAAUUUUCCUUGGUGCCAAUCUUUCCUUUGGCUGUAGCCCCUUGUUGUUCCUUGAGCGUGUCAGUCAUGCUCAUAUGUGUUCCCGCAUCUGGAUCACGUCCAUGCUGAGGCAACCUGCCCAAGUUUGCUCUGCCUAGCUGUUGUUAUGGCAUCAUGCCAUGCCCAAGCCCUCUUCUUGGUGCAGCAACGAGUCAUGGCAUUGCACCCAUGACUCCUCAUCUCUAUGCACAAGGCAUUGUGCCCUUGUGCCACGCCACCUCAUUGCACAAGGCAUUUCCCCCUCAUGCUACCGUUGGGAAGGGAAGACUGCAUAGCACCCCAUGUCGUUGCAACCUUGAGUUGCACACCAUCACAUGUCAUGGAGCCCAUAUAUGGUUGCUAGCAAGGCUUGCCCAUGUGCCUUGCUCAUGUUUGAGGACUUGCACCAAAGCCCCUAAGUGUGGCCAUGCCCAUGCCACCUCGUCUCCCUUGAGUCACCCCCACCCUCACCCCCCUUAAAAGAGCAUUUUAAGCCCUUUUAAUUAAUUCAAGAAAAUCUAGAAAAUUUUGCUUCCACUUGGAGUCUCCCUUUUGAAGGUUCCUAUAAAUCUUUUAUCUCUAAGCGAAUUAACCAAGUCACUUAAUUGUUUUGCAACAUUCCUUCCCUUCCCAUAGUGUAUUUCAAGAUCUCUUAAUGAACAAGACAAUUGGUGGAGGGCAUGAAGUAAGUGGAAUUUAUCACCAUAUUGGCCCACCUUUUACUCCAAUUGCUCUACGUACUUCCAUUUCUUCUAUGUAGUGGCACACCUUUCACUACGCAUCUUUAGCAUAUGGGACUUCUAGUUAUAUUGGACUCCAAGUUAAAGCACCAAGUUUGUGAGUCAAGCAAAUAGCAUCACCAUAGUGUUGUUCUAGUCCUUUUUGUUCUAUAAUCAAUAAGAGGAGUACUAGUCCUUUUCAUCUUGUUCAUUUAGACAUUUACAGUUUAUGUAGUGUUGUUCCUAAUGUUGAACUAAACUUUUUUAUUGCUAUUUUAUUAAUUAGAUCAAUGAAAAUGGUAUGAGCAUAAAGAGGCUGAAUAAUAGGUACUAAUCUCUUAAAAAAAACUAUCUUGUAGAAACAUCAUCAGGUGACUAUGCACAAGUAAAUGGUCUGACAAGGCGUGAGAAAAACAUUCAUUUUUGUGCAACAACCAAGUAUUUGCAUCUUAAUCAACCAAAGAAUAAAUGGCUGAAGACAAUAAAUGACUGAACAAAAAGAAAAUCAUAAGUUUUAGGCCAGACACUUUUUUCAUCAAUUAUAUACAACAACAAUAAAUCAAAUAGUCCUAAAUUUCAAAAGAAUAAUGCUCAGCAGCUAUGCAUACUCACAAGUCACAAAUACCUCAUCCUUGACUAAUUUACAUGAAUGAAUUAUUUACUUACCAUACCAAGAGAAACGUUGUAAGAUAGUAUGCAGUAUUCAGGAGUCCAUAGGAUAAUAUUCCAGAAAUUCCAUAUCUCUUCAGUUUCUUUAGAAGACUGAAAGGUUAAGCAAGAAUGAGCUCUCAAUGUAAGUAGACAUGCAUUUCAGCAUACAAAGGGCAAAAGGAUUGAGGUAUCACUUCUUACAGAUUGUUUGCAUGAAAUUCAGUAGUAGAAGAGAAAUUAAAAUGAUUGGGACAAGAUCACUCAUCCAAACAAUAGUUUAUUUACAGAGAAAAGGUCUAAAGCAUAAUCAUGCAGUAGACAAAAUGAAUCUUUUGUGUCAUGUUCCAAUAAUGUUAACAAACUACAUUAAAUUCAUAAGGUUACAUAGAAAAAGAAAGAAAAGACAUUGUUGCAAUAGUUUGGUUGUUACACUGCUAGCACCCAGACUACGACCAAAUCCUUGCAUUGAAAUUGAAUUUCAAACUCCCAAUGUGAAAAAGGAAGAUACAAAAAAGAAAAGAAAAACAGGAGGAAAAAAAAAAAAACAGAGGGAAAGAAAAGAAACAUGGGAUUUCCAUGUAUAAUACAUACAUAUUAUAUCUAUAGAUAAAUGCAUGUAUGUGCAUAUGUCAUAGAGGCUGGUCAGACACAUUUCAAGAAGUUUCACAACUUGCUUUGGAAUGACAAACACGUGGAUCAAUAAAUGGCUUGUCUCCAUUAUUGAGAAAUUGCAGGUAAAUUUCAUCCACUACAGGCAUGGGGUGGCUGGACAAAGUUAUGCCAUUUGGUGGGAUGUAGUGGACUUAAGACAGAAAAUUCUCAAUCAUUCUUCUGUCCCUUGUGCAGUGUUGAAGCUGACAAUAUUAUUGAGCAUACAAGGAAUGUGAUGUAAAACAUCAUUGAGGACCAUGAGCUGCGAAGGCAGGGAGAAAUUAAGUUAUGAUUAAGUUUUGGUGAGGGAUUUUCAGAUGCAGAUCAUAUGGCAAAUUAACUUCAGAGAAUUGCAUGUUUUUAUUCAUUUCCAUACACAUUGAAUAAUCAUAUUUAAAAUCCCUCAUUCACUUGUUUCGCUUCCAUUAGUGCUCCUUCCACAUGCCUAUUAGCAGCAUAGACCUCAUGAUAGUUUGGUAAAGGUAAGACAAUAAAAUUGAAAAAUACAGCUAAAGCCUAAAAUAUUGGCUCAUAAAGAGAGAAACCAUCCAAGUUCUAUCUUAAAUGACUCUACAAGUUCUAAACAGGGAGACAAGGACUUCAACCUGGUCCAUCAAUGCAUAUAAAUGGGUAAUCAUUCCAACAACCAUUACGUUAGAAGUACACUAAAAGAAAAUUAUUAAACAAUGUUGUUUCCAAAAAUUCCAUGUUAAAGAAUAGAAGAACAUACUGCUAUAAAUGAAAUUCAUUCAAAACAGUUCAAACAGUAAAGUUAAGAAUUGUGACUGCAUAUUUUUUUUUAAAAGAAACAAGAAUUGUGACUGCAUAUCACCACACUUGUUUUAUUUAUAAUCCACACAAUGUAUUCUUCCCUAGCAUGUUAUCCCAUUAAGUAACCUCCAGAUAAAAUUCCCUUUCUGACUCUGUCAAUCAGCCAAAAAAUUUGAUGUAAAAUGUAAAAUACAUGGGUACACAAAAACAACUAUAUAAACUGCCAUCCCAUCAUUAAUAAAUCAUUUGUCUAUAACAUAGACUAAUAGCACUGUAAGGCAAGUAGGAAGUACUCUUUUGAUGUGUGCAGUUCUCCUUCACCAUUUUCGCCCUUUGCACUGGAGUCUAUAAAAAUAUGUAUAAGUAGAUUUUUAGAAAUAUCAAGUUUAUCAAAUGUAAAAUAUGGUAUCACAGAAAGCUACACCAUUUUUCUAGUUAUCAUUUGAAAGAUAUUGAUACCUUCAUGGUUGGCAGAGUAGUCAUGACCAUUUGACAUGCCAGAAGCCUAACCUACAACAAAGGCAAUGUUGAAAAAGCAAUAUUCAAAAUUCAAUGAAAAAAACAGAAGACAAACAAAUGAACAAAUAGCAAAUCAUCACACUCAAUUGUUUUCCAAAAAUGAAAAACCAAAUGAAAGGAACAAGGAAUAUAUUGAGAAAAAAACCUAUGAUCAAUGGAUAUGCAGUUGCAUUCUAGCACAUAUAUAGGAUCAAACAAGUAACUAAUCUAGACAUAGCUGCAGCAAAUUUGUGUAUCUCUGAAUGCGUGUCUGCUUUUUGUGGGGGGAUAUUUAUUAUGACAUGUUCUUAGUGCAGACAAACCAUCUGCAUUUACUUGAGGAUUAGGUAAACAUACUUUCCAUUUAAAAUGAGGCCUUGAACAUCAAGCCCCGGUGAGUUUUCAAAUAAGGAAAACAUAAUAGCUUUACAAUGAGUCCCAUAGCAAGAAGGCAUGCAAUUCCAUUCAUCAGCAUACCAGAAUAUAGAAUAGUGUGGACAUGUGGACACAUGCCAGAAUUAGCAUUGGACACACUAACAUGCCAGUCAUACAUAGAAAGACUUUCCAAAGAUAUUAAAGUAAAACACUGGUAGUAAGCAAAUUAGACCCAGAAAAACAUGCAAGUAUAGGCCAAGAUCAAAUCUUAAUUUUAAUUUCCAGAAAAAAAAUAAAAAAUUAUAUCAACCAAUAGAAAUGGUAUCAUCAGCAAUUAACACCAAAACACACCAACAUAUCGGAAUGCAUAUCACGUGUACCAAUCUCCAAUCAGCAUUACACCUGUACAAGUUAGCCUGUAGCAGGUCAUAAUAGGUUCAGACUAUAAAACCUUCCAAAUCUUCCUUUGCAGGGCUUAGAAACUAUUUUCUAAGUAAUUUGCAAUUUUAAAAGCCUGUGACAAAAUUUUGGAUGAAGAGCUUAAACUAUAUACUCACAAACCCACUCCAAAAUUUCCUUAAGGUAAUACACAUUUUUUGAAGUCCUUUCCAAUGUCUUCUCUUAUUUGAGUUAGAAAAGCCAAUGUUUUUAUGAAUUGACUACUACGGCUGUUGAGGUUUGAGGUGUAUAACUAAUUUCUUAAUAUAUCAUAAUUUACAUCAGUCAUUAGAAAUUAAGGUUCCAUCCUUUUACACUAAGAAAAUCCUGAGAGCAAUUAAAAAAUACCUUCUUUAAUAUUAUUAAAUUUAAGUUUCCUUUAGGUCUUUGAGUCUAAUAGAAAUUAGUAUAAAAGGAAUUUUAAUUUUCUUACACUAAGAAAAUAAAAAUAAUAGGCAAAAUAAUUUUCAAAUUUUGGAACUUUAUAGGUAAUGCUUAUUAAAAUAAAGCAACAAAGUUUGUCAUUUGCCAAUGAAUGAACCAAUUGUGGAAAACUAUGCAAAAAAUUUUAUUAGCAUGGAAUUUUUUUUUUCUGCCAAUAUAUAGAAUUCAAUUUCAAACCUGCCCCUCCCAACCCACCACUUGCUACUUGAGGCAAGCUUAGAGGCAGAAAACUAUUUACAAUUCUACGUAUGGAUAAAAAUUAUUUCUUAGAUUUUAUGCCAAUUCCAUAUUUAUAGGUAUCAAUUUAUUAUUCUACUGUUGUCAGAAGCUUCAAUUUUGGGCGUCCUCAUGGCUAUGCCACCCUUAAAUGAGAACAACUUUGGUCUUCUGUUUUUCUUUUUGAGCUCUUCAAAUUUUUGCAAGUUACUUCUAUCCAGGUUCUAGGAAACACCCAUUUUUUUAAAUCUCCAAUAAUUUAGGGUUCUGUGGCUGAGGGAAUAGACUUAUUUUUGGUUGAAGCACAUAAAAUUCUUGGCUAUUUUUUUAUUUUUUAUUUUGCCAUCAGGUCCUUUUAGGUUGAUUUUUCUACUUAUUUUUCACCCACCAAUUAACAUUGCCCUAACUCUGUUAUCUAUCCGAACAAAUGUUUAUGAACUAGCAAAUCAUACUAAAAUUUCUUACUAGUUGACAUGUGCAUCAUCUCAGCAUGUCAUUCCAACACCAAACUACAACCAUAAUCUCACUAACAUCCUAACUGCCUCAAUGAGUAUGGAUUACAGAAAUGCAAUUAAAAUAUACUUCCCUAUUUAAUUUCAUAAUUUUUAUAAUAAUAUUUCAGCAAUAUUUCCACAUAGUAGCUUAUGUGAGAAAUCCCCAUUUCCGUAUAAAAUCGAAAAACCCUAUAGCUUGCGCAUGUAAAUAGAAAAAAAAAAAAAAAAGACAGAUUUUGCAGAAUUGGGAGAGCAGACUCACACCAGCAUGGCCAUUGAUUGAGCAGAAACGCAGAUGACGAUGAUGGUGGUGGAAUUGGGAGAAAUUGUUGAGUUUGUGGAAUGUGGGAACCCUAGGAAUGCUGGGAUUGAAACCCUGGAUUGAAACAAGAGGAUUGUGAGAGAGAAUUGGAAAUUGAAGAAUCAAACACAAAAAAUAAAUCCAAGAAAUAAAAAAGAAGCGUAAAAAUGAAAUAGAGAAGAGUGUGUAUGACGCACCUGAUGAUGUGAAAGCAGCUUCAGCUGGUGAAGGCAAACUUUCGACGGGAGAGACAUGAGCAUACCGGCCUCCGACAACAAUCCCUCCAAAAUAUUCUUUCUAUACCAUUUAUUAUUAUUAUUAUUAUUAUUAUUAUUAUUUUCAGGUUAUUUGAAGUGCAAUGUCUAGCUAUACCAUUUAUUAUUAUUAUUAUUAUUUUAUUGCUAUUAUUAUUUUCAGGUUAUUGAAGUGUAAUGUCCACCAUACCUUAUAUGCCAUCCAUGAUGAAGGCCUUAGAACUCUCCAUGGAGCCUAAAUCUCGGGAUGCUAAUCACCCUAUAAUAACCAGCAUAGAGUAUAUUCAAAGUAUCAUUAAUGACAAAUUUCGAACUUAGGACCAUAUGUCAUUUACUGAGACCACACUUCUUAAUGUUCAUCCUUAGCGACACACUCAUAUGUACCAAAUCAUCCGAUAACCUGUUUUUCCUAUUUUCUCAUUUUUACAAAAAAAAAGAAAAAAUAAGAAUAACUUCUAUUUUUAAAAUUUUAAUUUUUUUUAUAAGUAAAUUUUUGUUCUCAUUAGGACCUGUGGAACCUCCCACAAGUCCUCCCGAAUCAUUUACCACUUGAGUCAUGCCUUAAUGGCUUGUUUUUUUAAAAAAUAAUAACAACUUUUAUAUAAAAAAAAAUACUUAUAAAAAAUAUAUACAUGUCAUUAAAAGUUUAAAGAAAUUUAAAUUUGAUAAUAAUUUUUUAAAUAAUUUAAUGUGUUAAUUGUUCUUAAAAACCGUAAAUAACCUAAAAAAGAACAGUAUGUUUGUAAAUUGACCAAAUUGUUAUAUGGUUUUAAAUAGUCACCUUAACAAUGUUACAAGUGAGUUGAUUAAUUUAUGGUAGAGAAGAAUUACAAUAGAAUUCAAUUAGUUAUCGCAUUUGAAGUCUUUGAUUAUUUGUUGAAUAAUAUUUGCAGCCAAUUAGCUAGGGUUGGCUAACCCAAGCCAAACCUAGUUACCAAUAUGUCCAACCUAUGCUAAACUCGAUUCAAAGUAAGGUUGGUAGUUACUAAACUCAUUAACAACUAAAGUUUCUAUGGAUUCCCACGAGUUUUCAUGGAUUAUCAAAUAAACCACAUAUAAUGGAAUCUCCUAAUAUAUAAAAGACAUAUUUCAAAUUAUAAAUUAAACCAUAUUAUAAAAUAAAAUUUUAAAAGCUAAGUAUAUAUCAAAGUCAUAAAUUAUAUUACUAUUCACUAAUUUUAAUGGUAACAUGAAACACAAGUGUGAAUAUUUAAAAAUAUUUUAGUAAUUAAACAAAAAUGAUAGACUUAUAGUGUAAUGUAAUAAAACUAGCAAAAGUUAUAGUUAUUUCAUUAUCCCUUUUAUAAAUUUCAUAUUUUAAAUAAACUAAUAAAUAAUAUAAUAGUAAUGAAUUUGCUUAGUCUUCAUCAUGUAGAACCAAUUUGAAGAAUUUUUUUUUAACAGGACUGAUUAAUGACUUAAUUAAGGGUAGGUUACAGCUAAAAUAUUUAGUAGGACUGAUUAGUGACUUAAUUAAGGGUAAACUACAGCUAAAAUUUUCCUAGUAGUCUUCCACUAUGGCAAAUUGUGGGAACUAGUAGUGGCCUGUCCAACCUAUAGAGGAAACAAAUAGGUGAGUGAGUUAUUGAAUAUGUGGCUGAGAGUGACCAACCAUUGAGGCUCACAUGAAGUUGUAGUGGCUGAAAGGAAGGGAUAAGAGACCAAAAACAUGCUCAGAGAGAUUCUUGUUAGGAUCAAAUUGGGGGCAUAGAUAUAUCUCUUUGGUAAGAGUUCCCAUAAUUUAGGUAUUAAUGAAAUAGGUAUAAAAUAAUUAUAUAUCUUGAUAUGAUCAUGUUGUUAAUGAUGAUCUAAUGAGUUGAAAUAUUAUGUUUUCAACUGUGUAUAUCUAAUAAAUACAUCAAGUGCUUAAACUUUAAUAUAGAAAUGGUCCACAAUGGCUUGUAUGACUCAUCGUCUUAUAAACAUAUUAUUUAGAUUAGGCUAAAGUGGUCAAAGUAAGAAGAAAAAUUGAUACUUGAUUUGAAGUAUGAAGAAUUCUUCUUAGACUUUGUGUGUAGUGUUGUUAGCUUAUUGUUGUGUUAAAGUCUAUUUUGAUGUAUUUUGGAAAGAAUGACCAACUAGAACCACAAUAAGAUGUUGCAAAACUUAUUUAAACAAGGGCUUGUGAGCAAGAUUUUUUUUUUUCCCUUUCAUGUACAAAUAGUAUGAUGAAUGAAAAUUUGAUUCUCGAUUGUAAUUAGUGUUUUCUUUAAGUUUUAAAUCAUGCAAUGAAUACUUAAAAUUAGCUUACGAUGUCAAAGAAUGUAAGUAAACAAGGUUUUACAUGUUGGAUAUAUAAUAAAUUCAAAACCUUUACCUUCCACAUUGAAUGAUUACAUUUUUUCUUUAAGUGCCCUUUAAUCAUUCUCAUUUUGUUUAAUCAUUUUCUAUAAUGUCUCGAGCAUAGUAGAUUUCUAUAAAUUUACAUGAGCAUUCCUUAACUCUUCUUGAGUGAUCCUAAACUUAGCAUUGAAACAAUCAUAAUUUAGGCGAAGAUGCUUAUACGUCUUCAUAAUCAUCCUUGGUUGCUAGCCAUUUUUCCUUAAUUACUUUAGGAUGUUUAGUGAAGAUGAUUACAAAUAUUAACUAGUUCACUCAAACAUUUUUGUAUGAGUGUAGAACAAUUUUGCAUUCUUUCCACAUCACUUAUGCAUCUUCGUUCCAAGAAAUAAGAUAUAGAACUCUUAUGUUUUGCCUACACCACUUGGUUCUCCAACCCAUUGUGCUUAUGCAUCCUUUUUAUAUCACAUAUGCGACUUGCUUCUCAUUAAGAUAUUUCACUUACAUGUUCUUGUAUAUGCAUAAUUUAGGAAAAAAUAUUUAAAAAUAGAAAAAUAGAUUUUAAUACAUAUAUUUGGAACAAUUAAACUCAAACUAUGCAAGUGACCUUGUCUACUAUGUAGGUGACUUUGUUUACUACAUAGGCAAAGUAUAUGACAGUGAUAGUCAAGGAAGCUAUGUGGUUGCAUGGUUUAGUGGAGAAUUUAAGAGUAAAGCAAGAUCACAUUGUGAUUUAUUAUGAUAAUGGGAGUGCCCUAAAUUUAUUUAAGAAUAAAAUUCAUCACUCAUUGGUAAGGCAUAUUGAUGUCUAAUUUCAUUUUAUUUAAGAGAUUCUAGAAGAAAGUCAUACCUUAUUUUAGAAAAUUACUGAUGUUAAUGAGGUAGGUCAUAUUUAAAUGUGAUCCAUGUUGAAAGGAUCAAUGUACCUUUAGGUGUGUAGUAGCAAAAUCUUUAAAGAUUGUUUGGUUAGCUUCAUUUAAAUUACUUAGUUAAAUAUUACAUAGUCAAUUAUAUGUUUGACUUUUUGAACUAGAACAUUUAGAUUUUGGUUGUUGUAGUUGUUAUAAUUACUAUUUAGGUUUUUAAAAAGGUAUAAAUUUAUAAUUUUAGUUGGUUUUAUUAGUUUCAUUUAAAAUUCCCAAGAAACUUCAGUGAAGGAAAACAGAGCAAGAGAGUUUUUGAGAAUUGCUUAUAAUUCUUGUAUAUUAUUUUGAUAUCUUUAGUGCAUUCAUCUUAUCAUUACCAUAGAUGAAGGCAUAUUGUCAAACCAUAUAAAUUGUUUAUCUCUUUGUCUAUAUUGAGCUGCCAAGAUCAGUUCCUUGUAAUCCAAUGGCUUAUUUUGAUUCCACGAUGCUACAAUGUAUUGAAUUAAGCAUAGGGAUUAACAAUUCCAAUCAUAAACAAUAAGAGAUCCUCCCCAACAGCAUAAAAAACUUGAGAGACCCGAGGCUCGCAUCUCAGAAUAUGCUCUUGAACUAACACUAAAGAUGCCUAGAUUCACCACCACCCUUUCCACCCCAAUGUUGUUAGAAGUAGAAUCUAAUCAAAUGAAGAGUUCCUGAUAGUUGCGAGUUCUUAUGAUUUUUUUCCAUCAUUUUCUGACUUUUUUUUCAUCCAUUACGUACGUCCUUCUGAGUGGAGUUCUCCUUUCAUGGUAUCAGAAAAUCAUACUCAAUGAAUUCGUUAUAACCAGACCAUAACCAGAACCUCCAUGGCGUGUUUUUCCUGUGUUUUUUCUGAAAAUAUAGCUACAUUUAUACAUAUUUUUAAGAAUAUUAAAGGCAUUAUCAAAGGAAGAAACCGAGAAAACUGAUUGUAUAGAAAUCUAUAAUUGUGCUUACUUUCAGUCCUAGUCACAAAGUUUCAACCAGAUAAAUCAUGUCGAGAGAUGCCCAGCAAGUGGUGGUGGUCCAGGAUGCAUCCAGAGAUGUUAGUUCAAGAGCAAUCCUUAGGAUUCUCCAUGACUUAACACUUAAGCCUGGAGAUGACCUUACACUCCUCGGAGUUCUUCACCAGGUUAAUAAUCCUUGUACGCUUUCUUUCAUGGGAGGUAGGAAAAUACGUAAAAAUUCAUGCCUUUUUUUUCUUUUGAGUACAGAAGAAAAAUCCAAGAAGAAAGAAAUAUUAAACAUAGCACCAGGAAAAUGAUAUAUACCAAAAGGGAAAUUGUGCAGGUUUAUAGAUUGAUGAAUGAUGUGUCAGAUUUCCCAAUACAACUAUUUUAUUCUAAGGUAUACUUUGAUAAUAGAGACAACUAUUUUAUGAUCAAAUGAAAAAAUGAGGUAUAACAAUUAACCCAAGACAAAUCCUUAAGUGAUACUUUAGUUUUUUAUGAAAUAAAUGUUCUUUUUAUAUUAGUAUAAAAGAUUAUUUUUUCUUAGUUUCAUUUAGGGAAAAUUUUGAUUUUUUAAAGUUUUAAAGUUGGUUAAUGUAAAAUUUGUUUUUUAUCUUUUAGAUUUUCUUUUCCAUAUUUACAAAAAUAGAUAAUUAAAUAAACUUAGAUAAAAAUAGAAUUUUCAUGUUCACUUGUUUGCCUUAUGAAUUUAUUUUACUAUUAAAAUAGGUGCUUCUUAUUAUUUAAUUUUAAAAGUGAAGAUGCAUGUUUUAAUAAAUUCUAAGAGAGGACAAUGUUUAAAAUAAAAAAUUGAAAUAUCGUGGAAAUUAAUAUUUUAUUUUAAAUACAGACAAUUUCCAUGUAAUUUUGUUUGUAUAUUAUCACUACAAAUCAACGAUGACUCCAAAUAGCCAUUGGCCUUAAGAGAUGUCAAGCUCACAACAAAAAUAAUGUUCUAAGUUCUCUAAAAAUAUUUUAAUUAAACACAAAGGUAGUCCAUCAUCUAAUCAACAUUUGCAUAUACAAAACCAUUUUAGCAAAAGUUACAUCAUCCGUUAGUAUAAGCAAACAUGAAUAAGUAUUUCCUAAUUAAGAAAAAUAUUAAUUCAAAUAUUUUAAAUUGGCCAACAAAUUAGGAUAUUGAAAUAAUGGUCUCUAUAUCAAAUGAGUUAUAAGAAAAGGUAACAUUAUCUUUCAUCUAAAUUUCUAUGCUUUCACAAUCUUCAAAAUUAAUAAAACAAUAAGUUAUCUUUCAUUUGAUGCCAUUGGCUAUAUUGUAUUUUCUCGUGACAAAGUGAUGAUUAUCUUUUUUUUUUUUUUAUGCACUUGAUUGAUUUGGUUUCCACCAAUGUGACUUUAGUGAUUUAUCCUUCGCCGGUUGUUAGGAUAAUGGUAGUGGUUAAUAUGAUGUCGUCAAUAGAAUAACUACCUACUCUAGGUAGUAUGUUGGAUAUGAUGUUAUAAACCUACUUAUAGAUUAAUAUAGUUCAACAAAUACUAAUUUGAGAGAGAGAGAGAUAGGUCUAUGGUGAGUUGUAGUGAAAGGGAAGGAUUAAGGCUAGGGUUUGUGUGGGUAUGAAAAAGAUAAAAACAUUUUUAUUUUCAUAUCCAUUUUUGGAUUUUAAAAAAUAAAAAUAAAUAGGUGGAUAUAGAAAGAGUUCAAGUGGUUCGUUUGCAAUUUCCCUUCAUAAAACAUCACAGUUGUCAAUGAGAUCUAUGCACUAAGUAAUUUUAACAACCUUUGUUUGUGAAUUGCUUGUUACUGCAUUAAGUUUUGGUAUUCUCCUCCAUGUAGGUGAAACAUAUCAUGUUUAUGUAGAAUCAUUAAUAUAGUGUUUAACAGCUUCCAUGAAAAAGAAAGCGUGAGAGCUUGGGGAUAUACUUCCCAACUUAGAGGACAUCUCAAUAGCAAUGAAUAGAUUUUCAUAUAAAUGGUUAAAUAGUAUAUAAAAUAAUCGAAGAUGUCUUGUUUUAGUUUACCUCCUAGGUAGAUAGCCUAGUUACUUCAAGUAGUUUUGGCAACACCAUUUACUAUCAUCUUCAACGAGUAUAUAUCCUUCAAGGCAAGGCCUCACUUUCUUAGCUCAACAAAAAGUUUAUUAUGAUAAGUUAUCUUGAUAACUAAUGACUAAUCUUGGUGUAUAUAUAUAUAGUUAAGAGGGAUGUGAAUCAAUGAGAAAUAGUUUCCACUUUGUGCUAAUGAUAGGUUUGAGUCAAGGUUCAAAUUUUCAUCCAUGGAAGUAUGAAUGUUGAUCAAUAUGAAAUUCUGGUCCAUCUUGUGAUAACAAAUAGUUUAUCAUAUGUAACUCAAAAUUAUUCUUUCUAUACAUUCAUCUUGUGCACCCACCUUUCUGUUUCUUUAUUGUACGUAUCACUUUCUCUUAUUCCAUAAGGAGAAGCCACUAGACUUGAGAAAUCAAUUAGAGAAUGAUACAAUUCCAACAAGAUCGAGUAUGAAACAUUUCUUAUCAAUCUUUUCAUAGUGACUCAUAGCUUGUAGUAAAUUAAUGGGCUAUUUGUUUUUUAACUUGAGUUUUGAAGCAAGUUGUUUUAAGAUUUAAGAUAAAAGUAAAAAAGAAAUUUACUUUUUCUAUUAACACAAAAUUAUCUUAGAAAAUAUGAUACGUUAAAAAAUAACCAUUUUAAAAAUGACAAAUCUUAUAGAAAAAAAUAAUAUAAAAAAAUAACACUUAACACUAUUAAAUAGUAUUUAGUUUUGAGUUAUAUUAAGGUAUAUAUAUAUAUAGACACACACCACCUAAGGUGAUGUUUUACUUGUUUGUUUGUUUUUUCUAAAAUCUAAAUAGAUUUGAAUUUGGAUUGAAUUUAAAUAGAGCAAAAUGUCAUAAGUGUUUAGACUCUUUGUGCUUUAUUGUAUUUGAAAUAUGUUAAGUGUUAAAUUGUUUAUUUUUACUUAUGUCAAAAUACUAUAAGUAUUAAAUUUAUUUAUUUCACUUGUUAAAAAUGUCUACAAAAUUAAUUAUAGUAUUUGUUAUUAUUUUAGUUUUAAAAAUUUACAAUUUUUAAAAUAUAUAGUAAUUUAAAUAUUUCCAAAAUAUCAAAAUUAUUACGAUAAUAAACAUUUUAUAAUAAUUAAUAUUGUAAUUAUUUAAGCAUAAUUGGAUAAUAACAAGGAUUUCCUAUUAUGCUUGGUUACUAAAAAAAUAUUUUAAAAAAUUUCUAAUUUGACACUUAUUUCUAUAUGGUGUGUCUUCAUAUUUAAAUUUAAAUAUUUUCCAAAAUAUCAAAAUUUAUUACUAUAAUAAAAAUUUUACAAUAACUAAUAUUGUAAUUAGUUAAGAAUAAUUAUAUAAUAAUGAGACUUUCUAAUUAUGCUUGAUUACUAAGAAAAUAUUAAACAAAACUUCUAAGUUAACAAUUAUUUCUAUCUGGUGUAUCUUUGGAUUUAUGGAUUUGUAAUUGAAAAAUGUGUUUUAUUAUUGAGAUUAAUUCAUUAAUUUUUAUAUUUUAGAUUUUCAACAUUAAAUCCUAACAUUUUAUUUUUCAAAAUUAAUUAUUAUUGCUUAUUCUAAUAAUGUGGACCCCGCAUUUCGGCUCAUGCACUUCCACUCGAUGGCGAGCUCGAUUUUUAUUUGAAAAACGAUUUUAUUUAUUAGAAAAUGACUUGGAGUCACCACUUAUUUUUGUUUUAUUUUUAAAGGGUAAACAAAAUACGAAAGAAAACCCUAAGUGUGACUCCUUAUUUUGGAAAAGAUAAUCCACGAAAAACCGGAUCGGGCUCGGGGGUCAGGUUACUUAUCGGGAAGGUAUGGUAAAGACCGUAGCACCCCUCUAAGUCCCUAAAGUCGGGUCUCUACUAAUAAAAUGAAGCUAACGUGGCAAUUGAUGAGGGAAUCAAUGAAUACUUAGUGUAAUCAUGCACAAGUGAGAAUUAAAACAUACAUAUAGAAAGACCAGAAUGGGAGUAGAUGCGUACCUGGGUGAUGAGCCACAAUGCGCUAUCAAGAAAUGGGAUUAGUGCAUAGUAAUGAACAUAAAAUGUGUCAAUCUUAUCACCAAACAAGAGAAAGAACCACCAAUAGCACGCAUGACAUUUCGUUCAAAUUCAUUUUUAUUUUAAAGAAAAUUUAUUUGAUGUUGGGCCCCCACCAUAGCCCAUCUACUUUUGAGUGAAUCGAUUUCGUAAAUUCCAUCAUCAAGAAUUACGAAAAAUAAAUUCACACUUAUUUUGAAACAUUUUGAAAAUCAUGGAAAAUUCAAAAGUGGCUCGCCGGAAAGGAAAUGGUGGCCAAAUUUCAUUGAAAAUGGGAUUUUUAGGUCCUAAAAAUAAACUAAGGAUGAAAACUUAAAAAAAAUGUCAAAAUUAUUUGAAGAAUUUAAAAUUUGAGAAACCAUUUGAAAACUGGAAUAUGAUGGAUUAUUUUAAAAUCAAGGAUGAUGAAAUGAAAAGAGGUGGUACGUGGUCACCAAGACUACAUGUCAAAAGUGACCAUGCAACUCAUGCAAGAGUAGGUCUACGGGUAAGAGUACUGGAAUUGGGUAUAAGAUAACCAAUAGGAAUGGGGUAAAUUAAGAGACCCCAGCGGCAAGCAACUUCAUGAGGCCUUCCUUUGUUGAUGUGUACCAGAACCAACCUUCUUUUUGCCUUUUACAAACUUCUGUAAAGAUCCACCUCUACAAUUCUGAGCUUUUAUGCAUGAUUCAAAGAUAGCAUGAUGUUGUGCUUGGAUGUUCUCUUGGCUAUUACUGCCUUUUCUCCUUGUUGACCGAGAAUUAGUACCAUCAGGCAUCAAGUUAUGCAUUUCUUCCCUCAUCCAAACAAACAAGUUUUCUCUUGCAACUUUAAGAUCCUCUAAUAAGGACUCCAUGAAGAUUUUAAAAUCAUCCAAUGUUGCAGGAUCACAUGCAUUGCUCUUACUCUUCUUCUUAUUAACUUUCUUGAAAGAAUCCCUCUUCGUCUCUUUACUAUAUAAAUUAUUCCUCUUGCUUGAUCCAAUCUGCAUUUUGUUAGCUUUCCCAAUUUUGAAUUGAUCCCCUGAACUACGAUCAGACUUACCUUCUUGUUGAGAUCUAGGAGUACCACUGGUUUCAUCAUUUUCAGGCGAAAUAAGAGAGGAAACCAGUUUGUGCUUCUUGAGAACUGGCUCACCACUGGAACUCGAUUUGGAAUUAUCACUUGAAGAAUCAACGUCACUGUCUCUCCUCCUGAACUCCCACCUCUGCUGAAAUUUCAGGUCUUCACUCAUGUUAGUACUUGGGGAUAUAAUCACAACUGUAUAACUAUGUGCUCAAUCCUCGGGAGAGUCCGACCAUAAACGACUAGACCCACUUAUCAUCAAAGUUUCAACUGCUUGUUUGGAGAAUGAAAUCAGUUUGAUGGAAGGAUUUCCACUGCAACUGCACCUUGAACUCGUUUGAAAGAUUGUACCAGUGAUUCUAGCAGCACCCCUCCUCACAAAUCAAAUUUUGUGAAGAGACACCAUGAUUAAACCGCUCCAUCAUUCUCUUUCAUACACCCAGCACAAGAGCAUCCUCUGUGGAUGAAGCCCAACCAUUGCUCUGCAUCCACUUGGAACAAUCUUCUUAGCCCCAGAUGGGAGCUUGAUCCUGCUGGUGCCAUUAUCAGGGUUGUGGCUGACGACAAUAGCUCACUUGCCGGAUGCCCUGGCGAAGACACCUCGAUCACCAACGUGAUCUUCAACGUUACAGACCUCGGCACCUUCGGGAGUAGAGCGCAGGGGCAGAACGUUAUCGGCAAUGAGGGUGGCUUUCUUACUGCAGCAAACGAACUGGCCCGUGUAUAUGCUCUCAGCCACCACGAUAGGUUCAUCAUGACUGCAACUCCUACUAAACCAUAUCCCUGUCUCAGCAUCAAUAACCAGCUAGGUACUGCAUGUAUCACCAACACCACUAUCGAGGUCCAGGCUAUCACAAGUUCUGUUGCUAGGCAGAGCAGCAGGAAGUUGGUUAUCAAAGACAUGGUAAAUUUUAUCACCACCUAGGCGCACGCCAUCGAGAUGCUCUUUGUAUGUCUGAUCGAAGACACAAGAAAUUUCCAUGAUCAUGUAUAACUUUCUUCCAUUCUUCUUCAGUUGCACCAGUACCAAAUCCAUAUCAGCCAAGGACCCUUCACGCACAAGUAGCCACAGAUCUGUCAGAGAUGCACUUGAUACAAUUUUGCGAGCAACUGUAUGAUGAUUCUGCUUUUGGCCUGGAGGUGGAACUAAACCUUCCACUAAUCUAUAUUUUUCUCAAUAAUAUAUAUCCUCUAACCUUGACAAAAUAAUAACUUAAAUCCCAGUGUUGACUCCUUGCUUCUCGCCACUUAAGCUAACAAUGAUUAUGCCUUGUCACCAGAUGACUUCAAGAGCUAGGUUGUCCAAAAUCCUGUUAAGAAAUUAGUCCACACCAACUGAUAACAAGCUGAUGUGGCCCUCGAAGACAUUGAUUGAACCUAGUCCAUGUUGUAGUCACUUUUUGAAUUUCAUGAUCAAGAAAAUGAAGAGGAAGCCAUUUAGAUGCAUGGUUGAAAAUGGUCAACUGUUAUGCCCCCAUCAUCAUCACCUCUAGUAUUAUGAACACAAACCAGUUGCAACCGCCAUUCACAGACUCCCAUCACAGUUCAUGGGCCUGAAAUGAAUCUCCAACUAAUGGUGUAAGCAACAAGCUGAAUGUUGUUAAAAAUAUGAGAAAUGGGUGGAGAGUUGUGCGUUAAGAAGCAGAGAAUGGAAUAAGGGAAUAUACCCCUUCCCUCAAAGGCACAGAGAUGGAAUCAAGUAAUUGAAGCCGAAGGAAAGCCUUUCGGGUAGCCAAGAAAGCUUGAUUUACAUAUUCUGCAUUACUUUCAGCAACAUUGGCAAUCACAUCCCUGUCUGAGAGGCCAACUGGUUGUCCUUUGUGGUGAGUUCAGUGUCAUUUUAAACUUCUCCAUUGUAUCAAGGGAUAGCCAGCACAAGAAAGAAAUGAUACAAUGAAGCAGACAUGAGGCAUCUUUAGAAAUCCUCUGUGGAUGACAUUUUAAAGGCUCUGUGAUAUUCUGAAGCAUUGCUACUCAACUAUGACCUCCAUCCCUGAUAUAAAACACUAAACCAACCUCAAUCUACUUAACAUGCAUCUCGGGUACUCCAUAGAGAUUAAGCAUCUGUAAUCAUAGCUUCCGCUCCUUGAAUUUGCGUUCUCAGAUGGAGAUGCACCAAUCAAAGCAAACCACAGACAAACACCAAAAACAGAGACGUAUAGAGAAGAAAAUUGAUAAAACAAAACAGGGAUAGGUGAAAUGAGAGUUUGUUAAGCAAAACCUGGUCCCAUAAAUUAUCAACAGGCUUACCAGUUAGUGGGAGGGGAAAUGGGUUUAAGGAGAAAUGAUAGGAGAGAUACAUUCAGACAUCACGCAAUAAAACUGGACAAGAUUCAUACUAUUUCUCUCAACUAAAACCCAUAAACAAUAGAUGGAUAUAUAGUCAUAGCAAAUCCAGUGGAUGCUCAGAGAUCAACAAAAGUAGCCAUAUGAUAUCCACACACAAAUAGCUAAAUAACACCCACUAAUGAACAAAAGAGAAUGAAUAGCAAGAGAAAAAAAUAGAGAUGGAUAAGAAACAUACCUGGAAAUACCCCUCUCCAGUAAAAUCAGCUGAACUGCUAGUCCAUUGCUCUCUCCCCCUUCCUCUGGUUCCCCUCAAGUUAAAACAAUACCCUUCUCAAAUAUCUCCGACCAAAAAACCUUCUCCAAAAACUUCCCUUUCUCCUCUGCCAACCCCCCUCCAAAAAGCAUCUCCCUCUUCUCUACAACUGGCAGAUACGCUCCUCCCAUAACAGAAACGUUCUUCUCUAAACGUCCCUUUGGGAUCUCUUAUCAAACCUCUAAUGACUCUCAAGACUAGGUCACCGAUAUGUAGUGGUAUGGGCUUGACCCGCUUUUUGAAAGCGCGGGCCAUCUUCCUCUAUUAUGCACGAACAUGGUCUGUUGCUCUCAAUCUCAUCUCAUAUAGGAGAUUGAGCUGAUCAAAUCGAGCCUGAGCCCAAUCCGCCUCGGGAAUCUGCUACUUUAGUGCUACUCUCAAUGAACUCAUCUCGAUCUCAACUGGUAGCACUGUCUCCAUACCGUAUACCAAUGAAUAAGGUGUGGCUCCUGUAGAGGUGCGAAAAGAAGUCCGAUAUGCCCACAAUGCGAAAGGGAGCUUCUCUGACCAAUCCCGAGAAGUCUCAACCAUCCUCCGCAAUAUCCUCUUAAUAUUCUUAUUCGCAGCCUCUACUGCCUCAUUCGUCUACGACCUAUACGCAAACGACCUAUGAUGUCGGAUGUCGUAUCUCUGUACUAAGGUAUCAACCUCUGCUCUGAAAUGUACCCCUCUAUCUGAAAUCAACUCAUGAGGGACUCCAUAGCGACAGAUAAUGUGUGAUCUGAUGAAACUAGCAACUCCAGCUGAUGUCAAUCUCUCAUAUGAGGCGGCCUCCACCCACUUGGUGAAGUAAUCGAUGGCGACCAGGAUGAACUCAUGACCACUGGAAGAUUUCGGUGAAAUCUUUUCGAUGAUGUUAAUACCCCAUAUAGAAAAUGGCCAUGGUGAAGUCAAUGCGUGCAACUCAGAGGACGGCACGUGAAUGAGAUCUCCAUGUAUUUGACUCUUGGGACAUCUCUGAACAAACUGACAACAAUCUGUCUCCAUGGUCAACCAAAAAUAGCCAAUCCUCAUGAUUUUACGGGCCAACAUAUGCCCUCCCAUAUGUGGUCCGCAGACUCCCGCAUGAACCUCUCACAUCACUCUAUCGACAGAAGCGUAGUCCAAGCAUAAUAACAGCAUCCCAUCAGGUGAUCGUCUGUAUAGUGUCUUGCCACAAAUCACGAAUCAUGCAGCCAACUGUCUCAAUGUUCUCUUAUCCUUGGCCGUGGCGGCCUUAAGAUAUAUGCCAAGUCUCAAAAAGUGAUAUAUGUCAUGAUACCAUGGCAAACCAUCGUCUAUCUCCGUAUCAUCGAUCAGAAAACAAUAUGUAGGAGCAAAUCUGGACUUAAUCAGUAAAUGACGAAUAGUGGCAUCAGCAGGAAUGUCAAUCAUGGAAGUUAGAGUAGCUAAGGCAUCAGAAAACUAGUUAUGCGCUCUAAGCAGAUGUGUGUAUCUCAAAUCAUCAAAUCUCCCAACCAGUAGCUCCAAAUAUGGCGGUAAGGCCUAAGUUUCACAUCUCUAGUCUUCCACUCGCCCUGAAUCUGUCUCAAAACCAGAUUGAAGUCGCCAAACACCUCUAUCUAUCUAAUCCCGAGCUCAAGGGCCGUCUCUAAUCCCAAGAUACAGACCUCAUACUCAACAAUGUUGUUUGUGGCCGGAUGUCGAUCCAAGAAUGCCAAACAAAUAGAUCGGGGAAUGUGAUCACCAUGAGGGGAUAUCAACAAGACGCCUAUCCCGUAUCCAGAAUGGUUGGCUGCACCAUCAAAGUACAUGUGUCAACCUGAUAAACUAGUCACAACAGCGACAUCCUCGCCUGGGAAGUCAUCAUCAAUGGCUCUACCAUUGGAAACUAGUAAUGAGGCUAAGUGAUCUACAACAAUGCUCCCUCUUAUGGACUUCUGAGUGACAUAAUGGAUGUCAAACUCGGUCAGAAGUACCAGCCAUCUCAUGAGACGACCGAUCAAAGCGGGUCUGUCAAAAAAAUAUCUCAGAAGAUCUAGAUGGGAUAUCAAGUGCACUGAAUACUCGGUCAUGUAAUGUCUUAGUCGGUGAGUGGCCCAAACCAAUGCCAAACAGUAGCGCUCAAUCAUGACAUUCCUUGCCUCAUAGUCUAGCAUCCUCUUACUCAAAUAAUAAAUGGCUUAGUCAUUGCCUGAAUCAUCAAGCUGAGCUAACAUGCACCACAAUGCUACAUCUGAAAUUGACAGAUAUAGGAGUAAGGGACAACCUGGUGUAGGAGGCGCCAAGACUGGAGGUGACAACAAGUACUUUCUGAUCCUCUCAAAUGCACGCUGACACUGAUCAUCCCAAACAGUAGGUUGACUCUUCCUCAAGAGUCGGAAAAUGGGCUCAUAGAUGUCUGUCAAUCUGAUGAUGAAUCUACUGAUAUACUGAAGUCUACCCAAGAAGCCCCUGACCUCUCUCUCUGUCCUCGAUGCAGGCAUGUCAAGGAUGGCUCUGAUCUUAUCCGAGUCUACCUCUAUGCCUCUCUCUCUGACCAUAUACCCCAAGAGUUUCCCAGAAGUCACUCCGAAAGUGCACUUCUUGGGAUUCAGUCUCAAUUUGAACCGUCGGAUCCUCUCAAAGAACCUCUCUAGAGUUGCUAGGUGAUUUGGUCUGUCUUGGGAUUUCACUAUCAUGUUGUCUACAUAAACCUUGACAUCCCGAUGCAUCAUGUCAUGGAAGAGGGUGGUCGUCGUUCUCUAAUGGGUGGUUCCUGCAUUCUUCAAUCCGAAUGGCAUGACUCUAUAGCAAUAAGUACCCUACUCGGUAAUGAAGGACGUCUUCUCCAUGUCCUUUGGAGCCAUCAAGAUCUUAUUGUACCAAGAAAAUCCGUCCAUAAAGGACAACAUCGAAUGACCUGUCAUACUAUCAACCAACAUAUCGAUGUGUGGGAGAGGAAAAUCAUCCUUAGGACUGGCCUUGUUGAGAUCUCGGAAAUCAACACAAACUCUCACCUUGUCGUCCUUUUUGGGAACAAGGACUACAUUGGCCAGCCACUCCGGAUACUCGACCACUGACAAAAAUCCUACACUGAGUUGCUUCUGGAUCUCCUCCUUCACUUGCAAGCUCCAACGAGGGUGCAAUCAUCUCAACUUCUACUUAACCGGUCUAGCAUGGGGCAGAAGUGGCAAACGAUGUUGGACGAUAGAUGGAUCAAGGCCUGGCAUGUCCUCAUAGGACCAUGCGAAAACGUCCAAGUAUGCUCUGAGCAACUGGAUGAGGUUGUCCCUCUCAUCAUCAGAUAAAUCUGAUCUGAUCCUCAACUCCCUAGGCUGAUAUAUUGUGCCGAAAUCAACAAUCUCCAUGUCCUCUAUAGCAGGUGAAACUCUCUGAUCAAAGGGAUCCGAAUCGGAAAUAGAAGAUGAGUCAUCAUCUGAGUCGUGUUGUGCAAUCUCAUCAUCAAUAUCAAAAAUCUGUGAUGUGGGUGAAGAUGGUGCAGAUAAAACAAUAUCGUAAAAGAGAGGCAAAUUUUAAAAAAUGCUCAAAUCCAUAGAUGAAAAGUCAGAAACAUAGUCAUGAUGGGAGACAAAUCCCGAUAAAACAUCAAAUGAAAGAGGUGAGUCUACAAAGUCGAACAUUCCCUCAACUAGGCCAAUAGGGCCAUCAAGAAAAUCAUCAACAGCUAUAAUGUCCUCAGUAAUCUCCGAAGUAGGGGCAGUCUGGAUCUCCUCAGCGAUCUCAAUGAAAGACACCCCGAAGAGAUCAAAUGGUGAAGUGAGCUCAGGCUGGACUAUCUCCUCAAUCUGGCUCAAGCUCAAUGCAAGCAUCUCAUCGACGUACUCGUCACAUGGCAUAGCUCCGUCUACUAUGUCGCUAAUCUCAACAAAUGUCUUGUGAUCAUCGAUCUCAUCCAAUAAGCAAAGCGUCAUAAGGCUCGUGCGAUCUGGAGAGGCAGGAGCGAUCAACGCAGAAGUCGAAGGAUCAAGGGCUCCGUUACUCAAUUGUAACUGCUGGACGAGGCGCUGAAGCUCGGCCUCCUUGGUGGUGUUGAAUCCUCUGAUGAUCCCAUCAGAUGGUGCAUGUGACUCCGAUGCCCUCACAAAGUAAUCUGCCAGGCUCAUGGUGUAUGGGCGAACAGGAUAAUAAAAGAGCGUAUGAGUCAGUCGAGCCCUCACCCUCUCCUUGCUCAAUCGCGCCAUAUAACGAUAAUCGGCCUCAGUGGGGAUGAACCUGAGUCCGAAUGGUACGUCGUGAUCAGGGAUGGCUAUGAACUCACUAGGCCCAUGCUGACACUACCCUAACCCUAUGCCGGGAAAAUAAGGCAUACUCUGCAUCAUAUCGAGCACCACCGUGCUACUAUGCUGGUCAAAGGACAUGGCUACGAAAUCUCGGUAGAAAUCUUCUAUCUCCACGGUUUGUACCUCAUCAAAGGUGAAUCCAGUCAGAAAAAGAUCGUCAUCAGUGUGACUAAUCUCAAGCACAGGCUUGGCAAAAAUGAACAUAUCUCCCACAGACUGCACCACGACGACCUGGCCAUCGUGAAUAAACUUCACCUUUUGAUGAAGGGAAGAAUGAAUGGCCCCAGCUCUGUGGAUUCACGGUCGGCCCAGAAACAGGUUAAAGGAUGUAGGAAUCCUCAAAACCUGAAACACGGUGACAAAAGUGGCCAGAUCAAUUAGUAGUUCAAUCUCUAGUGUGCCCAUGACCUCCCUUCGAGUACUGUCAUACGCGCGAACGGUCUAAGUGGAGGGACAGAAAUCAGAUGGUGCAUAGCCGAGGGCAGUGAUGGUGGCCAGAGGACAAACGUUCAGGGUCGAGCCAUUGUCCAGAAGGACAGAUGGGACUCGACGGCCUGAACAACCAACAGAUAUAUAGAGUAGACGCGUGUGGUCUGAGCCCUCUGGUGGCAAGUCAUCAUCGGAGAAUACAAUGCAUGUGGCUCUACCGACCGUCAUCAUAUGAAUCAAUCCCUCAUGGGAGGUGGUAGUCUUAACUCUAAUCUGGCUCAGGGCUCAAAUCAGAGCAUCAUGGUGAGUGGUCAAGGAUGCCAACAAACUCCAGAUGGAAAUACGAGCCUGAGUGCUCUAUAGCUGCCUCAAAAUCUCGGCGUCCUCUACUCUGACCUCAUCGGGAACAGAUGUACCCUCAACUGGCUUAGCUGCUGCGCGAGGUGGCUAUCGCAACACUCUACCUCCUCAAAGAAUAUACUAAACAUCCAAAGUUUGAGAAUCAUCAACAUGCGGAGCUUGAACCUCCUCAACAUUCGAGAUCAAGAUGAAUGGCGUCUGGACGCUGUAAUAUGGAAAAAUCAAUGGCUCAACAGUGGUAGUCUGUACUAAUGCCACCUGGGGAACUAAUCCGAAUGAAAUGGGCAUCUGAGGCCCCAAAGUCGCUCCGUCCAUCUCAUAAAUCCCAUUUGACAUGAUAGGCUCUGGCUCAAUGUCAUCACAGCUCAACAUAUGGAUAUAGUCAUCAUGAUCAAAGAACUCCAGGAAAUGUAUGCUAUCGACCGGUGGGGGGACCACAUGUGUAGUGUGGGCAAGUAAUGGGUUUGUGGUUACACUCGGCUGACCCAAGUGCACCAAACCCUGGUCGAUCAGAUCCUGGAUGGCAUGCCUCAAAGUGGUGCAGCGAUCGGUCUCGUGUCCAGGCCCUUGAUGGUAUGCACAGUGCAAAUCCAUCCUGAAUUAAGGUGGAAUCGGCUGAGGUGGCAGCCUGGGAGUGAGAACGGUCAAUAACCCGGCCUCUGUAAGCUUCCGAAGAGCCUAGCUCAAUGGCAUGCUUAAUUGCGAGAACUACCUCUGUGUCCUCAAAGCAGAUGGAGCAAAAGUCUGCUGAGCUUUGGGUUGAGGAUAAGGCGUUGUGGGUCUCGCAGUGAAUUGAGCAGCAUAGCAUGGCUGUCCUAUGGCCGUGUAGGAAAUUGGGGGUCUCUCAAUGUCCUGGGUGGCAUAAUAAGGCAAAGCCAAAGUCUGUGGCAUGUAGACUGAUCAUAAGUCGGGUGAGGCGCUCGUGGCCUAUACUGCUGAGGUGGAUAUGAAGAAUGAGCCUCAGGAAGCUAUGGGAUCGGCUGAUGGCGCCUGGGAGGUCUCUAACUGGAAGAACUAAUGGCGCUCACGUCAACUGAUCUUUGUCCUCCAAAGGGCUUCUUCCCCUUAACAUCACUAGGGGAAGAAUCUGUCCACAAUCCUCUAGAGAUGUCGUCCUCGACAUCGUAUAAAGUCAAAACCAAUGAACCAAAAUCUGUGAAUGGUACCCUAACCACGUGUCUGGCGAUCCUGGGCUGUAAACUCCUCAAGACCAUCUAUAUCUGAUCUCUCUCUGAAGGUCUAUCAAUGAUCUCGACAAUCUUCCCACGCCAGCGGGAAAUGAAUGAAGAAACUAACUCAUCUAUUAUCUACCUCAGAGCCUCGAGCUUUCUCCUCGAUACAUCCACGACAGUGUUAAAUGAAAACUGUCGUAAGAACUCCUGGGCCAAGUCGUCCCAUGUUCGGCGUCGUGAGGACUUCAAGGAUGCAAACCAACGUUGGGCCGUCCCACUCAGAGAUAGUGGAAAUAAAGUGAUCAUCUGAGACUCAUCCAAUCCAUGAGCCCUCAUCACUGUGCUAUAGAGUCUGAGGUGGAUGCGUGGACAACUAAUGAUCGUAUAUCUCUUGAUGUCUGGCAUCCUAAACUUAGCCGGCAAACUGGCUAUCGGCAUACCCUCGAAAUCAUCCCAAACAAUUGAUCUAUCUGACACUCUCAUCUGCCUCAUACGCUGUUUAAGACAGUCCAUACGUGCAUGAGCAUCAUCAACGACAGUGGUCUGGACAACAGCGGGUGGAACAAUCUCAGAAUGUCCAUGUAAUAUAUAGGGUGAGGCCUGAGGCACUGAAGGAACGGGUGGUGGUGGUGGAUGUGGAUGUGAGUCAUACGACGUCUCAUCCUGAACUGUUGGUGGUCUACUUUGCUGACCACUGAUCUCCUGCCUGAGGCUAGCCAAAGCCUCCUGGAUAGAAGCCAUGGUAGCCGUAAACUGAUCCAUUGUAACAACCUGCUGAUCCAUACUCGGUCUCUCUGAAUACCGGACUAAUCUCCCCUCUACUCUGACCCAAGAAGGCGUAUCCAGACUGUGAACGAAGAUCCGAUCCUGAUCGAUUCUUCUCCUACUCCUCUCCUCAAGUCUCUCAAAACCAGCAUCCAAAAGCACCUCCUUCGACCUCUCCUAUCUUCACUCCCCUCAAAAGCACCAGAAGUCUCUCAAAAAUCUCUUUUGCCCCUUGCCAAAAAGCCCCCUCCUCUCCAAAAUAUCUCCCCACAAAACGCCCCCUACGCUUGCCAGAAUAUCCUCUCUCUCAUCCGAUCCUCCUAACAGACUGCGGCCUCUCUAGAAUGUUCUUUCCACGUGUUCAACUCUCAUUUGCUCCUCGAUUCCACUACCUAAUUCUCUGUCCACCAACCACGAGGUGAUACGUGGCUCCUUGAGAGCCUUCCACCUGGCAAAAUGAGUUGCAGAAAAUGCAUGAAAGUGAGGCCCCAAAAUGAGGGUCUACAAAUAGGUUUUUAGAUGAGUGUGAAUUGUGUUUUGGAAUUCUAACUAAAAAAAAUUCAUUAGAAUUGAUGAUAGUUUAUUUUAGUCUUGUUCUACUAUAAGAGGUUGAAUUAUAAAAAUUUGUAGUACAUACAUUUCUAAUAAAAAUGUUUAUGAUUUAAGUAUUGUUAAUUUUAUUAUUAAAUGAGGAAUCUACAAAAAUUUAUGAAAUUUAAUUUUGUUGAGAAUUUGAUGAAUUAUGAAGCAGAAACAGUAGCUAAAUGUGGUAGAAUUUUGAUUCAAGUUUUGGAAUUUAUGAAUUUAUUUAGAUUAAUUUGUUACCCAAAUUAAGUUACUUUUAUGUUGUUGGGCUUCUUUUAAUAAAAAAAAAAAAUCAUUAAAAUUUAUAUCUAAAUUUUAUCAAGAAUCAAGAGGAAAAAUGGACAAAAACAAAGCAUAUUUCAAUCAUUUCAUUUUUUUUUCUUGAUGACAACUUUGUUAAUUUAUAAUAUAUUCAUUUUUCUUCCAAAUUACACAAAAUUGAAAUAGUUUAAUUCUUUCUUCAGAUAAAAGUUAUCUAAAGUCAUAAAAAAAAAUGAAAUUGAUUUUAUUUUAUGUGAGGAAUUAGGUCUAAAUAUCAUAACACAGUUAGAGAUCAAAAAAAUAUAAAGAGAAAAAAAAUGACUUUUUCUAUUAAUAUAAAAGUUAAAAUUAAUUCAUUUUUUCCUUAAGUAUAUAUAUAUAUAUAUAUAUAUAUAUAUAUAUAUAUAUAUAUAUAUAUAUAUAUUUUAAAAAAAAAAGUAAUAAGCUGAAAAAUAAAUAGUUCUAAAAUGUAUUCAGUCUUGAAGCAACUUACUUUAACAUUUGAGUAAAAAAACUAAAUAAAAAAUAAAAAUAGAAAAAAUCAAGCCCUAAAGCAUUGGAUGAGCCAAUGAUCGGAUACUUGAUUUUAACUAAGCAGUUACUUGUCAAUAAUUGUGUUCAUGUUCAUCUCUGCCAAGUACCUUAAAAUGAAAAGGAACAAGUUCAUAUAAAAUCCAAUUUGUCUUUCUCACCCAACACAAUUGCAACCAUCCACCACCAAUUCAAUAUCUCGAAAAACCUUCAAUGUCUCUAAUAGAACCAAAAUCAUGUUAUAUUUGGGAACAUUAAAAUCUUGAUGUAAUGCAACAUUUCAAAAGAAUUUUUCACUUUGAUCUAUGCUCAUAUCAACAUUUCUCUUUGAUAUAGGCAUUUUUCAAAAGAAUUCACCUAUCUUUUCUUGCUAAAGCCUUAAAUUUCUCUCUUCUCUCCAUAACAAACCUUGAGCAUGCAACUUACUAAAUAGACAUUACAUAGGAUUCAAAAUUAAUUUUCAACAAUUCUCAAGUAUAGUGCCUAUUGCAUAAGCAAAUAUACUUUUAAAGAUAUUGUUGAUAGCCUUCUCUAUGCUAAUAGCACUUUUAAUGCUUGGGUUGAUCUUUAUGAUUGAUUCCACCAAAGCAAUGCCCCACGAAUCUUCCAAAUCGAGAAGCACAUAGUUGUUCUUGAGCAAAGAUCUAUGGAUGUCAACACAUACUACACUAAGCUCAAGGUCCUCUAGGAUGAGCUCAAAAAUUAUCAACCCAUUCUUGUCUAUCACUAUGGAGGCACAAAGUCUUGGUUAGACACCAACAAUAGGAGUACAUCAUGCAAUUUCUUAUGGGUUUGAUUGAGUCAAAUGCUUAAACUUGAACACAGAUCUUAAUGAUGUCUUUGCACUAGUUGUCCAAGAAGAAUGCCAAUGUACUAUUAAUCAAGGCUCUUUUUUUCCUAUCGAUUCUCUUAUGCCCAACAUUUCAAAUUCCUCUGCUUUUGUUACAACAACAAAUUUUUCUCGAAAUUCAACUUUAAAACCCAAGUGUGAGUGACCCUAAUAUUCCCACUGUGGCUUGCAAGAACAUAUUGUAAAUAAAUGCUAUCAUCCUGGCUAUAAGUCAAAAUCAAAGAAACCUGAAGUAAAAAAUUCAAGCCACCUAGGCCAAUGCAACUAUUAAUGAGACUAUUAACUCUGGUUCACCCCUUGGAUCUCUUACUUUAGCUCAGUGUCAUCAAUUGUUUGCAUUCUUGAGCUCUCAACUUCAUAACAACUUUCUUGUUAUGCUAGAAUCUCAAUAGCUAGAACCCUUUGUUUCCCAGUUCAAUGGUAUACUAUCUUUUUCUUCUGUCUCAUAAUUUUCCAAUUUCUUUUUCCACCUGGAUUUUGGACAUAGAAGUCGCACAUCAUGUUUGUUGUUCAUUAAGCACAUUUACACAAUCUACUCCAGCACAAAAUUCUUUUGUAACUUUGCCUAAUGGUCAAUCUGUUGUUAUUAAUCGUAUUGGUUAUGUGUUUUUGUCUCCUGAUCUCAUCCUUAAUAAUGUCAUGUUUGUUUCUAAUUUCCAUUUCAAUCUCCUCUUUAUCUGUUCGCUCACUCAAAGUUAUAAAUCUUCUAUUAAUUUUAUGGUUGAUUCUUGUACUAUUCAAGGCCAUACACGGACCAAAAUGAUUGGGAUGAGUAGAAGACAUGGUAGCCUAUACUUCUUAAAUAUAGUCAAUUUUCAUUCCACUACACCACAAAUUUUCAGUCCUUGUAAUAAUGUUUCGUUGUCUCAAAAUGAAAUUUGGUUUUACCAUUUAGGUCAUCCUUCUUAUGUAACAUUACAAACAUUCAAAAAUGAAAUAGAAGUUAAACCAAAUUCUGGUGAUUCAAGUCAUUGUUUAGUUUUCCAUUUAGUCAAAAGAUGCAAAUUACAUUUUAUUUCUCACAAUUAUUUGUCUGUUUUGCCUUUUCAACUCAUACAUUGUGAUGUUUAAGGUCUCCUUCACACAUUUACCAUUGAAGGUUAUAGAUAUUUUUUUUACUAUUGUUAAUGAUUGUACUCAUUUUAUUUGGGUGUAUCUUUUGCGUGCUGAGCCUGAUGUUACUGAAGUUAUUCCUAUUUUUUUUUCUCAUUGAUUCAAACUCAAUUUGGAACACAAAUAAAAUUUGUUCACUCAGAUAAUCCUCCUGAAUUGGCAUUUUUUGACUUCUUUCAUGCAAAAUGAGUCAUCUCAUUUCAUUCUUGUGUUGAUUAGCCUCAACAAAAUUCAAUAGCAGAAAGAAAGCAUCAACAUAUCUUAAAUGUUGUAUGGUCUUUAUGUUUCCAAUCACAUAUUCCAUUGGUUUAUUGGGGGGAUUGCAUUCUUAUUAUUGUACACUUAAGAAAUAAAACUGCAUUCCCACUUUUGUCCAAUAAAACAACCUUUGAACUUCUUUGGAAAAAGAAGCUUGCAUAUUCACAUCUUUGUAAUUUUGGUUGCCUAUGUUAUGCAUCUACUUUAGAUCGUCAUAGGACAAAUUUCUCACCUCAUGUCAUUCCUUUUGUCUUUCUUAGGUACCCAUCUGGUUAUAAAGAAUACAAAUUAUUGAAUCUAGUCACUAAUUCUGUGUUUAUCUCCCAUAAUGUGGUAUUUCAUGAGUCUAUAUUUUCUUUCAAAACUAUUCAAACUUAUUCUCCUCUUCCAAAUAUUUUCUCUGAUACUGUUUUACUAUUUCCUUCUUUUUCUUCCAUUCUUGAAUCUACAUCUUUGCCAAUAUCAACAAUUCCUACUGUUUUCAUACCUUCUACGUCUCAUUGUCAUCCUAAUCGUGUUCGUAGGCCUCCUUUUUAUCUAGCAUAUUACUACUGCUAUUCUUGUUCCCACAGCACAUCUUCUACCUCACAUCCUCUCACACAUGUCCUUGAUUACACAAAAUUGUCAAAUUCAUAAAAAUAAAAAAAUGAAUAAAAGUUUGUGUUAUUUCCUAUAAUUUUGAACCCACCACAUACUUCAAGGCUGCUACUAUUCUAGAUUGGCAAGAUGCAAUGUCUGCUGAGUUAGGAGCUCUUGAACAAAAUGACACUUGGUCUUUAACUACUUUGCCACAAGGAAAACAUGCUAUUAGGUGCAAAUGGGUGUACAAAAAUAAGUAUAGAGUUGAUGGAACUAUUGAACAAUACAAAGCUCACCUUGUAGCUAAAGGCUGCACACAACAAGAGGGCAUAGACUAUCUAGGUACCUUCUCUCAUGUUUUCAAAUUGGUUACUGUUAAGGUUUUGCUUGCUUUGGCUACCAUUAAUGGUUGGAGCCUUCCUUAGAUGGAUGUCAAUAAUGUGUUCUUACAUGGUGAUCUUUUUAAGGAAGUUUAUAUGACUCUCCUAGUUAUCACCUGAAGGAAAAUCAUUAUCCUCACACUCUGUUUACAAAAUUCAAAAGUCUUUAUAUGGCUUGAAACAAGCAUACGACAAUGGUUUUCCAAACUCUCCAAUUUCUUACUUGUUGAAGGUUUUUAAACAUUCUAAUGCAAAUCACUCUCUUUUUGUCAAAGUUGUCAGUACUCACUUCAUUGCUCUGUUAGUUUAUAUGGAUGACAUUGUCAUUGUUAGUAAUAGUGAUGAGCGAGUUGAGAAAUUAAAAGUUCUAUUUAGGAAAGCUUAAAUACUUCUAAGGCCUUGAGGUGGUGAGGUCUAAUAAGGAAAUUUCCCUUAGUUAGCACCAUUAUGCCUUACAAUUACUAUCAGAUAUAGGCUAUGUUGGUUGUAAAUCAAGGAAAACACUUAUAAAUCCAAAUGUGAAGCUCACACAAGACAAAGGUGAUCUAUUAAAAGAUCUUUUAUUUUACAGAAGAAUGAUAGGCAAAUUGCUUUAUCUAACCGUAGCAAAUCCAGAUUUAUCAUUUUCAGUACAUAAAUUCAAUCAAUUUCUUGCAAAGCCCAGAGUUCUUCAUAUGUGGGCAAUACAACAUGUGCUUCAGUACUUGAAAGCAUGGUUUGAAAUAUUGGUAAACACGGAUAUAUCGAUACUUGGAUUUUAUGAAUAUGUUGGAAAUAUUGGUAAAAUAUCGGUAAAUAUUGGUAAAAUAUCGGUGGAUAUUUUGGCAAAAAUAUUGGUGAAACAAAAAUUAUUCAAAAUUCAUGGAAAUGUUUGGAAAACUCUAAAAAAAAUGAUAAAAUAAGCAAGAAUACAUAUGUUAAAGUUAUUGUAAGUGGAAUUGACAUAAAUAUGGUCAAUGAGAAAAAUAUGGAGGGAUAUAUCAAACUUAAUAAUUUAUUAUUUAUCUUAUCAAAUUAAUUUUAAUUUAUAAAAUAUUAGAACUUCAUUAUUUUUUUUAUUUUAGUAAUGUUUUGAAUACAUUUAUAUUUUUAAUAUUUGUAAAAUAAAAACAUUCAAAAUUAAAUAAAAUUAAAAGGAUAAACAUAAAAAAAGUGAACUGAUAGCAAUUUUUAAAAAUAAGAUUAAUGAGAUAAAUGAUGAUACAUUUAAUAUUAAAACUAUAAUUUAUUUAAUUCAAAUACAUUCAACAAUGUAAAAUAAAUUAUGAUGCAUAUAUAAUUUUUUUGAUAUUUAUAUUUUUUUUAUAUAAUUGUCAUAUAAAUGAUAUAAAAAAUAAAAUAAAAUAAAAGACUUGUUAAGAAAAUUAUAAUGAUGGUUUUAUACUUUUAUUAAAUAAUUAAAUAAAAUUUUAAAUAAAAUAAUUAGAAUUAAUUUAUUUAUUCUUUUAAUGAUGAAUUUUACCAUAUUUAUUGUGAACAUAUAUUUACAAAUGUGGACUUGGCCCAAUAGUAGUCAGGCUUCACCCAAGCCUUUUGGCCUAGGUUUGAAUCCCCUUGGAUGCAAUAGAAAAAAAUUUGAAGGAAUUUACCCGAAUAUCGACAUCUUUUCGAUGAAGUUGAUUGACUUUCGGUGUACAAUAUCAUGUCGACUCUCCCUGAUAUUUUGACGAUCAACUUUUAGUGUGGAAUAUUGUGUUAGCUCUCCCUGAUAAGCAAAAUAUCGACAAUAUUUCAUCAAAAUUUUGCAACAUUUUAGUGUGGAAUAUCAUGUCGACUCUCCCCAAUAUUUCAACAAUCGACUUUCAGUGUGGAAUAUCGUGUUAGCUCUCCCUGAUAAGCAAAAUAUCGACAAUAUUUCGCCAAAAUUUUGCAACAUUUCAAACCAUGCUUGAAAGUUAUGCAGGACAAGGUUUUUUUUUUUUUUUUUUCAUUAAUAGAGUUGAAAAGGUUUGUUGAUUCAAAUUGGGCAACUUGUGUGGUCUGUUAAUGAGUUUUGCUUUUUUUUAUUUAUUUAUUGUUGAUUCCUUAAUUUCCCAGAAAUAAAAAAGGCAGCAUACAGUUUCAAGAUCUUUUGUUGAAGUUGAGGACAAAUUUAUGGCAAAUGCAACAUGUGAAUUGAUGUGGUUACUUUCUUUAUUUAGAGAUUUGCAUGUAUCUCGUCCUAAGCCUGCCUUGCUAUUUUGCAACAAUCAAGCAACUCUUUAUAUUGUAGCUAAUCCAAUUUUUCACAAGCACACUAAGCACAUUAAGAUCGAUUAUCACUUGGUUAGAAAGAAACUGCAAAAUGGAAGCUUGAAGACACUACAUAUUUCAUCUAAACAUCAAGUGAGAGACUUGUUGACCAAACCUUUUUCUUCACCUCAAUUUCUUUUUCUUCUUAGUAAAAUCGAAAUUCACAAUAUUCAUUCUCCAUUUUGAGGGGGAGUAUUAGAAUAUUUGGGUAUCUUGCAGUAUGGUUACAAGUUAAGUAAAGAAUUGUUAGUUUGUUAAAUAAUUGUUAGCUUUUUUUUUUUUUUUUUUUUUGCAACUAGAUGUGUCUAUUCAAUAACUUCAUAUGGUUAUAGUUAAUUAAAGAAUCCUUUACGUAUUAACUGUUAAAAUAAUUUGUUUCCAACUUUCCUAUUAAAUUUUCUUCUGCUCAAGAUUUCAAAAAUUAUAGUUCAAGAAAGCUCUUUCGAUUUCUAUGUUGCACUGUAUCUUCUUAUAUGUUAGUACAAAUCAUACUCCUCUUUUUACCUCUUCAAUGAAUCCUUUUAGGAGUAAGACCACCAAGUGAGCACCCUUAUAUUGAUCCACAAGCUUUUUAUUACAUAUUUUUUGUUUGUGCACACCACCUCAAAUUUAAGUGGCCCAUAAAUUUUAUACUUUGGAUACCUUACCAUCCAAUCAUAAGCAUAAACUAAAUUUGAAAGGAUAAGAUUAGUUUAUUUUAGAGAAAUUGAGCUCCAAGUCCCCUAGCCAAACAUGAAGUUUUGAAGCAUGAAAUUUUUGUGAUGGGACAUAAUUGCAAUCCUUAUUAAAUUGAUCAAUUGUGUUAUGCCAAGAAUGCAAAUUAUGCAUGGCAAAGUGGUUAGAAAGUGUACAAAUGCACCAUCUUUUUACUUGUUUGUUUACUCAAAUUUCUCGGUCAAUUUUUUUUUUUCAUUCUUAUCCCUCUUGAUUGAGGCAAACAUGUUUUGGCUAGUGCUCUCAAAUUCCUUAAAUAUAUUCUUUUCAAUAUUGUAAACAUUUGGCUUGGUCAUUGUUAUAGUUAUCAAUUGUGUCAACUUUUACUUUCUCUCAUCCCCAAUUACAUAUGCACUUUGUAGCUUUAAUUUUUUUUUAGUGAUUAAUCUUAGUUUUUAUCUAAUUGUUUGCCUUAUAGUCUUUGACAUAACUAUAAGUGUAACAUGUACCUCUCACAAACCAAAAGACAUCACUUGUCUUCUUUAAUUUAAACAUUUUUGCAUCUGUGUAAGAUCUGAAACUAGAAUUUCACAACAUCGCGUAGUCAUUUUCUCUAGUUGUUUCUCAAAGCUCUCUUCAAGAUUUAGUUCAUGUUCAAUUACCAACUUUGAGUUUUCACUUUUUUUUUUUCCCAUGAGUCAUGAGGAAAUGAAUUUCAACUGUGUUUCAUCUAUCCAUCUCUCUUAAAUUGUUUUAUUCGAUAGUUACCAAUUGUAGAAUUGUUUUUAUAUAUUCUUUUCAUAGAUAUUGUUAAUAAAUUAUGCUAAAUGAGUAGCUUCCUGAUGUGGUGAGAGCUAAUUUUGUUAUUGCUAGGAUAAUAUCUUUUUAACUUUCUUAACUUUUUCCGAAUUAUAAACCACUCAUGCUUUGACCAAUCUCCAUGUGUUUUUCAUUUGUUUGGAUUUAUGGGCUUUUGAUUCUAUUUGGUGAAUAGAUAAUAAGGAAUUAAGGAUCUGAGAUUGACAUUACUUUAAGGAUGUUUGAAGAUGACAUAGUGAAGCAUAGAAUAUUUUUUUGGGUUGUAUCUCCUCAUUUCCCAUACUUAUGGUGGACAUUGAUGAGUUGGAUUAUUUGAAUGAAAUGAGCUUUGGAAAAAUACUAGUAAUUACAUGAAUUGUUGCAAUAUAUUUGAGUGAAAAUAUUAUGUUAGUGUCUCUCCAUGUCACUAAUUCAAACCUGUUACUUUCCAUUGUAAGUGGUAGAAAUAUAUUUUUUAUUUUCUAGAAAACAUUACUCUAACUUGUGAAAAAGGUUCUUAUGCCUCCAUAUUAAAUGUUAUAUGAUGGAAAAAAAACUUGAAUCUCUCUGUUUCCUCAGUCUGGAUCAGGUUAGGAAUAUGCAUAACUAUCCUAGGCUUUUUCUAAAUUCUAUGCACAACAAAAAAAUUAAUUUUUUUUAUACUUUAUAAGGAUCUAGAAAGUGCUAACGAAAACUAUACCUCAAAUUCGGAUGCUCCCGAGUCUUCCGCUCGAUGACUCAAACCUUGAUCUUGGCACACUUCUAAUGGGGAGGAAAUGAGGGUGGAGGCUAUAGUUUUCUCUCUCUCUGGAUGGUGGACGAUAAAAGCUAUGGAACCCCUAACCUCUAGGGGGUAUUUAUAGGGUUCCUAAGUGGGCUUAAGUGACUUGAGCCCAUACAGGCUUGGGUCACUUAAUCUAACCCAAAAUGAGUUCUAACUGAUUAAUUAACCCAAUAAGGCUUACUAAUUAAUCAAUUAGCCCAAUCAAGAGACCUUGUUCACUUACCCCUAUACAACCUUGCGUAAUUAUCAAAAUGCCCUUAUGCACAGAAGUGAACUUAGAGUCAAUUCAACCCUCAUAACCCAUGCCAACAAGGUAUAUGAGUUCAAAGUGGGGACCAUUGGGACCCAUAGAAAUACUGACUCCCUCAAAAUCAAAUUCUAAAGUUGAUUCAAUAUCACACUAUAGAGAAUCAACUAAACUCCAAUAUCUUAUGUAAAUAACAACGAGACACUAAGUGAUCGGGUCUGUGACUUGCUAUCCAUUGUGUUCAGUCUCCCCAUGAACUAAUGUCCGUAGUUUAAUAAGGUGAAAGCUAUUAGUCUUUCAAGACUACCUCUACCUUCUAUUUUGUGUUCAAUUGACAUAUCUUAGCUCUCAAAGAGCCUAUGUCAAGUUCCAUUUAAUGAACUACAUGACCAUAGUUUCCAUGAACACACCUCCUUAAGAUCACCCAAGGGGACACACUAUCUCAAUCCUAAGAGAUAUCAUAGUGCCUCUAUUGAAAAUACCUAUUACUACCAGCUUCUAUCAACAAUGACCCAAUCCAUACGGAAUAUAUGAUCAGCUUACGAUUUCACCUGUAGGUCAAAGUCAUUGCCAACUUUAGCACAAGCUUAAUAUUCUCUCAAGGUUGAGAGACAACACAAUGAAACAGCUUGGUGAGGUCAUGACUCAAUAAUAGCCUUAAGUCAUGACUCACCAUAAGUCUUGUCCAAUGUGUAACCAUACAUACUAGUGCACUCACCAUGGGAAACCCAUCCUGAUAACCAAGACCAGUGAUCCCUCCAAUUAGGAGGUGGUGCACUACAACCUUUAAUGGGUUGCCUAGACCCAUGAACCAAUUGUAAACAAGUCAUCUAUUUGCAAGGAACCCAUGACUUAGAUCUUCUGUGCAACUCCUAAUGCACCUAAGUCACGUACAAUACAAAAAAUGCAGACAAGAAUGCUCAUAAAGUAUAAUAUAUGGAAUAAGAAUAGAUAAAAGUGAAACUGGAACAUCAUUAAAUAAAUAAUGAAUUCCAAAUUUAUUACAUCAUGUCAUGAUUUUAAGUGCUUUAUCCUAACAUUAUAUAUUUGAGAUAAACAUGAUAUAAUGAGAUUUAUGUUUCUUUGUUAUAAUAUUUCAAUAAGUAAUUGUGUUUUAAUUUUAAUAAACUAUGCAUGCAUGAAACAAUUCAAGUAUCAUUAGCAUCAUUGGUAUCAUUGUGAGACAAAAGUUUCUCUUAUUACAUACUAAAGAGAUUUAAGUUAUCAAAAAGUGAAAACGGUUUUAUCUAGGCUAGUUUCAAGUUGACAACUUUUAAAUUGUUUAUCAUGUGAUAAAGAACUUUUCCCUACAAAUGAUACUUGAAUUGUAUAAUUAGACAGUGUAGGAAAACAUAAUAUCUAUGAAGUUAACUGUUUAUUCUUAAUUCAAUUUUUAGAAAUUUUGGUAGUCUUUCCUCUUAUUCUCUGGGUGCAUAUUUGGAUAAAGUUGCAUAGUAUGCCUUGUCCAUUUUACAUACUUAGAGAACUAUAAGGAAAUUCUACUAAAACUUCUUUAAAAUGAAAUUGACCACAUUGGUCAUUGACACAUAGAGAUUAUGUAUUUCUAUAUGGGAUAGGAACUACUACCGAAUUUAGGAUGUUGGAGAUGUUAGAAUGCAUAAAACAUGCAUCAAAAUUUGACAUACUCAAAUGAUUUUCUUUAUUUAGUAAAUUAGUAUAGAUAAUGUUUGAUGCAAAGGUCAUGGACAAACCCAAUAUAAUAAUAUUAAUAUGCACUAGUUUUAUUGAGGUUAUACAUCCCUUUUAAUGCAAGUAUUCAUGGUCAACAACAUUUAUAACUUAUUAGUCACUACUACAAAUAAGAUAUACCAUGACCUUGUUUUUUCCUUGGCACUUUUAAAAAUGUUAAUAAUUAGCGUGAUAUUUCAAAAGUGUAGAUCUAUGUUCAUAGAUCAAAAUGGUUAGAACAAUGCUUACUUUUUUUCUUUUAAAUUUGGCAUCUUAAAGAAAUGUUGAACUACACUUUCUUGAUUAUUAUUUGAACAAAAAAAAAAGGUUGUUAAACGAAUAGCAUAGAAAAUGUUGCUAUUUUCUUCAAUUUGAAGUUUGAUCACUAUUGAAAGUUUGUUCUUAAAAAAUGGAUCAUUUGUGGAUUUCAAAGGAUAGAGGACUAAAGGAGUAUGGGGAUGGGGUAGAACAUUUUUAUCACAUUUGCAAUAUAAAAUUCUGCAUAUAAAAACUCCAUUAAAUGUCCAUGCUUGUAGAGUGGUAAUAUGAUAUUUCAUACUCCUCAAAGAUUUCCUCAAAGAUUUCCUCAAAAUAUUAGAGAGCAUAUGUUUUUCUAUAGAAUUAAUCAGAAUUACCAUAUAUGUUAUUGGCAUGGGGAAGCAACUCCAAGUGAACCACCAACUAGAAGGGUAGAACAUUAUAAUAUGGUUCAAUUUAAUGAUGUAGAUAGUACAAUAGAAAUGGUUGAAGUUGUACAAGUUGAAUGUCAAAAUGACCUAAAAUUGCUUGAAAGAUUACUUCAAAUUGUUGAAAAACCUUUUAUAUCCUAGUUGUAGAAAAUUCACACAAUUGUUUGCAUUGGUUAAAUUAUACAACUUGAAAACACACUAUGAGUGGUCUGAUAAAAGCUUUUCAGAGCUUUUAAAAAUGCUUAGAUAUAUGUUGCCUCUAAAUAAUGAGUUACCCUUGUCUAUGUAUGAGACAAAAAUGGCAUUGAAUACAUUAGGAAUGGAAUAAGAAAAAAUACACGCAUGCCCCAUGAUUGUAUACUUUACAGGAAUAAGUUGAAAGAUGCAUUUCAUGUCCUAUCUAUGGAACUUCAAGGUGAAAGGUAGAUAAUAUAGGAACUAAAAAAAUGACAGGAACUCCUGGGAAAGUAAUGUGGUAUUUUCCUCCAAUUCCAAGAUUUAGAAGAAGGUUUCAAUCAUAAAAAAUCGUAAAAGACCUCAUAUGGCAUACCUAAGGAAGAGAUUUAGAUGACAAAAUGUGUUAUCCAGCUGACUCUCUAUCAUAGCUAAUUGAUCAUAAAUGGCCCAACUUUGUUUCAAAACCUAGAAACUUGAGACUUCCCAUUUUAGCAGAUGGUAUAAAAUCCUCACAAUUCAUUGAUUAGCAAAUAUAGUUGUUUGUCCUAAAGAGCUCGAAGCAGCAACUAUGGACAAUGUUUUUUUUAUCAUAAAGAGUAAGUUAUGGGCAACACUAUGGCUGUAAAUAGAGGUAAAACCUUUAACUUGUUUUUAGUUUGAUUUUUCUUUUCUUUCAUAAUGGAAAUAGAAAAUCAUCUAAACAAAUAGGACCUUAAUAAUUUUUUUUUUCUACAAUUUAUUUUUGAAUAAAAUAAUUUAAAAGAUUCCAUUCUUAUAUUUGUUAGACUUUUUUUUAAUGAAGAAAAAAAUAGUCUCCCUUUUAGCAUAUAUAUUAUAUAUGAUUAACAAUGGGUAUAAUAAAAUUUAUUUAAUAAAUAAUUGAUGUGACAUUCUAAAUUGAAAGUCAUAAAUUAGCUCAUUAGUUUGAUGUUGGCCCUAAAACUACAAGACUUGAUUACAUACUUAGAUUUUAUUCUUGAAAUUUAAGAGAUAAUUGAUGUGACAUCUUGAAUUGAAAGUCAUAAAUUAGCUUAUUAGUUUUAUGUUGGCACUAAAACUACAAAACCCAAUUACAUAAAUUUUGUUCUUGAGAAAUGUCAUUAUGGUUCAUAGUAAGGCUUAGUUUGGUGUGUUAGACCAUGCAUGCAUGAUAUCUCUUCACAUUCUCUUGUUUUUUGACAAACAUGCUACCAUACUUAAGGUGUUUGUCAAGGCUCAUCUUGGACUACUCAAAACUUUGGGGUCCUUUCUUUGAGUUCACAAGCUUCUUUCCCCUAGUGUCAACCCCAACUCCCAAAAUCCACUCCUUAGUAGUGCACUGACGAAAUCUACAAAUGCACUAUAAAGUGAGAAUGGCAUCAUGAAAAUGUAUUAAUGCAUCGUAGAUGUGGGAACUUAAAAAUAUAUAUAUAUAUAUAUAUAUAUAUCUAGAGUUUAGACUUGUUUCUAUUAAUUAGAAAUUACUAAGCAAUGAAUCUUGCUAGUGUGGAAAGUACCAAUAGAUUGACCAAGGAAGGUAUAUGUAAAAAAGAUUGACAUUGUCAAUUGGAAAAAUUCCUUUACAAACGUCAACCCUAUCUUCCUAACCAUCAUGGAUGUUGAGAAGUAGAUAUCGAUGACUAUGAUGAGGAUCACAAAGGAUUAUCAUACCAAGGAGUUAGACAUUUGUUGGGUUAUCAACAAUUUUAAUGAGGGUGGUAUUAACUAUUUGGUUGUUGAUAGUGUAUUGCGUAGUUCCACCAAGCCAAUCUGCUCCUGCAUUGAGAUCAAUCUCGAUGAAAAGGUAGCAUAUAUUUUUCAUUUCCUAAUUCUAUCAAUUGCUUCAUGGUGCCUUUGUCUAAUAAGCUUAACAGGUUCUUCUACAUUUUCACCAUUUAAUUCUCUAACGUUCAUCAUGAUAGGGUUGAAAUUUCAUCAUCAAAUCAAAACAUAUCCUCCUAUAAGAGGCCUUUGAAUUCUGAAAUAAUCAAUUCACUUUAUUCUCAUAUUGGCAAAGACAAGCUUACACUAUUGGAAAGACUACCCCUAACCUUUGCCCUCCCAAAUAGCAAAGAUGAGAGAGAACCUUUCACAAAAUCACAAGAAUUAUUCAAGUUUGGAAUUCAUAGGCAUUGUUAUUGAAUUUCAUUUGUAUAAAAUUGGUGUGUUGUGUUUAUUUUGUUGGUAUUAAAAUUGAAUUUUUUUUAAUUGCAAAUUGAUGAUUUUUUUUCUCUCUCACAUUUAUACCCAUUAGAGUUUCUUAUUAGGGUUUGUGUUUGAAAUUUGGAGAAAGUAUGGUGCAAUUGUUCAUCGGUGUGGUGUACCAUUUUGUUUGUUGUAUCUAAUAUUUGGGUAUUUGAUUUAAUUUUAUUGUUGUUGAAAUUGAAAGUUGAAAUCCAAGUUAAUUGUUUAACUAGCUAUUUGUAGUUGACUUGUUUUGCACCAAUCUUGAUUACCCAUUUCAUGGGAAUAAUCGAUUCCAAUUUUCCUUCAUGGUUACUAAAAAUAUAUUGUAGGUGAAGGACUAUUAUGGAGUAUAUUAAUUCACAAGAAAAAUGUUCCUUUAGUUAGUAAAAACUUCAUUCAUGUGGUCAUUUAUGAGCAUCAUAAUAAUCCAUAUUAAAAAUAUUUAAAAACAUUAAUGCACUAAAACAUUGAUUUCAUCAACAAAAAUACACUCAUUCUUUUGACUUAUAGCAUUCAAAGAUGUUUAAAAAUAUAUAUGUACAAUAAAACAUCAUCGAAUUUAUUAACAAUUAAACUUUUAACCCCAAAACAAUCCGUUACUUUAGUAGAUAAGACACUAUUGGAAUAACAUUAUUUUUAGCUCAAGUUAGAAGUUAAAAUGAUAAGGUUAAAAGAACAAAACCAACAAAAAAAAAAAGUUAUUUUUUGUCAAACUUGACACUAGUACAAUUUAAAUAAUGUAGCUCAAUGCCCUAUUGAAUUGAGUCAUAUAACUAGACUCCCUAAUUAUAUAUUAUGAUACACACACAACCUUUGGUCUAGUAUACAUGAUUAAAUUAAAUGCCAACCUAGUUUGCAAAGCUAAACUGGAAUCCCAAAUCUAGUUCAUUAUAAAUACUCUUCAACCAACUUGCUACAACAUUCAAAUAAGACAAUGACAAUGAUAGAAAACCAAAAAAAUACCUAAUAUAUCAUUGAAAACUCCUUCCUAAAGGAGGUAAAAAAAAUCAUGAAGUAACUUUCUUCUAUUAAUAAAAAUGGGAAUACAAUGAUCUAUAUAGUGUUUUAACUCGAAACUGAUGGUAUUACAAAUAUUAAAGAAGAAAUUUAAAACACACACACACACACACACAACAAGCAUGUUGUCAAGCUUAUAAGAGUUGGAGAAAUUUCUCCAUAUAAAUCUUCAAAACAUGAUGGAGAGUAACCUUGACAUUUAAGUCAAUAAUAUACAAGGAAAGACAACCCAAAAAGAUACAACUUUGAGAACAAACUCUCCUUUUUGCUUUUUUACAUAACCUUUUUUUUUUUUUUUUCCUUUUUGAAAACUUCUCUCCUUUCCUCUAAUUGUUACACCAUACAACAAUCCUAAAAAAACAGAGUUUAAAGGCUUGUUUGAUAACUGUUUUUAAAAAUAAUUUUGAAAAAUAGUUUUUGAAAAUUAUUCUCUAAUGUUUAAUUUGUAGAACAAAAGUUUGUUUGGAAACCCAAAAUAUUUUUAACAUGUUUUUAAUGUUGUUAAAUAUGUUUUAAAAAUAAUUUUUAUGUUUAGUAUUUUAUUUUUAAUCAUUUUAUAUGUUUAUAUAAUUAUUUUUUAAGGCAAACCUUAAAAAAUAAGUGAAAAUAACAUAAAACACUUAAAAGAUAUUAUCUGAAAACACCUUAUUUUAUUGUAACAGAAAAUAAAAAGCGGUUUUUGGUUGUCAAACAUGUUUUCUUAAUUUUUUAUUUUGAAGAAUAGAAAUUUGUUCUUGAAAAUAUCUAGUUAUCACAUUAGUUAUUGCCCAUUUUAUGAUUUUAAUUAUUGCUUAAAAACUAGUUUUUCAGCUAAAAAAGAAGGUCCACUACUUAUGGGUCAAACCUUCAACUUUCAAACCCGAACACAAAGUUAUAGUCAAGACUAAUAUUCACAUAUUAGUAUUAAUAUAGUUCAUUAAAUAUGAAUUUCUAUUGAAGCCAAAAUCGAGUUUUUAGGGGAAGUAACAUUCACUUUCAAUUAAGCAAUUUUUAACUCAUAAGUUAGUACUUGUAACAAAAUUUCUUAAUAGAGACUUUAAUUGAGUUUUAAGAAGAAUUUUUUGUUUGUUAAAAACCAAUUCAAACAAAAUCUAAAACUAAUAUUAUUAUCUAAAAGACAUAAUGAACAACAUAAACCAUAAACCAAAGUGGUAGUGACAACCAAUAUGUAGCGUCAAUGAAUAAUUGAAAAUAACCUCAUUUUCUAAUGACCUCGAACCUAGAAGCUCUAAAAUUCUUGCCUAAUUCCUUGUGAUGACUUUGGUUCAACCUUAAUGGCGAGGGCAAAAUUCUAAAUAAUUUUUGUCACAACUCAUAAAUUUAGAAGAAAAAAAUGAGAAUAAAUGGAAUCCCUAAUGAGAAAUUGUUAUUUUUCCCCUUUAUGACAAAAAUAGUAACCUACUAGUAUUAUUAAAUAACAUGGAAAUUAUUAUUUCAACUUUAAUACCAUGUAUGACAUAACUUUAACAACCUUAAUUUAUAAGAUUAUUUAAUUUAAAAGGAUAAAACAAUUACAUAUUCAUAAGAAUCGCUUCUAUUUUUUAAAAACAAUAAAUUCCAUUUUUUGGACAAAAAUACCCUCCAUUGUUUUUAUCAACAUUUCACAAUCAAACACUUAUUGGAAAAAAAAAAGUAUAAGGGUAGCUAUAUUAAAAUGAGGUUAUAAUUAUAAUACUCAAUAAGUGGAGAUUUUUUUUCCAAAUAUUGGGAUCAUCUUCUCCAUUUGACACAAAUAUUUAUAAUUUAUAUUAUAAUUACUCUUAUAGUAAGAGAGAAAGAGUAAUUUCACAUGAAAUGGACCCAUAAACAUAGAUUUAUUAUGAGGCAUGAUACUAUAAUAAUAAUAGGAAAUAAGACGAGACGUGAUACCAUAAUAAUAGAAAAUAAGAUAAGUAAUUCAAUACUUAAUGAAGGUCUGAAAUAAUUAUGUUUCUCAUUAAAUGAUAUUAAAGACGAAAAAAAACUUAUUAAUUUUUAUUUUAAGUAUUAAGAUUAUUUAAUAAAAUUAACUUAAAAUUUAUUUUAAAUUAUCAAAUUGAUAUAUUUAUUUUCAUAGAUUAUAACUAAGGUAAAUGAAAUCAAGUAAUAAUGGAUGUCAUGUAGUGAAAGAGAUCCUAGAGGCAACGGGACAAAUUGUGGUAAAAAAUGUCAAAUAAAAAUACGAACUUAAGAACAAAUUAAUUGUUUGUACUUAUUACUUAAAGUUGUUAUUUAUUUUAUAUUAUUAAAUUAUUUUACUAAAUAUGCUUAAUUUAUUUAAUGACUUAAAUUAAUUUAUUAGUCACUUUAGGCUAUUAAAUCGGGUUUACCAAUCAUAUCGAAUACAUUUGGCUAGUAGGCCAAGACUCAAGAAUAUUGCUAUCAUAUGUUUUAUGUAUUAAGGUGCCAAGAAUAAUUCACCACAAAAUAUAUGAUGAGUUGAUAAGUAUAGGAUACAAUCUAAAAUAUGCACUUGAUUUCAUCAUCUAAAUAAAUGCUCUCGGCAAAUGGAUCAUCCUAGCUGAUACCAGAGCACAAGCCGCCAUGGACAGGAGGCAACGGAGAAACCCUUCUGCUUCUUCUUCUGCCUUUUCAUCUCCAGCUUCAUCCUCAUCGCGUUUCCGCUCAGAGAAAUUCUCCUCGAAUCCCCCAAAAACUAGUAACUCCCUGGAGGAUGCUCACCAAUUGAAAAGCAAAUGUGGGAAGCCACAAAGACCAAAGCAAGAGGAGGAAGGAGAGCAAGAUCCGAACAAUCUUCUCUCCUUAGUUGGAACUUGCCCAUUCAUGUGCCCUGGUAAAAAUGCGUGCUUAUUUUUCCAUUUUUUUAAAAUUCUAUUUUCCUGUUAUUCUGUGUUUGGUUUCCGAGAAAUUGGAGGAAAACAGUAGAAAAGAGAAGUGAAUCUGGAGUUUCUGUGUCAUUUUUGUGGCUUUUACAUAAAUUUUACAAAUAAAAUUGAUAUUUCUCCCCCUUUAUUAGAUACCAAUCUGCAGAAGAUGUAGGAAUCCCAAAAAAAAAUUCGCUUUUGCCUUUACUUCCCCCAAAUCUUUCAUAAUGGAAAAUGGACUUACCACCUCUUUUAUCACUUUUCCUUUACCAUGUCAGGUUUACAUGUAAUCAAACACUGUAUUUGGAGUAGGGCACUUAUUCUAAUGUCAAAUGGUGUUGAAAACUUGAAUUACUGGAUCUUAAGACUCCAGAAGAAAUUUGAUUGUUUAUGAUUAUUGCUCCAUGAGAAGGGAAAGGGAUUUCUUUUGUUUUUGCUCACAUAUAUGGCCAAAUUGAUUUAUCUCCUUCUCAUACGAACAAAAUAAGGACAUUUCUUGUCUUGCUGCCUUUUAUGCCACCGGUUCCACAUGCUGAUGUGACAACCCUUUUGCUAUUCUGUACAAAUGGUAGGAAAAUUCUGGUAAGACUGGUGGCCAGCCUAUCAUGUUCAGGGAAUAAAUUCAUUGUAUAUCUGGAAUUCACUCUAUAUCAGCAUAGGGUGUUGAUACUGAUUAUAAAUGACAAAUUCAAUUUAUUAUCCUUACAUUAGGGAGUGCUAAAAGGAUGCAAAUUGUUCAUGUUAUACCCAAAGACAUACAAGUGAUGCUAGAGAUUUUCACAAUGUGGAUAAUCAUAGAGUAGAGAUGAACACUAUGGAGUCUUUUGGCAUGUGUUCAUUCCAUGUACGGGAACAUGCAUUGGAAGAUUAUGUUUCCUCCUCCCUUCCCCUCCCCAAAGUUAAUACUAUGUUGUCAUGGCAAGAACUUUGGUGACAUGCUUCUGAGUGGAAUAGCCUCCUAGAAGUCCAUUUAUGUGGCAGUUGGCAAGUUCUUCCGGUCAAUGAGAACUUUGUGACUGUCUGAUUGUUGUACUAAUCAUCAUCAGAUUUUUUUUUAAGUUCAAGUUGUAAAUAGCCUUUCACAGUUGAAGGUAGCGAUGAAGAGGCCUGUUGACAUAAUUAUUUCUUCUGCUUGAAUGGAUUAAAAUCAGAUACCACACCUUCAGCCUAGAAAACUAUGGACUUUCCUAUGUACCUGCAAUUGGCUGAAUACUGGUGUGGCACUGACUAAAGGCUCUCUGAUGCUGUUAUUAAUUUCCUGAGCAAAUUAGAGAAAACAGAGAGGUCAUAAUGUGAAUCAGUUACCUCUUGAGUAGGGAUGAAGGCUUUUUAUAACUUUUUACUUUCUGGUUAGGCCUUGGAAGCACUUCUGUGAACCAUGAUUUUGUACUGUAAAAUUAGAUGGGAUGGAUAGGUCACCUUAACUCUACUUUUGGAAGUGAUUGGGGAGCGCAUGACUGUAUGAAUAUUGAUGUGUUCUCCCCAUACAGAGCCCAACUUCUUUUUGAACUAGGAAGCAUGAAGGGUGGGUGGAUGUGGGCUGAGGAAGGAAGAUUUGACUUGUGUGCCGCAGGCCUGCGGUACCAAUUUGUUCCAGAACUUGAUAAGGCCCAUAAACUGGUAGGCAAGUUUCAUUAUUUGGUCACCACUGAAUUUUGGCAGUAUGGCCACAAGGAAGGUAGGAAGGAGAGGGAGAAGAGAAAACCCCAAUUGCCAAUUGCAAGCUUCCGGUUGGCACAGUGCUCAUUGCUGACAUUUUCAUUUGAUUUUGACCUUGCAACAGAUACAGCUUAACAUGAUGGACCAGUUUUUCACAAUCUUGUGAUUCAUUACCCAACUUCUAGUAACAGUUUCUCAGCAGAUGACUCACCUAUGACAGGCUGAUGAUGUCUGCACACAACUUGAAAGGUAUUCAUGCCAAGGUGUGAAAGGUAAUAUUGUGACACCAUUUUGCCUAUUCCAGAAAAUGUAACAAAUGUAUGGCUGGUUCUUGACCUAAAAAUGCUGGCAUUGGUCACCAAGUGCUAGGGUGAUUCUUGACAAAAAAUGUUCGUAUUGUUCAGAACAAUGAUUUACAACUUCAGAUUGGCCAUCCAGUUAACGAUGAUAAUCACUUGUUUUACAAAGUUCAGUGUCAUAAAAGCAAAAUAAUUUUGUCAACAAAUAUGCGGAUAACUUUAUCAUAAUUACUACUUAUGGAAGUUAAGGAUAAGUUGGGUAAUGUGAGAAAGUUUUGGUCAGAGGAUAUGAGGAUAAAUUUGUUGCAAUUGCUAAGCUUCACCUCCUAGGACUACUAGGAGAAACGUAUGAGCAAUAGAACAAAUUUACAGUCCAUCCCCAUUAGCUGCAUGGAGAGGUUGGGCUUAUUGCUGCUAUGGUGGAGGUCACCUUCUUGUAGACUUUGAAAUCUGCGAAUGAAGAGGCAGAUUUCUUAGAGGAAUUGGUAGGACUCCAAGCCCCCCAAAUGACAGGGGGGUGGGGAGGAUGGGGGUGGUGGGGGGCCAUUUCUAAUUUCAUGUCUUCUCAAUGUGGAUUUGAGGUUUAACGAGAUUUUUGGGAAAUCAUUAAGGUUAAAAGUAAUUGAAAGAGUGUGUCUGUGGAGAGCAAGAGGGGGAAAUGUUUGGUUCCCAACUGGGGUUGCUUCAUCUGACCGUUAAUCUCACAGCAAACACCGACGGAGCGUUGUUGUUGGAGGCUUCCAGGUUCUCUGAUCAAUUCUCUUGUUCUUUGUUUUCUUUGGGGAAGCGGGAAACCUCUCUUUCUUCUAUUCCUUCUGGGCGGGAUGGGGAAGGUGUUGCCAUUGCCAGGGUUUCCGAUCAGGGCAGUGGUUUAGAAGCCGUAGGGGGAGCUGUUAUGGGCCCGUUAAGGAUGAUAUUGGCGGAUGGGAGGGAGGCCGAGGUCUCAAAUUUGGCGGGUAGGGAGUUUGGGACUUUCGAGGAGGCGUCAGAGGGGGUUUCGAAAAGGGUCUCCCAAGAGGAUGAAGAAGAGAGGGACAAAGAGGGGGAACUGUGUUGGCAUUCUAGUAGCUUGGCUAAGUUCAGCCGCUAUCUUGGAAUGCCGAUGGAGGGCUUCGAAGGGGAAAUUUUGUUUUUGCUUAAAAGAAUGAAAGAGAAGAAACUUCAAAAAGGAAAGUUGAAUGGCAGAAAAAGGAAAAAAUUGGAGUCAUCAAAAUUCGAAAUAGAAUUGAGAAAGUUGGAAUGGACAGUGAAUUAUCUUGGAGGAGGAGGAGGAGAGGGGGGGGAAGUACGAGCAGGUCUAAAUGAAGCUCCGACUGCUCACUUGGAAUGUAAGAGUGACCAAUAAUUGUGAUAAGAGGAAGGUGAUCAAAGCGUUGAUAAAGAAGAAUAGGGUGGAUCUGGUUUGCCUAUAGGAAACCAAGAUUUAGGAAAUGUCAAUGGGCAUUAUCCGUAGCUAAGGAGUGGGAAGAUUCCUUGAAUGGGGAGCUGUAGAUUCAAGGGCACAGCUGGAGGUAUAGUGGUGUUUUGGGAUAACAGGGUGUUGGAUUUGGUUGACCUUCAAAAAGGAUUGUUCUCUAUUUCUUGCACUUUUAAGAGUUGCGAGGACGGUUUCAUAUGGACGUUUACAAGGGUUUAUGGCCCAACAUUGAGGAGGAAUAGGGAGAGUUUUUGGGAGGAGUUGGGGGCCAUUAAGGGGCUUUGGAAUGGGCCGUGGUGUGUUGUAGGGGAUUUUAAUGCCAUUCUAAGUCCGGAAGAGCGCAACAGAGGAGGGAGCUUGAAUUCAAACAUGAGAAGGUUCUCAGAAGUUAUAGAAGAUCCAGAGUUAAAGGAUCUGCCUAUGGUUGGGGGUCCUUUUACUUGGAUUGGAGGGGUGAAUAACCAGUCUUUUUCAAGGCUGGAUCGUUUUUUGGUUAAUGAGGGGUGGGACAGUCAUUUUGGUGAUGCGAGGCAGUUUGUUCUACCAAGACCUGUGUCCGAUCACUUUCCGGUUCUUCUGGACGGAGGGGGCCUGAGAAGAGGCCCUUCCCCAUUUAGAUUUGAGAAUAUGUGGCUGAAACUGGAAGGUGUUAAGGACCUUUUGAAGCAUUGGUGGGAGGAAGGUAGCUUCAGUGGAUCCCCAAGUUUUAUCUUGGCCGAAAAACUAAAAUUUAUGAAGGCUAAGCUGAAGAAGUGGAACAGAAACACAUUUGGUAGGGUUGAAUAUAGAAAGAAUUUGGCUUUGGAGCAGGUGGAGUUUUGGGAUACCAAGGAGAAAAUUAGCAGACUGUUGUUGGAAGAGCUGGAAGCUAGAAAAGAAGCGAGGGAAGAUUAUAAAAAAUGGGUCUUACUUGAAGAAAUCACGUGGAGGCAAAAAUCUAGGGAAGUGUGGCUGAAAGAAGGGGAUAGAAAUACCGGUUUUUUCCACAAGAUGGCCAAUGCUCACAGGAGGAGGAAUAAUGUGGACAGAAUUAAGAUUAAUGGAGCCUAGCUUACAUAGGAGAAUGGAAUUAGGGAAGGGAUUGCCAAUGCUUUUAGGUUGUUGUUGUCCAAUCCGGGGGAAUGGCGCCCUUCUAUUUUCGAGCUGCAGUUUGAGACUUUGGAGCCUUUGGACGCUAGUGCCUUGGAGAUUCAUUUUUCGGAAGAGGAGGUCUUCGAUGCACUAUUGGGCUGUAAUGGGGAUAAAGCCCCGGGGCCAGAUGGAUUCUCUAUGACCUUUUGGCAAUUUGCUUGGGAUUUCGUGAAGGCUGAUGUGAUGUGUUUCUUCAAGGAGUUCAAUGAAAAUGGCAAAUUUGUUAAAAGCCUAAAUGCAACUUUUAUGGUCCUAAUCCCAAAAAAAGCAGGGGUUGAAGCCUUAGGGGAUUUUAGGCCUAUAAGCUUGGUGGGAAGCUUGUACAAGUGGCUGGCCAAGGUCUUAGCUAAUAGGCUAAAAAAGGUGGUUGGAAAGGUGGUCUCCAAGGCUCAAGGGGCGUUUGUGGAAGGUAGACAAAUCCUAGAUGCAGUGUUGAUAGCUAAUGAAGCCAUUGAUUUGGUUCUCAAGAAUAAUGAGAAUGGCAUUCUGUGCAAACUGGAUAUAGAGAAGGCGUAUGAUAACAUGGACUGGACUUUUAUUCUCACAGUUAUGCAGAAAAUGGGUUUUGGGGAAAAAUGGAUCAGGUGGAUUAAGUGGUGUAUAUCCACUGCAGGUUUCUCCGUGUUGGUCAAUGAAACCCCUACGGGUUUCUUCCAAAGCUCCAAGGGUUUGAGACAGGGUGAUCCCCUUUCCCCUUAUCUCUUUGUGAUAGUUAUGGAGGUCUUUAGUGCUUUUCUUAAAAGGGCUGUAGAGGGAGGUUUCUUAUCGGGUUGUAGGGUGAAGGGUAGGAGUGAAGAAGGGGUCCUAAUUUCCCACUUGUUGUUUGCUGAUGAUACACUGGUGUUCUGUAAACCUUCACAAGAUCAAUUGACUUAUCUCAGUUGGUUACUUAUGUGGUUUGAGGCCGUUUCGGGAUUGAGAAUAAAUUUGAAAAAAAGUGAACUCAUUCUAGUAGGGAGGGUAGAGAAUAUGGAUGAUCUUGCUUGGGAAUUUGGUUGUAGACUGGGUAGCCUUCCAACCACCUAUUUGGGGAUGCCCUUGGGUGCUCUUUUUAAGUCAGUUACAGUUUGGGAUGGUGUGGAAGAGCGCUUCUGAAGAAGGUUAGCCAUGUGGAAGAGACAAUAUUUAUCCAAGGGAGGAGGGCGACUCUUAUUCGAAGCAUGUUAUCGAAUUUACCCAUCUAUCUCAUGUCAUUGUUGUGCUUACCAAGCUCAAUUAGACGGAGAUUAGAGAAAAUCCAAAGGGACUUCCUUUGGGGUGCAAUUUGGAGCGAAAGCCUCAUUUAGUAAGAUGGGAGUUGGUGUGUUUAAGUAAGAAGAAAGGAGGUUUGGGGGUCAAAUGCCUUUCCAUUCUCAACAAGGCUCUUCUUGCUAAAUGGAAUUGGCGUUUUGCAAAUGAGAGAGAAGCUUUGUGGAAUCAAGUGAUUAGGGGGAAGUAUGGAGAAGAUAGAGGGGGUUGGUGCUCUCGGGAAGUGAGAGAGGCUCAUGGUAUGGGGUUGUGGAAAGGAAUAAGGAUGGAUUGAGAGUUGGUGAGCGAUAGGAUGGUUUUCAUUGUUAGUAAUGGGAGGAGGGUGAGAUUUUGAAGGGAUAGAUGGUGCGGGGAUUCUCCUUUGUGUAUGUCUUUUUCUUCUCUUUUUGAUUUGACUGUUGAAAAGAAAGCGUGGGUGGCAGAUUUUGGGACCCUUUGGCUAAGGGGGGUUUGGGGGGGGGGGGGGGGGUGGGAACCCCGUUUUUUAAAACUUUUCAAGAUUUGGGGGGAGAGGGAGGGGAAAAAUUUUUUGCGAAGGUUUCUGGUUAAAAAAUUUUUUGGGNNNNNNNNNNNNNNNNNNNNNNNNNNNNNNNNNNNNNNNNNNNNNNNNNNNNNNNNNNNNNNNNNNNNNNNNNNNNNNNNNNNNNNNNNNNNNNNNNNNNAAAAAAAGGGUGGGGGGGCAAUUUUUGGGCCCUUUUGGUUAAGGGGGUUUGGGGGGGGGGGGGGGGGUUGGAACCCCUGUUUUUAAGAGCUUUCAAUGAUUGGGAGGUAGAGGAGGCGGAAAGAUUUUUGCAGAGGCUUCAUGGUAAGAGAGUUAUUGAGGAUGUGGAGGAUAUGGUGUCUUGGACUGAAACUAAGAGUGGUAAAUUCUCGGUCAAGUCUCUUUAUGUUGCCCUUGAAGCGGGUUGUUCAUCUCUGUUUCCUUUAAGCUAUAUUUGGAAUGUGAAUGUGCAGCCCAAGAUUAGUUUCUUUACAUGGGAGGCUACGUGGGGCAAAGCCUUAACCUUGGAUAUGGUCCAGAAAAGAGGACGGGCAUUGGCAAAUAGAUGCUUUAUGUGUCUUGAGAAAGAGGAGACCAUAAACCAUCUGCUCCUUCAUUGUUCAAGAACAAGGGUGUUAUGGGAUCUACUUUUUACUUUAUUUGGGGUGUCUUGGGUAUUGCCUUCUUCAGUUAGAGAGACCCUUCUAAGCUGGAAUGGUUUUUUCGUGGGCAAAAAAUGCAAAAAGGCGUGGAGAGUUGCUCCUCUUUACAUUUUCUGGACGGUUUGGAAGGCGAGGAAUAGAUUGGCUUUCAAGGAUGAUAUGUUGUCAAUUUAGCAACUGAAACACUCUUUUAUCCUUUCUUUUUGGUCCGAGAUUAAGUUGUUUAUAGAUGAUUGCCCUCUAACUAUAGCUAAUUUUAUUGAUUGGUUGGGCUCUAAGUAGGAUUGGGUUGUUGGGCUAUCUUUGUUUUUUAGCCUUGUUGGAGGCGGGUGUAUAGGUAUUGUAUACCUUGAGUCACUUUUUUAGCGUUUCUUUUAUAUAUGAAAUCUUAUUUACUUAUCAAAAAAAAAAAAAAUGUAAUCGAAGACUUUCACAUUAAUGAGGUAAUGAAUAACCACUGAUACUUCUUCACCCCAAAGUUCCUUCACAAAAAUUUGGUAAGUGAAGAACCAUUUCUGAGUUGUGAAGCACCAAUUCCACCUUCAUUAUCUUGAUCUUUAGAAAGAGGGAUCCAACUUGAUUUGGGAUUUUAUACCUGUCAACCCAGUCACUAAUUUUUAGGAGAAUACUUCCAAUUUACCCUUGGGUUGCUUUAGAAAGUUUCUUAAUAGUGCCAUCUCUCUAGCUUAAGGGGCUUUUGUUAAUGGAAGGCAAAUACUAGAUGUGGUUAUCAUUAGUAAUGAAAUCCUAGACAAAUACUAGAUGUGGUUGUCAUUAGUAAUGAAAUCCUAGAUGAAAAAUUCUGUUCUAAGGACGAAGGGAUGGUUUUUAAAAUAGGUUUUGAGGAAGUUUAUGAUCACAUAGAUUGGGGUUUCAUGUAUGAUACAUACUUUGAAUAGGGAAGGCCUUGAACCUGGAUGGCACAAAGGGACUGGAUAUUUUGAGGUUGUUUUUCAAACUGCAGGCUCUUUAAUGGUGUUAUUGAAGCUGAGUGUUUAGCACUCGAGGAAGAUUCGGAUAUGGUUGUUUGCCUGGAUGUAAUGAACCUCCAUAUUGAAGGGGAUUCCUUUGUUAUUGUCUCAAAACCUUCUUUGAAGGCAAAGGUCCUUAGUGGAUUGCUCAUCAGAUGGGGUGGCUUCAUAAUCAUGCUAGAGACAUUGCUUGUUCUUCUCUAUUGAGGCCCAGAUCAGCUAGCCAGGUGCAUGGCUAUAUUUUUCUUAUAGGGAUGCUAAUAUCUGAAAAUUUUUAUUGAGAACACUUACUGCUCUUUGAUUGGUUUGAGGCAUGGAGUGGCUUUUCUGUUCUCUUCUUGCCAUACAUGCAUAUCAUCCCUCUUUUUUAUCUUGUUUAACUCAAUAAAUUCUCAUUUGUUAUAAGGAAAAAAAGAGAUAUUAUGUUACAUGAUGGAAGGACUUUAUUCUGUUAUGGAAUAGGCAAAACCUAGAUCUAUUGGCUAGAGCUAUACAGUAGGUUGUUGGGCUGUUCAGCAUUGUCUUUUUUUUGGAUAGGUUUGGCCAAUGCCCCUUGAUGUUACUUUUUGGUAAUGUAAUUUUCUUUGAUUUUUCUUGAAAAUUCCUCAUUUUUCAAGCUUGCUUGUAUAUCUUUCCUUCUUCCAUUAAUGAUUGUUUGAUUCCUUACUAAAAUAAAUAACAAAUUAUGAUGCAAAAGGAUUACGUUUAUGGAAAAUUUUGAGAUUUUCACCAUAUUAGAGUCUCUGAAGUUGGUACUUGUCUUGACACAGAUAAUAGGAAUCAUUUUCCCCCCAAACUACAUAAGACAUGUCUGCUACUUGGUAAUGUUCCAUUGGCAGUUAUAAACUCUCCUGUCAAAAGUGAAUCUGUUGUAGCAUUCCAAAUGGUGUAGUGUCGUACAUAGAUUGGUAAUUGAGGACUUUAUUAUGGAUUUUGUCCUGUUGUGGUUGUGCCAACAAGUUCUAUCCUGUUCUUUGUCUUGCUGAUUUGGGUGGUUGUGCAUCAUGUUCCUACAGCUGUAUAAUUAUGCUUCAGGAGCAUAGUUAUUCUGGUUUUACCAUCCAGAUGAUGGUAUUAAAGUAUUUGUAUUCUAGAUUGCGCAACUCCUUAUAUGGGAUAUUUUUGCACCAAAUGCUUAGUGAUCAAGAGAACUCUCAUAUUAAACACAGUCAUCUUCUAUUAAACUAAAUUCCUUAAGUAUGCAGUCUCACAACUACAUCAUACCAUUCUUUUCCUUUUUUAUUCCUUUCUUGCUAUUACAGGUUGGUUGCCACUAAUAUAGUAGAAAGCAAAUUACACGACCCUGCUUCCAUAAGACCUUUCUUAUUCCAUAGGUUGAAAUAGAAAAAACACUCGAUGGGACUAAUGUUUCUCUUUGCAACCAAGCAAAUUAAAAUGUUUUGAAACCCAUGCUGCCAUGAUCUUAGCUAAUUUGCAUUUUAUAUCUCUACCCCUUUCUAUUUACCAUAAUGAUGCAUGCAUCUAGUCAAAUUGUGUAUUUCUUAUGCUUAUAUUUAUUUCCUGAUGAGUUUAUUCUGACUCUUUGAUCAGGAUUUCUGCAAUCACAUUGCUUGCUAUUGAAUUUUCAAUGGCUUAAUAUGAAUUAUUAAUAAAGAUGUUGUUUAAUUAUUUCAGCAGCUUAUACUUGGUAAUUUCUUUUAACAACUCUUAUCUCUGAUGUUCAUUUGUAAUAUAUAGCUGGAGAAAGGGCCCAACGUGAACGCCUUCGGGACUUGGCUGUGUUUGAGAGGUUACAUGGAAAUCCUGGGAAAACAUCUCCAAGCCUUGCUGUCAAAAAGGUAAACCCUACAUCUCAUUCCUCUAUACCGCAUCUUAGCUUCUCAUCUUGCAUCGGACAAUGAUACUCUUAUUGAAUCAUCUUUACCAUAUCAGCCAUCAACAUGUGCACUUAUUGAGCGCUAAUUCAGGCACUGAUACUUGUGCUUUUGUUUUGUUUUGUUUUAUCUUGUCUUGUUUUGUUUUGGAGGUGAUUGUGUUGGAUGACCUAUAUCUGUGUUAGACACCAAAGCCUAUCUUAAUGCUACUGUAAAGUAAGACUAUGCUAAUAAGCUAUUGAUCUGUUACAGGGUUUAUGCCAAACUGAUUUUUUAGUUUCUCUAGUAGAAAACUUGUUUUUUCCCCUGUUAUAUCGGUGCUAUUGUUGGAUUUGUGUUUGUUGUUGAUCAAGCAUUUGCUGAAACCUUUUUUUUUUUCCUUUGCUUCUUGAUGUGCAAAGCAUUAUUGUUUGAAUUUUAAUGAUCCCAUUUGAUUCACUAUUCAAUAUUUUUAUUUGAUAUUACAUCUAUCUCAUUUGUUUUCUUUUCUUAGUUUGUUUGUUUGUUUUUUUUUUUUUUUUUUUUUUGAAUUUGUGACAUUUGAAUUUGAUGGAGCCACCAUUAAUUUAUUUUUCCUUAUUAUUGUGGGGUGUGCUUUAUUUUGUUCAAUUGUUGUUGCACUAUUAUUGUCAUGUAACUUUUCUUUUUUGUUUUGUUUCUAUUGUUCCUAUGAGCAUUAAAUGCUUCUAAAAUGUAUGGAACAGGCUAAACCUUUCUAUAGUUUUUUUAAAAAAAAAACUCAUUUAUUAUCUAUUUUCUUGUGCUCAAAAAAUUAUAUUUUUUUAGUAAAAUUGAAAAUUUAGGGAGCGCUUAGGCCUCAGCGGCUCAACCCCUUGAGGGUUUAGGCCUGUCAUAGCAAGAUGUAAACCCCCUUGCCUCUUAUGCUUUUACCUUAUGAAACUAUACCAAGAAACAAACACCACAACUCCCUGCUGCCAUCAAAGGAUACUUCAAAGUUUGCUUCAAAUCAAUCUUAAGGCCAAUUAUCAUAGGCUUGUCAUCAUGUCACUAAAAUUGGUAUUGUAACCAAAGUCCUAUUGCGAAAUCUUCAAGUUGCAGCUCCUCCUUUUCUGUUGGCUCUUGUAUUGUUAGGUGGCCGCAACCUGUUGCUUUUCUUAUGCUUUAUGAACUACUCCAGUUAAAAUAAUGCUUCAAGUAGAUGCUUUCUGGAUCUUGAUUCUAGCAAGAGGCUUAUAUUGCAAAUUUUUUUGUGGAGUCCUAGAUAGGUUAACUAGGAAGACAAUAGCUUGCUUAAGAGGAUUGCCACCUCUCCUUUUGGGUUUGUAAAAAUUUUGGUUCUCCCUUGACCUUGGGAGUCCUAUGGUUUCAAUUUUGGAUGUGCUCUAGGUUGUAGCCUGUGUUAUGCUUUCUAAAUGGUAAUCUUCUUCUUGUUUUAGCUGGGAUGCUUUUGUUUAUUUUGCUCGUUUGUUUUCUUUGUUUCUUUAUUGUGGCUGUAGGAUCACCAAUCAACUUUUUAUUCUCUGCAAAAACUGUUUAUGUUUCAUAACGAAAAAGGAAAAAACAAAGGCAAGUUAGCCUAGAAUAGGUUUUAUCUUGUUUCUUCUUUUACCAUUAGUGUGGAUUCAAACUCAGGAAGAGGCCUUCAAACAAGUGGCAUUUGUGUUUUUUAAACAUAUAUCUUUAUUCAAUCAUUGUUAAGUGUUUGUUGUCUUGUCUGUUCUUUUGGUUGUUUUUGUCUUUGUCAAAGUGUAUAAUUAUAAUAUCCCACAUUGUAUAGAGGAAAAAGUUUCUAACGCUAUAUAUGUAUGAACUUUUUUUAAUCUUGUUGAUUCGUUUUUAAGCCGCGAGGGUCGUUUAGGCUCAAAGCAAAUAAUAUCCACACAACUGGGAGUAGGUUGUUACAAAUGGUAUCAAAGUCAAUCCUCGACCUUGGUAGGAGAGUUUGCUUGGCCUAAAAUGGGUGUCCGUUUAUUUGACCUUACAAUCCUAUGGGACACAAUAAGGACGUUGUGUCUGCAUGAGAGGGUGAUUGUAAUAUCCUACAUUACAUAGGGGAAAAAGUUCCUAACGUUAUAUAUCAUAGUUUUAAAAGGCUCAAGGCGCACCAAGGCGCAAAGUAGUCCUGGAGCCUGAGGCGCAAGGCGCAUCUAAGGCGCGGGCUUUAGUGAAGUGAGGCGCACCCUAAUUUACAUAUAUAUUUUUAUAUAAUAUAAUCAAAUUUAACAAUCAUUUAUUUGUCCUAAACACAUAAAUCAUCAAAUAUCAUCCAAAACUUCAAUUUAAUAAACAAAAAACAUAAAAAUAAAGAACUCCAAGCAUAAAAACAAAUCCAAAUCCAUAUUGCUAAUUGCCUAAUACAUAUCCAAAUCCAAAGUUUCCAAACCUAAAGGUCCAAAACAUGAAAUUUGUCCACAAUUCAAAAACAUCAUUAAAAAACACUUAAAUCACAAAUUUGUCCACAACAAGCAAUCAUCACUCCUCCUCUAAAUCAACAAAAUCAUCAUCAUCAUCAUUUCCAUCACCACAUUUGUAGCCUUCCCCAUCUUCUUCAUCUGCUGAAUUAACCAUGUCUCCAUCUUCAUCUUCAUCUAUUAGUGAAUAAGAAGGCAAAGUUCUAGAACUUGAAGCUAUCCCCCUUGUUGGUGGUAUUAUGCUUGAGCUUGCUCUAGCUCUAGCUCUAGUAUCAAACCUGGCCUCCUCAUCUCCAGCAGCUCUAGCAACAUCACCCCAUGUCAAAUUGUCAUCAUCAAAUACAAAAUCAUCUUGUGCACCUCCAUGAGAAUCCUCAUCUUCCAUUCUCCCUAUCAACCAUUCAUUGCUAUCAUCUAUAUCUUUCAAGGAAAUUGGGUCAAUGGUGUUACGUUCAUUGUAUCUUCUCUUCAAGGCUCGAUUAUACUUGAUGUACACCAAAUCAUUCAAGCGUUGAUGAUCUAACCUAUUUCUCCUCUUGCUAUGAAUCUGCAAAAAUUCAUAAGCUCAUAAAUAUAUUUUAAAAUUUUAACUUUUAAGUUACAUUCAAGACUCUAUUAGACUAUUACUUGUAAUUAUUUUGGAUUUGGUCACUCACAUUCUCAAAGAUGCUCCAAUUCCGUUCACAACCCGAUGCACUGCAUGUUAAGUUGAGGACUUUCAUUGCAAACUUUUGCAAAUUUGGAGCUGAAGCUCCAUAUGCAGCCCACCAUUCAGCUGUAGUAUAGAUAUUAACAAUUUAGUGAAACAAUUCACCUAUUUUAGCAAAAAUACAAUCUAAUCAUUUAAAUAAACAAAACUAAAUAACUAACCUGGUGCUCUAGUCUUUCUUGUCCUAACAGCUAACUCAUUCCCGAAUAGUCCUUGGGCAUUUGUGAACAAACUCACUUCGGCCACAACUUUUUCUUGCUUAGCAGGGUCUCUUGUUAGCCUUAAGAUGCAUUUAUACAAAUCACUCAUAAUCUCGGCAUCAUGCUCUAUUUCUGGCUUAUCAUAGAAGAAUUCCGGGUUCAAAAAGUACCCUGCUGCAUGCAAAGGCCGAUGAAGCUGAAUCUCCCACCUCUUAUCAAUGAUGUUGAAGAUUUCUUUGUACUUCUCUUCAUUUCCAUUAAAACUUCUCACAAUUGCAUCCUUAGCUCUAUUCAUGGCCUCAUAGAUGUAUCCCAUAGGAGCUUUUUUUUCACCAUCAACCAAACGAAGCACACGAACUAGGGGACCCGAAACCUUUAAGCAAAACACAAUAGUGUUCCAAAAUGAAGGCAUUAGAACUAUGUUGGCUAUAGUUUUCCCCUUCUACUCUUUUGCCCAUUUACUAUCUAACCAAUCUGAGCUUGUAAACAUCUUCCUCAAAUUGUUUUUUUGUUCAUGCAAUCGCGAUAAUGUGAUGAAAGCAGUUGCAAACCGAGUCUUAGCAGGCCUAAGCAAUUCCCUUUGUCCAGUAAACCGCCUCAUCAUGUUGAGUAGCCCUGAGCGAUUAUAAAUAUACCGAUUUAGUGAUAUAGCCCUCUCCAAUGUCCUCUUGAUGUUUGGUAGCUUUCCAAUAUCUUCCAACAUCAAGUCAAGGCAAUGUGCAGCACAUGGUGUCCACUACAAAUGUGGACGCUUUAAUUCUAACAACCUCCCUAUAUGAAAUUGUAGAUAAUAAAUUUACAUAAGUUCUCAAGAUAAAUAAUUCAAAUUUUAAAAGUAAAUAAAAAUUCAAGAAAUAGUAUUUAUUACUUGCUAUCACAUAACUUGAGUGAUUAUCUGUUAUAACUUGAAUAACAUUCUCUUCACCAACUUGCUCUACCCAUUUGUCAAGUAAUUCAAACAUCUUUUCUCCCGUCUUAAUCAUUGAAGAAGCAUCAAUGGAUUGCAUGAACAUGGUUCCCUUUGAACAAUUAACCAAAAAGUUCACCAAAGUUCUCUCUUUCCUAUCGGUCCAUCCAUCCGACAUAAUUGAACAUCCAUUUUUCCCCCAUUCCACCAUAUGAUCUUUCAUCAAAUCUUUUGUGAGAGCCAAUUCUUUCUUAAGGUUAGUAACUCUUACCUCAUGAAAAGUUGGUCCCUUCAUACCCACACCAUAUUGGCCAAUAGUCUCAAUCAUUGGUUGGAAACUCGGAUAUGUGACUGCAUUAAAUGGAAUAGCAGCCUCAUACAUCCAUCUUGUGAUAAGCGUGCAAGCUCUUUCUCUUGCUUCCUUUUUGUAGGCAUCAUUGAUGGUAGUUUGAUUCAUCUUUCCACUCCUUUGAUUUUGAACAACCAUCUCUGCAUUAGGAGUGAAAAAAUGAUCCAUAGGACCUUUUUGUCUUGGUUUUUUUGAAGAAAACGUCCUACCACUACUUCCUCCUCGGUUACUACCUCCACUAGAAAUGUUGGUGACAUUCGUUCUACUAUUAAUCUCCUCACCAAUAUCUUCAUCUUCCAAACCAAACAAAUCUUCAUUAACAUAUUCGCUCCCCAUAUUCAUUUGCUCUUUUUGAUUUUUCUUGGAACUCAUAUACUCUUCCAUUUCUUCUCUAACAUGUUCCGGACAUUUUCUAAACUUUUUAGCAUUUCUAUAUCCACCAACAAGAUGUUGUUUGUGUCUAUAGAUGCCUCCUUUGGUUACUUUCUCACAAAAAAUGCAUAUGAUGGUGUUCAAAUCUUUUUCAUUAACCAAACGACCAUAUUUCCACCCCGGAUCUCUUCUUCCACUUGCACUAGAGUCCACUUGAGUUUCACUCUCAUUAUCCAUCUUGCAAACAAAUUAUCUAUACUCCACAAUAAAAUAAUUAUAAUUAAAUUAAGAAAAAAAAUUGAAAAAAAAAUGCAUAUCACAUUAUCAAAUAUCACAUUAACAACAAAUAUGCAUGAGUGCUUUUUAUUUAUUUAUUUUUAUUUUGUAAAAUUUUCAUGUCAAAAACUCAAAAUAUAAUAUUUAUUUUUAAAAAAAAAAAAUUACCAAUGAGAGUUAUGAGGUAAGAAUGGAAAAAAAUGCAGAAAAGUGAAGAAAAAAGAAAAAUACCGAGGUUCGGAAGGUACGUGACUAUUUCCCCUAUUUUUCUUCUUCUUUUUCUUCUUCUUCUUCACUUCUCCAGCACAGAAGAGGCUAAGGCAAAAAAUGGCAGUGGUCUCGGGUUGAGAAAGACCAGAAAAGGGGGCUGGAUGGAAGGAACAAGUCAAAACGGCGUCGUUUUGGUCCCUGUUCACUUAAAUGAACAGGCUCCAAAACGACGUCGUUUUGGGCCCAAAAAAAAAAAAAAAAAAAAAGCUAGGGCUGCGGGGCGUCUCUGCAACCCGACUGGAGGAGGAAGAAGAAGAAGAAGAAGAACAAGGAGAAGGAGAAGGAGGAGUGCGUACCUGGUCGGACCGUCGGAGGCGACUCGGGCGAUCGCCUCGCGCCUUGCUGGAGGCGAGCGCCUUGCGCGCCUAAGCGGCGCCUUCGUGAAGGGGCGUCGCCUCUCUUCAGGCGAGGCGCCGAGGGUGGCGUCGGGCCGCCCCGAGCCUAGGCGCGCCUUUCAGAACUAUGUUAUAUAUAUAUAUAUAUAUAUAUAUAUAUAUAUAUAUAUAUAUAUAUAUAUAUAUAUAUACUCCUCUUAACCUUGUACACGUAUUUUAAAGUCAUGAAGACCACUUGAGCAUAGGAUGGAUAAUAUCUAUACGGUUGGAUGCAGGUUGUUACAAUAAUUACUUUUGAUUUUCCUUUCAUAUGUUUAAUUGCAUAACAUUAUUAUAGCAAAAUAUUAAUCUAUCAUAAUGCAACGUCUUGUAAAGCUUAUGUUGGGUGUCAUGAUUUGAUCUCUUGUCAUUUUUAUUAUUCUGAUUCAACAUCAUCUUAGCUUAUAAUCAUUUAUACACUUGAUGCAUGAGAAAUGAAGAUGCUAUAAAUUGUAGGAUCUUUUUCUCCAAUUUGUUCCUUGAUAUUUUAUAAUGCCAUGAAAUGUCUAUAUUUUGAUGCAGAAAGCCGUUCACACUCCAUCUCUCUCACUAGUUUUGCAGAACCAUUGCCACUAAGCACAUGCAGGCGUCAGAUGUGCGGCCACUUCCAGUGUUGGAAGAGACUUUGAACUACCUAUUAAACCUGUUGGAUGCCACAGAACAUCCUUUUGAAGUGGUUCAUGAUUUCGUCUUUGAUAGGACAAGAUCAAUAAGACAAGAUCUUAGCAUGCAGAAUAUCAUUAAUGAUCAAACAAUUCAUAUGUUUGAAGAAAUGGUAUGAAUUUCUUGAAACAUAAUCUCAAUUACCUUUUUUUCUGAGCAUUCAUCUCCUCAACAUACAAUAAGUUAGCCAACCCAUUGCUAAACACUCUCCUAGUUGGAGAAAAUAAUCAAAGUAUACAAGAGAUAAAAUGUUGAAUAAUUGAGUCAUUAUCCUCUCUUUUUGCUUUAUUGAAUAAGAUAAUUUAUUCGAUGGAGUCCAAAUGAGGUGAAACUGUGAUCACACAACUUGAAGCCUACUUUACAAUGGAUAAAUGAAUGGUCUGAUUUUGAAUCUUUCUUGGCACAUUAGUUAUUAUCCAAUCCAUUCUAAUUAAAUUAUCCACUAUUAAGUGUCUAUUUCCAGUCACCCUCUAAGUUAUGAAAGACCCAUAGAACCAAAGCAACUCACACCACCUGUGAUAGGAAUUGGUGCUCUCUUCCAUAAUGUCAAGUUUUCCAGUACACUUGCUGACUUUGUAGAAUAUGCCUACAAAAAGGGCUGCCACCUCCUAAUUCCCAAUCAUAGAAGUUUCUUAACCAUAUUUCAAAAGUUGUAUUUCCUGUUCCCUCUCUUAAAGUUUUUUAAACCUAUAUAUCUUUAUCCUAGUAAUUCGGAAAAAUGAGGAAAUUAUUUAACAAGAACUCCAUCAAUUUGUUCCUCAAAAUUUUAUAUAGUUUCUCUCUCUCACUUUUGAUUCAAAUUCUUGAAGCAAAGGAACAAAUUCAUGGCCAGUAACAUUUUUAGCCAAGCAAUAGAAUGCACGACAAGCAUGUAUAUGAAUGAAUUGUGUUUUUUAAUGAUAAUAGAUCAGAUAUUUUAAUCUCAUCCUAAAACCUUUGAGUUAACUAAAAGCCGCAUCUUAUGUUCUGACUUGUGGUUUGUUUCAUAAUAUAGGUGAAAUUUCAUAUUAUAUCCCACCACAAGCUUCACAGUUGUAGCAGCAAGCCAAGUUUUUCUUCAGUUCAUUACCUCAAUAUGGAGCAGCUGAAAAAGUGUCUAAUAUCUCUAUAUGCUCUAUACAAAGAAAAUCGAAAUUCAAAUUCUAUUUACAAGAAUGAACCUGAGUUCUACUCAUUUCACGUUCUUCUUCAUCUUGGCUCUAACAACCAACCAUUGGUGGAUACUUGCUUCCGUUGUUUGUUUGAGUUCAUCUUUUUCAGUAUCUCUUGCUGCCUUGUACUGGUUUCUGAAUAUGUUACUAUUUCUGUUUUGAAGGGAGAGUCACUCUCUUUGUGGUUGGGUCGUGUACCUUCUCUCAUUUUAAAGUCAAAGGAAAUGUGUUUUGCUCGGAGACUUUUAAGGUGACCGUAAAGCUAUUAUAGAUUCGACUUGCAUUUAAAUUGUUUAUAUUCAUUUUACAUUUAACUCAAUGUAGAGUGGUUCUGUUUUCCAAUCGAUUUUUUUCUCUUCUUUUAGUACCCAAUGUUAAAAAUUUUGUUUUCAUGAACUGAAAGAUCUGUCUUUUCUUGUAACAGAUUAUUUCGGAUGGGCAAUUAUAAGCGUUUCCUUUGUACUACAGCAACUGAGGCAUCUUAUUUACAGUACUACAUAAUUGAACCUUACAUCAAUGAGGUUGCUUAAAUAUGUUGAUUUUGCUAGAUUUUUCAGUUUGAAAAAUAUAUGCUUCUUUGUUCAUUUAUUGUUUUCCAAUUUCAUUUAUGAGAAUAUAUCUAAAAUCUAGACUCGAGUACUUGUGCUUUUGGGUUUUAUUUUUCUUUCAUUUUUGUUAGUAGUUGUACUUCAUUAUUCUUAAAUUUCUCACAGUUGUUUCUUUAUGUGGUUUAUUGCUCCUCACUUUCUUCAUUCAUCUGAAGUGUUCAAAUUCAAUUUGCUUGUUUCAUAAACCAGGUCUUAUUUAGAAGUUCUUCUCAAUUGCCUUUUUUAGUGCUUUUAAAGGACAUGCCUGAUUUAUAUAUAUUUUUGUUGGUUUUCUUUUGACCGUAAAAGGUUCGAGCAUUGGCAUUGUCAUGUGUAAAUUAUUGUGGCUACAAACUUCAUCCGUAUCCAAUUGCACACUUGUCCAAACUCUUGAUGAUGAAGGUAUGAUUGCAUUUACUAGCAUUAAAUUGCUAAAAUUUGUCAUCCAAAGUUCCAAUAUCUUUUGAACCUUGAAGGCUUCAUUUGCAUUUUUGUAGGAAUUAGAUGUGGAAUCAUUUUGCAAUGCUUGUGGUCUUGAGACCAGCACUGAUGAACGGGGAAAUAAGUUCUUAUCAACCAAGCAAACAAACUUCCAUUAUCCCAAGGAAGUCUUUCCAAGCUAUUGCCUUCUGGGUUUGGAACACUUUUAGAGGUAACAAUCAAUUGGAACUAGUUACUCUUUCAAACUUCUUAUUGUACAAAUAUAACCUGCAUGUGCAACCAUUUCUGAUCCCAUAAUUUCAAGAAUUUAUGACACCUUCUAGUGGUUAGUUUUUCUGGGAAUAGAGUAAAGCAAUCUAUUCACUCCCAGAAACUAUCGUCAAAGGAACAGUAGAUAACCCCGCAAGACCAAAUUUAUGUGUGUGCAUGGAGAUGCAUGUUUUCUGCAUCCCAAUCAUGCAGUGUUGUGCCAAAUGGAAUAAUAGCAGCUGAUGAUAAGUGGUAUUUCUAAAAUCUUCUAAGAGUAUUCCAUCUAUUGUAAUAUUGUUUUCUCAAAAUUGUCUUUGAGUCUUAUAUGUAAAUAUUAGACUUGACCUCUUGUAAGCUAUCAACUGAUGUUGUAACUUAACUUGAAAGGGAAAUUCUAUAAAUUUAGCCUUGGUUUGGCUGUUGGAAAGCAAAGAAAAAUUAGGUUAAUAGUGAGUUGAUUUCUUCCCUUCCCAUGGAUGUAAGCACAUUCUUGAAUCAUGUUAAUUACUUUUUGGUUUAUUUUGUUGUUUUGUUGUUUUGUUGUUUAUUGUUCAAUUGUCUCCGCAUAACAAGUGGUAUCAGAGUUGUUUCCAACACAACAGAUGAUUCCUGUGCUAACACAAAGUUUGAGGCUAAACGUAAGAUGGUAAAAGUUUCUAGAAUAUUUCCCUAUGACAACUGCCAAUAAAGGAUGUACUUAACAGAAAGUUCAUAAGGUGUUACAUGGCAAGUUGAACAAAACCAAUAGCUAGAGAUAUCUGAAAUAUUUGGGGCCACUGAUCCAACAAUAGCAGAGAAUAACACAAGAAGAGACCCUCUAAUCACCAUUUUUUCUUUGAUUCUUCUCUACAAAGCAUCAUCUUCUUUAUACAAAAAGACAACCCAUUGCUGAGCCCACAUUAUUCUCUACAUAUCCCAAAAAAGCCCUCUAAAUUUUAGGGCAUGGUGCUCUUUUUAGGGGUAUUUUGGUACUAAAUUUGUGGUAGUCUCUCAAAUACCUAAACUACCCUCCAGAUUUUAAGGCAUGGCCCACUCUUUGAGGUGGUAUUUUGGGUACUAAUUUUUGUUAGGAGAGGUUUUGGUGUGGAAACUGGAGGGCUUUACACACGUUGCAUGUAUUUUCUUUUGCAUGCAUUACACAUAGAUUGGAGUUUAUGCAGUUACUCACUUUUUGUUCGUCCAACAAUACUAUAGUGCCACGUCACCAUAUGAUGGGCUCUUUAGUCUUUUCAAACCCAAAAAAAAACACUAAAAAAAAAAAAAACUAAUACUAAAAGGAUUGCUAACUAGCUAUGUGAAGAUGAACCUCUAUAGCUAGCUUCUUAGAGGGACCAUAAUCGCUUAGGCCAGGGAAGUUUGAGGUGAUAAUAUGUCUGUGAUGCCCUUAGAUGUUUUAGGCACAUGUGCGUUACAUUAAUGUAUUCAAUGAGUCUAUAACCUUGAUUGACAGGUCCGAGUAAUCUUUGAAAUUUCAUUGUGGUGGGAAGGUUCCAUGUGAACAACACUUGCACAUGGGUUAGUUAAUCUUAAGAGACGGGGGAAGCUCAUCUAACAGCACACAAUGUGCGAGCUUUGAAAGGCAAUCGGGUUAACAUUUCUGAAUUGGGACAUGACAGCGGACAACAACAUUAGGUAGUCCAAAGAUGUCGUCAUAUUAAUUGUUAUCAAUAUUUUUAUUUAUUCAAUAGAGAUUGAGGAUUAAAAAAAUACCACAAAAAUUAGAAAAAACAAAAUUAAUUACAUGGCUUACAUUUCAAAUAUUUAAUAAAAUAUUGUAUGAAAGUUGAAUAUCAUACACUAUUAAAUGGUUGGAUUCUCUUCUUUAAUUUUUUUAAUUGUCUCAUCCUAUUAAAUUACUCAUCUAAUAUUAAUUUAUUUUAAAGGUGAAAUUAAUUAUAUUGUAAAAAACUUUUAACUGACCAGAGUUUGUGCACAACAUCUAAUAUAUACUUAAAUAUAAUCCUCCAACUAAGAAAUGAAAUCAAAACUUAAAAAUCAUUUAUAUAUAUAGAUAUAUGUUAUCAAGUUUAGGUAGUGAAGCAAUUAAUGUGGAUAUAAAAUUAAUGCCAAAACUUUUGAUUGUUCCUUCACAUUCUCCACAACCAAACAAAGGAUAUAAGAAAAAUAAAGAAAGAAAUUUAGGGUAGUUUGAUUUUUGUUCUCAUCUUGUUGUGAAGUUAAUAGAGGAAUGCUUGGGUUGGUGCUCAAUAGUUAAGUGACAGCAGGGUAUAAUGAUUCUUCCAAUCGUGUAAAUAUUAUUUGUUUUAAUUUCAAUGGAUCAUCGUCACUUUAAAUUGCAUCCACAUGGUUAAGAGCAACUCAUAUGUAUAUAAUAUCAUGAAUUUCUUCUUAUUCGAUACGGAAUAUCAAAUUAGGUAUCUUUCAAUUUUAGGUAUUGUGUAAGUGUUUCAACUCAAAUGACUUGGCUUAAUGUAUACUCAAAGCCUUGACAAAGGAGCGUAUAUGUAAUAAAGUGAAAAUUAAACCUUGUCGCCCUUCUAUCUCUAGUACUCCAUUAUCCCUUAAACAUGUGCAAAAAAAGAUAUACACCUUUGAUACAUUAAUUAAAAUAAACGAUAGAAAAAGAGAUUUUAUAUAUCCAUGUACAUAAUUUGAUUAGAUUUGUUAUAUAUGAGAGAGAGAGAAAAAAAAAAAAACUGUUUAGAUUAAGGAUCUCAUUAAUUAAUACCUAGAAAAUAUAAAAGAAUAAAAAAAGAUUAGAAGGUGUGAAUCAGAAGAUAAGACUACAUUUUUUAAUUAGAUUCAUCGAAAGAUGGCAUAUUGUAUGAACAUUUUUACUCUACAUAUAAAAACUUAUAUUAUGGUUGAGAUGUAUUAAUUUGUCAUAUUUUUGGACAUUUAAAGUAAUGAGUAAUUACACUAAAUUAAAUUAUUGACCUUAUUAAUCAAUACCUCAAAAGUAUAAAAUAGUAAUAAAUGAAUAAGACAAACUUCAUCGAAAUAUUUUUAUGGGCACAUUACGUAAAUAUUCUUAUUUAAUAAAAGUUUAUAUGUCAUUAAAUGAAUAGAGAAUUUUAACAUUAAUUGCAGUGCUAAGUAGAGGAGAUCUCAUAUUUAAGCUGUUGAUUAAGGCUUAUUACUUAAUAAUUUAAGUUGACUUUAAGUUAGAUUAUAUUUAAGUUAUUUACGUAAAAUUUAUUAUUUAUUAUUUAAUAUUUACUUUAAGUAUUAAAGUUAUUUGAUAAAGUUAAUUUAAAAAUCAUUUUAAAUUAUCAAAUUGUCAUAUUUACCUUCAUUAAUUUGAUAACUAGAUGCAGAUAAAUGAAACAAAAAAAAAAUUGAGAUUAAGAAUAAGUUAAUUAAUUUGAUUUAACACUUAAAAGUAACUUUAAGAUAUAAUAUUAAGUUAUUUUAUCAAAUAUAUUUAAUCUAUUUAAUAAUUAAAUUAAGUUAUUAAGUUAAUGAAUGAUUACCAAACACCUUAUAAGACCCAAAAAAUCGAAUGAGUUUUAAUAGUUUCCAGGAUGGGCAUGACUAGGUGGUGGUUCAAUGCUGAUUAAUCAUAAUUCAAUCAAGGCAAAAUAUGUAACAAAUACAUGUCAAACUGCACCAUCCAAAUGGGCGCCAAGAACGUUACAUUUGACAAAUGCCAUUAAACCUCGACAGCUACCAAUUACUUGAAGCUCAUUAACUUCAUCUUAAUUUGAUCCAAAUUGCAGAAACAUGUGAAACUCCAUGAAUCUAUGGUGCUAUGGUGGCCUACAUUCAUAUAACUGGGGACACUUUGGUUUACACUACAAUGACCCCAAACAGGGUUUGUAGAGACUUUAUCAAGAUCACUAGCUUCAAAAGACUAAGGAAAGAAAGAUGUUCUCAAAACUUGGAGUCAAAUUGCAGAUAAAGACCUAAAACUCCCACUUAACGUGUUUGAGGAAUUGUUGUUUCAUGGGGAUAAGCUGUUUGGUUUGUACAUGUCUCCUUGGUGAUACUUAGAGUUCGGCGAAGUAUACGUAUCCUUUGUGAUCUGGUUUGUAUAUGGGCAGAUGAAUGUUGAUGCCAGGUUCAUAUAUGUUUCUGAUAUAUAUCACCCUGGAAGGAUCUAGAUCAAGGGGAUGAGUUUCAAAAGCUUGAGUAGGUUUAAGAUGUUCCGAGAAUUGGUGAGCAUGAUAUAUAUCAAUAUGAUAUUGCAGAAGACAACAGAGCUUCUGAAAUUAAUAUGUCAGGUUCAAUAGUGGGAAAUCUUAUCAGCUGUCACUUACUGUAAUCGUAUGCUCUCAAUAUUCAUUUGUUGAAGAAGAAAAAAAAAAUUGCUUUCACACUAUUCAAUUACAAGAGAAUGUUCAAUUAUAGAAGAAAAUAAUAUUCGCUAGUCUCUUUCAACUUAAUCAACAUGCAGAGAAAAGCAGUGAAUAAUAACUUACAUACAUUGUCUCUCUACCCCUACUUGUUACUCAUCAGCCAAGCUUAUGGUAAUAUAAGCUUGGGUUCAUCUCUCUAUGCCACUGAUGAAAACUCCACAUGGGCUUUGCCUUUCUGGUGAUUUUGCAUUUGGAUUCCGACCCUCUCCAAGUGAAGAGGACCUAUUCCUUCUUGCUAUCUGGACUGCAAAUGGAAGUUAACUGGUGCCAAGAGGAUCAAAAGUUUGGGCUUACCACCAAUGGACAGCUUGUUCUCUAGAGGCUAAGAUAUAUGGAAGACAAAGACUGGUAAUGUGAGCAGCGAACCAGUGCAUGGUGCCAUGCUUGGAGAUGGAAAUUGUAUACCAGUAUAUGGGAGAGCUUCAAGCACCCAACUAAUACCAUAUUGCCAAUCCAGGGAUUGGUGUUGGAGCCUACUGUGCAGUUGCUAUUUUUGAGGACCUGAGGUUUGCAAAUGGAACUGGAAGCUGUUGGAGGAAAAGACUACCUCUUUCAAAUGGGAGGUUGGAUCAAACUGCUGUUUCCAGAAGUGCUCUAAUCAAGAUAUUGAAGUCCAGUGAACUAACUUCAGGCAGAUGCAAGCAAAAUAAAGCAAUUCUAAUACUCUCAGUCCUCUUAGGCCCCUCUGCGUUCUUCUUCUUCGUUUCUCUAGCUGCAAUUUCACUAGUUUUCUACUGCUUGAACCUCAAAAAUCUGCAGCUUUAUCACAGAAUCCUGAGUACAAGCGAUGGUAGAAGCCUUUGGCACUGUCUAUAAAGGGAUAUUACCAUCAGGUUCUGGAAAUUCUGUUGCUGAAAAGUUGGAGAAGGUGGUGGGAGAAGAUGAGAAAGAAUUCAAAGCAGAAGUGAAUGUGAUGGGCCAAACUCACCAUAAGAAUCAAGGACACUUGCUGCGUUACUGUUGUGAGGGUGAACACUGACUACUGGUGUUUUUUUUUUAUGCACAAUGGCUCUUUAUCAAGCUUCCUUUCUGGAGGCGCCCGAAAGCCCUCAGAACACAACUCUUGGAUGAUUCUUUUACAGCCAAAGUUGCAAACUUGGACUGGGAAAGCUUCUGAUAAGCAACCAGACUAGAACACUCACAGGCAUCAGAGGGACUAUGGGGUAUAUUCAGACAACUCGGGCAGCCUAUGUCUCUUAUAAUAACACGUUAUGAAGCAUCAGCUCAAUGCUGGGGUUCAAUCUGCAAAGCAAGGGAUUCAUCAAUGUUUCCUUCAAACUAAAUAAUAAGGAACAGAAAUGGAUCAUUCUGCAUUUUCAGUGGUGUUUGUUAUAGCAUUUAUACAAGAACUCUAGGGGUUUCUAUGUAUAACUUCAUUCCCAUUUUGUAUAAUCCAAAUCUCUUCAAUCGAUUAAAUGUAUAAAUGAAUCCUAUUCAUUGUUUGGAGUAACAACAAAAUUCUGGAAGACUGGGAAAGUUUCAACACUGGAGAGAAAACAAAAUGACAAGACCAUAAAUUCUGGAAGAGGGCUUUGCUUUCUAACCAUUACCAUAAUUUUAGAGCUCAACCCGGAUGAGUAAAUUAUAUUUCAGAAUGUUCAGGAGAUAAUUCUAAAGUGAUGAACCUUCUACUCACAGUUUCUUGUUCUUCUUGAACAGAGCAAUGAACAUCAAUAGUUCAGCACCCAGGAAUCUCCCCUCUCCAAUUCCUCCACUGGGAAAAGUCACCUUUCCAGUUAAGAAAAUCUUCAGGAUUAAUUUGAGCAAAACAUCAGAGUAUACAUCAAGAAAGCCUUGAUCAAAAUCAAAAUACAUCAAGAGCUGCCAUUUUCUUCUAUUUCCUCUUCCUUGAAUGGAAUGCCUUUUGGACUGAGGUGAUCAAUGGUAACAGUCUAACACACUCCUUAAGCUUUGAUUGAGGUCAACGGGGAUUGGCACAUUUAAUGACUUUGAAAUCAUAGCUGUGUGAAGGGAGGCAAACAUGAAUCUCAGGAUAAUCAACAAGUCAACAACUAUCAAUCAGUAAGGAAAAGGAAAAGGAAAUACCUUUGGAUAUUUACAAAUAAAAAAUUUGAGAGAGUCCAGCUGCUCUGUACAGAAAGGCUUGAGCUUAUUCCAUGGCCAGGCUUUAGAUGGUUCUGAAUUACGGAUGAGAGGAUUGAGUUUUCUUUCAUUCUGCAAUAAGAUUAAAAACAUCAAUGAAACACUAAAAGUUUAUAUAUAGAAGCCCUUUAAAGAUGAGAAUUGGUAAGAGAGCUCACCCAUGGUCUAGUAAAACAACAUCUGUUAGAUAAGUAACCACCAUUCGAUUGUCCAGCUAAUGCAUUUAGACAGUCCAAAAUAGCUAAAGACAGUCCAAAAACUCAUUUGACUAAUAAUUUUCUAAAAGCAGUAACAUAAAACCUGGAUGAAGAAUCCACCCCUCUACCUGACACCACUUCAAUACCAAAUAAAAUGUUACGAUGACCAUUUAUAGUCUUAAGAGACAGUGGGUGUUGUUUGGGCUCAAGACCAUCAAAAUUGGCACAGAAACAAGUACAACAACUAUCUAAUAAAGAGAUUUAUGCAUGUAACAAAUGCAAAUGAAAUAUGAUACAAGAAGUUCAUAGAUUAAACAAAAAUAGAUGGCAAAAUAGAAGGAUAAGGUCACAGACAGGACAAUAUUAAAAGAAAUUAUUAUUUUUCCGACCUGAAAAUCGAGGCAUUUAGAACAGUACAAGUUUGUAAGUAGUCCAUGGAAACCAGGGAACUUAUGCAGAUGUUGUAUUCUAUUGCAUAAGGCAAACACUCAAUACUUACAAGCAUAAUCAUGCCCAGAAAGCCAUGAAUCCCUUUUUGUUUUGCUUUUUUACCUAUUCUCAUCUCUUAUUGCCAGAAGUGCCCAGGAUGAUACAACCUCACCAAAUAAGUUAGAAACCAGCCCAUUCAGCAGGUUGAGUAGCCAGCUUGCCCUCAAUCUUCUUUGAGUCAACAAACAGUUGGGCAUUAUUGCCUCCAAUGGAGGGUCUGGAAAUAUUAGAGCCGGCAGCAGGGGUGGCUGUAAAACUCUCUGUUCCAAAACCCCAAGUUUCAGGGCCAGAAGUUCCUUCUUUGGCUGGUUUGUUGUGAUGGCCAUUUCGGGUCCUACCAGACUUGCUAUUGUUGUCUGGGCACCUGCCUCAGAGAAAGCCUGCCAAAGAUUAGAGUCUGGGCCAGGGGAAACGGAUUUUCUUUGCUGGAGUUCCCAGUCUGUUGCUUCAAUCUUUUCUCUGUGCUGUUACGAGAAGAAAACCUAUCAGACACAUGAAUGGGUACAAAAAGGUAAACUUCAGGUUUUGGUUGUAUUGAAAAGCACAGGAAACUUCACAAGAGGCAAAUUAUACCCCAGACUUAUUGAAGAAAAAUGAAGUACAAUUGACUUACCCAAAUGUCUACUUCCUCAUUUAUAGAUUUCCUCCUAAACAAAUCCCCACAUCUAGGACAGGAAAAGGAAGAAGCUGGGAGUCAACAUUUUUUCAACCAAAUGUCAGCACUAACUUAUCAAAAAACAUAGUUUUCCAUUCAACCUCGGGAGCUGUACUUUCUGAUAUUGUCUUCUUAAAGUGCUUAUGAUUGGUGGAGGUGCUUCCAAAAUCACACAACUUCCAUGAUGCAUUAGGGCCCAAUAGAAGAUUCUCAGCAUUUAUAUAAGAACUUCAGGGCUUAUACGUAUGAUCAUGUUACAGUAUAAAUCAUAGUGAACUGGUGGAAUUUGAUUAUUAGCCAACCUCAUCAAAAACUGUUUCACAGUUGAGGGGAUUGUUAACCUUGCCAUGGGCCAAGCAGCAAUUUCUGGAGAAGCUGGGUGACAAAGAGUACCAUCAUUUGGACUAGUUUCAAUGGAAAUUCCUCUGUUUUUAUACAUGAUAUCUUCAGCUUCAGCUUUUCCUUUUGCUUUUGACAUGGCUGAAACUGAUCCUGAAAUAAAAAAUCCCACGCAAGUAGAUAUUUAACAGAAGAGGAUCCGAAUCUCUUCAAUUGAUUAAUGUAUAAAUGAAAUAAUCAAAAUUUUUAGAUAAUUAUAGGGAGAUGAACCUUGUACCUCUGAGUUUCUUAGUCUUCUUGAACAGAGCAAUGAGCAUCAAGUGUUGAGCACCCAGGAAUCUCCCUUCCUAUACAGGGAAAAUCUGAACAAUCUAUCUUUCUUCAUAUUCCACUUCCUUGCAAAAGUCAAAACAUGAAGAAAAUAUCAUCAAAAUUGAGACAAAAAUAAGUGCAUCAACUGUCUCAAGAAGAGAUUUAUGCCUAUUGCUUACCUUUUGCAGAAGUCCACUUGGUUAGAGCACAUUUUACAUGGACGCCCAAUCACUGCAAGCUGCUGAACCAAAGGAGAGUUCAAACAUCUAAAAAAUUUGACUAACUCAAGUAUCAUAAAAUACUUCACAUGAAUUCUAAAUGAUCUCAUAUCUAAAAAACAUUGGCAUAAAAUUAUUGUUGUUUACCUUACAUAUUUCUUCCAUGGUCAUAAUCGAAACUUUGUUUAUCAUAACAAAUCUUCUAUGCUCAUCCUGAUUACUAACAAUGAAAAUUGAAAUGAAAAGAAAAAAAAAACACAAAAAAUGAUGAUUAGUUUGGUUUGAUAAAUUUAGCACACACAAUUCCCUUUUUCUUGCCCGAAAAAGGAAAGAGUAAAAAAAAAAAAAAAAAAUUAAUAAUUUUUCAAAACUAGCAAUUAUAAAUCUAGUUUGGUUCUCAUAAAAUUUAUGGGAAAGCAGGGAAAAAAAAGUGUAAACUUUUUCUCUUGUUUGAUUGUUUAUGGGAAAAUUGAGGGAAAAACAAAUAUUUAUGAGGAAUCUAUUUAACACUUUUGAGGAACCAAAAAUGUUUUAGAUGUUGUCAAAUCGAUAAUUUAAAUGUAUUUAAUUCCAAUUAAAUGAGUUUAAUCAAACACAUGAAAUCGUGAAUAAAAUUAUUUAAAAGCAUUGAAAUUCAAGUCAUUAAAGUUGUCCAUAAAAUUUGGUAUAUUGAAGCAAGAAAAAAACAAAGCAAUUUGAAUGACUUGCUAAUAAAGCAGCUAACUAGAAUAUGCCCUAGAGUUGUUCUGUGCCUUGUAUAUAAGAAAUAAACAAAGAACACAAUAAAAAUAAAAAUAAAAACCAGAAAAUAAAAUACAAACAAACGAAAUAUCCAUGGUUCUUCGUUAUUUUUUUCUUAAUUUUUCAAUGGUUAUUUUUGCAAACCACCAAAUCAAAACAGAGCAUGAAAAUGUGUUCAAUAUUUAUUUCAGGCUUGAAGCUUCAAGAAAAAGAAAAUCUUAAAUCAAAUAAACAAGACUAGCGAAUGAAUUGGAACUUGAAAGAAAAGUUCAUGCGCAAAAGAAUUACCUGACUCUAUAUUGGCGGAGUGGCACUUUGAUUAAUAUAGCACACCAUUGAUCACUAUUUUUGGAACGUGAGCUAUAUAACGCCAUUCUUCCCCUUUCUCAAAUUGACACCGUUUUUCCAGUAAAGGACACCCAUCGAUGACCAGAAAAGAGAGAGAGUCUGGAAGUCUUUCUUUUGUCAAGUAUUUGAGCUUACGACAGUUCAUGAUCACCAAUGUUUUAAGAGAGGUGAGGUGUUGAAGACCCACUUUUGUCAAGGAUUGGAGCAUUCGGCAGUAUACGAUCUCCAAAUUUUCAAGAGAGGUGAGGUGUUGAAGACCCCCUUCUGUCAAGGAUUGGAGCAUUGGGCAGUGUUUGAUCUCCAAAUUUUCAAGAGAGGUGAGGUGUUGAAGAACCGAUCCUAUCAAGGAUUGGAGCCUUGGGCAGUAUAGGAUCCUCAAUAUUUGAAGAGAGGUGAGGUGUUGAAGAUCCGUUUCUGUCAAUGAUUGGAGCCUCAAGCAUCCAUAAAUUCCUAAUUCUUUUAGAGAGAUAAGGUGUUGAAGAACCGAUCCUGUCGGGAACUGGAGCUCUGGGCAGUUUCUGAUCUCUAAUUUUAGAAGAGAGGUGAGUUGUUGAAGACCCCUGCUGUCAAGAGACUUGAGAUCGGGAAAUGAUUCAAUUUGAAGAGAAGUCAGAGAAGAGGGCAGCAAACACUCCUUGGGAAAUAAUUCAAUGUCUUCACAUCCACCUUGGAUUCUUAAACGAGUAAGAGAGGUCAGCCUUUGCAAACCCCACUCCACCUGGGGCGUGAGUUGGUUGCACUUCUUAAUUUCAAGUAUACGUAGGUUGGAAGGCAAACCCUCUCUCUGAAACAACAAUUCUGGACAAUCACAUAAAUACAACUCCUGUACAGAUGACUGUGUGUGUGCCAACGACCUAAGGUUGAAGCACCUAUCAAUCAAACAAGACUCUAAGUUGAGAGCGUGCAAUUCGAUAGAUUCAAGAUCAGAGCAACCAAUUAGACGCAGGGAACAUAAAGAUGUGGGAUCACCCUCUGAAACCAAAAUGGAGAGCUUCUCAAGCCCCUUAAGACCAUCGAUUGUGAAAUCAGUCAACUUGGGGAAGAUGCCUAAUGAGAAGGAUAACGUGAGAGAAUCAUCGAUAACACCACCUUUGAUUUCUAGACUUUCAAGGACUGGGAGAUGGCAUCUGAACAACUCAGGUACGAGAAUCUCUAAUUUCGAGCACUCAGAGAUGAAUAGUGAUUUCAGUGUAGUGGGUAAACCAACUUUGUGCAGGGAUCUAGAAAAACUGCAAUCAUAGAUUUUCAGAUCAUGUAUGUUGGUUUGCGAGAUUUCCUCCUCUAGCAGAGACUCCGCAUUAUCACAUUCUCUAAUUGAGAGCUGGUGUGGUGCCAUUGGAAGUUGACUCCACUGAGACACAUCUAAAAUUUCAAUUUCUGAAGUUUGAAGAGCUGUGAAGUCACAACCUGCCAUUUGCAACUGCAGUUUACCGAAAUCCACCAUCCUCAACUGACGAAUUACAGGAACUGUGAGUGAAGCCAUAAGCAGUUGCGGACAUUCAUGAAUUUGAAGUUCCACCAAUGAAAGAAGCUGUUCUGGUAAUUUCCCAGUGAGUUUGGGACACCUUCGUAUAAAAAGCUUUUGGAGACGAGGGAAUUCUCCACAACAUAACCAUUUCUCCCAGUUCUGCAUAUCCUCAAAUGAUAGUGUUUCUAGGAAUUGAAAGGAAGCAUUCCCAUAGAACUCAUCACCCACACACUCUACUCCAUUCAUCCUUGAGAUUUGCAGAUAUUUAAGCUGGGUUAGCUGUCCA